This 141858-nucleotide long non-coding RNA is filed under the name Triticum aestivum (bread wheat). RNAcentral describes it as "long non-coding RNA (TAES_LNC028420)". Lineage: Eukaryota; Viridiplantae; Streptophyta; Magnoliopsida; Poales; Poaceae. The record is from RNAcentral.
UAACUCACCCCUCUGUGGAACCGACUAGCGUACCUUAUACAGUAAGCAUGCCUUAAAAACUUUUUUAUGUGUGCACCAAGCAAGUACUAGGAGUUUAGGACUAGAUUUGUGCUAUCUGCACCUCAGGUUUAUGCCUGUUCCUCUUGUGUACAAAAACUACUCGCUCAGCAUAUUCUGACCUAGUUGUUCUAGGGCCACCUGUUGUAUCUAAAUCAUGUGUUAACAUCAUAGACCAUGUGAGUGGCUGGUGGAAGUACUGAGUACGAACUUAUUCCGCUGUUAAACAAGCACAACUGAGUGGCGAUAAUGACGGGCAUAUCUAGAGGCAUUGAACAUUCUCUACCAGGCUGCACCGCCCGGGGUAGCUAGUGGUCCAGUGGCUCUGUAUCUAUCAGUUCAUACAUAAAAGUGCAAACGUAUACUGACCGACUGUAUUUAUUCCCCGUCCUUGGUCUUAUUCCAAGCUGGGAAGAAGAGAUUGACACGGAUCAAUGAUCUUAGUUGUUGAGCUAGAGGCAAAAGGCAGCAGAUCCCUGAAAUCUCUGCUUUACACCAUGAGGGCAACCGCUCCCGGCUCUGUGAUUCUGUGUUAUGUUAAUCUUGCUGGAAAGCAUUCCUUAGUGUUGUUAGAUAUGCUUCUGUCGCACGCACACCGGAAAAAGCUACGCGCUUCGGUGUCUGUAUUUUAUAGGUUUCAACAAAACGGUAUUCGCUUCUUCGGUAGAAGUGCACUGAGCAUCCCAAUGCGUGUGUUUAGCCAGAAACCAAUAAUGCCAUUUCAGGUGGCAUGAUUGGCACUUUAACCGCAGUGAAAACAACUAGAUUGCGGGCGGAUUCUUCCACUUUCGCUUUUUUUCUUUUCUUUCAAGAGCGCAGACCACGGAUCGGAAGGAAAGGAAGUGUCCUUUGUUUAAUCUGAUGCGGUCGCCAUAAGUAAGGUAAGUUCUUACCAUCUAGGUAACUUUCUAUAUGCUCUGGUUCCUCUUCAGCACGGGGCAAGAGGCUGAAGGAAUAAGUUGGAAGAAAGUCGAUUAAAUUUCAGGAUGUGCUACUGGACCAGCACAGGUAUAUGCAUACAAAAAUGAAAAUGGUAUUGAAAAUAUGAUUCAUGGGCAGAUCUGCACUUUGGUUUUCUGAGAACUAAAACUGCGGCUGUUAACAAGAUAGAGUUGUGGAAAGCAAACUGAAAAAGAAAGUGAACUGCAAGUAGGUAGGGUCCUUUUUGUUUCAAGAACAUUCCACUUUUUGUUUGAAAACCUCCAAGAUAGAGCGAGUUGUUCAUUACCUAGAAAAACAGAGUGAGUUGCAAACCUACAAUCUGUCACUUUAUUCUAUAAUAUUUUGCUGGCAGAAACUUUGUCUAUGGGGUAUCUGCUUUAACCUCGCCUUGUUGUCCAACUUCCGAUAGAUACAUAUGGGUGACUUUCUCGCGCAUUCCGUGACAUAAGAUGUUCGUUACUGAUUAUGUCACACCAGUGACGAAAUCUAAUUGGUGAACAGUCCUCCUAUUUGGAGAACCGUUGGUAGUUACACAAUACUCUGUAUGGUUUUUGCAGUAGAGUUGUAUUUAGCAAAUAUGCUGAUUCGGUGCAAGAUUUCGCCGAGCUCUGUUCCGAGCAGUAGAUGAUGAUCUGCCAAGAAGCAAUGAACAUCUUUCCUGCUGCUCAGUGAUUCACAAUGUCUGUGAGGAAAGUGAAAGGGGAAAACACCACACAGUGAAAACAGAGAUAAUUGAGAUUUGGCAAUGCUUUCUUUCACUUGAUUAUAUACUUAUGAUACAAGGUGAAAGCAGCGGCAGCUAAAUUACAAGUAAGAAACUACACAAACAGACUAGUAAAGGUAGAACCAUCUGCCAGCAAAAGCUUCCUGGAGCUACUGGACCUUCUCCCUGCCGUAGAGACCAUGGAGGCUCUCUCUCAAAAUCCACAGCCUUCGGUUCUUAGACACACUCUAUGCUCUAGGUGCCUCUCCGUUUGGGCAGAUAGGAAGACGACCGACCAAAACCCAAACAUACAAGGACAGGAAAAAAAGACAGAGCUACUGAAUGAAACAGAGUGAAAAGAGAGGGAGGAAUUGACGGGCCGAUGAACUGCCCCUGACGACUAGCUAAUCCUAACGACUAGCUAGUACCUGACGAGGGUGGUAAGCCAUGGCGGCGUUGCCCCUGUGAUCAGCCGCAGCUUCGUGGUGGCGCGGCGUGUAGGCGCCGUUGCCGGCGUCGUCGCCGACCUUGUUGUGCCACGCGGGAUGCCUCGGCGGCGUCUCGCCGCCAGCCUGGUCUUGCAAGUAGGCUGCGUGGCUGCCGGCGUGGGCGUGGUCGGCUUUCGGCGUGCUGUCGUGGUAGGCCUUGUGCCCAGCCUCGUGGACGUCGAUGAUGGGCGGCUGCCGGUACUCCGGCGCCGGCUCCGACAAGUAGCCGUGGCCGUGGUUCCCUCUGCUGCGGCCGUAGUCGUCCCGCCUGCCGCCGCCGAAGCACGAGCCGAACUCGAAGCACAUUCUAUAGGUGGCUCGUGCGUGCUGGGCCUGGGGCUACUGGUUGUGGCAAGCAGCACUAUCCUCGAACUAGCGUGGGUAUCGGUGCAGUGGUGGUGUUGAUGGCCCUGAAACUGACAUUGUUGGUGUGGUGGGUGAUAUAUAUCCGGGUGGUGUUGAUGGCCCUGAAACUAGAGCUCUUGCUGAACGCGACGUGUGCGUUCGAAGCCAAGCGAAGCUCCGUAGGAAGGCUGGGUCUAGGUCCCGAUCGACCAGGCUCGUCCAACUCGCUCUCCGGUCUCCAGGGCCGGUCAACCGUGCGAAUCAUGGAUGGAGGGAGGGCGGUGCAGCGGGACGGCAGAAUAUCUUUUUUGGGGCCGGCUGUGGAUGAUAGGGUCUCCUCAGGAUGUUGGACUGGCCGGUCGUCGUACCGUGUUUCAGUUUCAAGCUUUCAACACGGCGCACCUGGGGCGGGCAAUAGCCACAUUGGACUCUUUGUUCACUGGUUUUCGCUGAAUCUGCCGCGCGCUGGAUUCUUUUACCCGUUCAAAAUUGACAAUUUUUGCCUGAAAAUACAAUUAAACAUUUCCUGUAAUCUCUUGUUAGCGGUGGCGGGGCCAGGAAAAUUGAAUGAGGGCUGAAUGUUGUUAAGCUUUGUUAGGACGGGCAAGUCCAUUGGCAAUUUAGAAGGGUUAGGCACACUUUACUGUGUCAUUGAUGUUGUCGGAUUUCCAUAAUUCUUCUACUUCAUCUGUUUUAAAAUAUAAGGUGUAUUGUUUUUUUGAGAAGUCAAUCUUCUUUAAGCUUGACUAAUUUAUUAGAGAAAUAUUUCAAUAUCUAUAAUACCAAAUCAGUAUCAAUAGAUUCAUCAUGAAAUGAAUUUCUAUAUUUCAUUUAUUCAGUAUUGUGGAUGCCGAUUGAUUUUAAAAAUUGUUGACUCGGUCAAAAUUAUGAACCAAAUCCAAAAUUGAAUACCUCGGUUGAAUAGGGGAGUUCCAAAUUAGGGACUAUAGUGGAUUUAAAGGAUUGAGCGACAGAGCUCCUUGAGGAAAAAACAAUGUUGACAUGAUCAAAAUCGGGUGAUCCGAUUUCAAAUUGGAGAGCUCAAUUGGUUGUGAUAGCUCUAAAAUUAAGGACCAAAGUGUAUUUAUAAAUGGACAGUGAUAUCUUUCUUAUGUUCUCAAUUUAAGCGACAUAUCCGAACACACCCUAGCCUAACUAAUCACGUGCAUGCAGCCCCAUUAGUAAGCAAAAAGCGAGAGAAGAGCAUGCAUGGCCUUGCCAUAUGCAUGCAAAGUAAUAUAAAAAUGUGACGAUGUCGUUAAAAGAUUCUCUUUUAUUUUGAAACUUUAAAAUGUUCUAUAGCUCAAACCGACGGUCGGAUUGAAAAAUUACUUUGACAUAAAACAAAAUCGCUACGAAGAGACCUUCGAAACUAGAUCCCAUAUUGUUAUAUUUCGAUAACUUUUUUUUUGGCCAAAAACUACCAGACGUAGUACAACUAAGUUACCACGCAUGCAACACUAGUAGAAAAAGGGUCAAAUGUCAAGCACAUUAGUGCCGGUUUGAUUUUGAGCCGAUACUAAUGUGUGCAUUAGUGCCGGUUUCAACGGCUACCCGGCCGCUCUCAUUAGUACCGGUUCAUGGCGAACCUUUAGCACCGGUUCGUGCCACGGACCGGUACUAAAGUGAGUGGUGGCAGGAUGUUGUCAGUCCGGGGCCCCUCCAGCACCUUUAGUACCGGUUCGUGGCACGAACCAGUGCUAAAGGUCGUCCUACAUAAACCCUUCGUUCACCCGAGCUCGCUCUGUUCUUUCCCUUUCCCCUCUCCUCUCUGUUCUUCCCCUCUUCCUCUCGAGGUCAUCACACAUUUUGCCCAAAAUUUGUCAAGAUUUGAAGGCCCCAAUUCAUUCAAAUGAUCACAAAAGUUAGCAGCUUUGUCCUUUCAUCUCUCAUUGCUAGAUUAGCUCUUGCAAUGCUUUGUAUAGUGAUUAAUUUAUGAGUUUAGUAAUUUGAGAGGACAUAUAUGCGCUAGUAUUUGAUUUAUAUACAAUUUGAGGUCAAAAAUAACACUUAGUUUCCAUAUGUAGGUGUGGUUUACUUAGUGCCUUCUAAAUGUCCGUCGUAACCACCGUCGAUCGCCCGCACCGUCCCGUCGCCGGCACCACCUUGUGGUGAGCCUCUUGUUCAUGAAUGUUUUACAUUAUCAGCUUGAUGUUUGUGUGAUUUGGAUAUAUAGUUACUCGUAUAAUUAUCUUACCCGUACGUUGUUUGUUAUACAUAGUGCCAUGGUUUUGAUAUCCGUCCCCGUCGGCCCUCGUCCUUGUUAUGAUUCAGAUGUGGUAUAUUCUUUUUUAAAACUAGUUGUUGCAUUUCGUGUUUAUGACAAAUUAUGCCCGUCAAGUUGACAUAGAUAUUUUUAUCUAGGAGGUUUGUGAACCGGAAAUUCCAACCGACCCUAUUGUCGAGAGGUUAAAUUUAGUUGAAAGAGCAAACGAGUAUUUGAAAGAAAAAUUGAAAAAAAUUGAGGGGAGAAGAUGGAAUUGGAGUUGCAUGUUGCCGAUGUCGUCGAUGAUCACAAGAUCAAGAUGGAGAAAAUGGGCUUGAAGAUUAGAAAGAUUAGAAAAUAUGCCAUUGAUAGUGAGGCUUGGUAUCAUUAUGCUGUUGGAUCAAUUGUUACCUUAGUUGCAAUCUUGAUCGCAUUUGUUGUUGCAUUUAAAUGCUUUAGUUAGAGAGUUAUUUGUUUGUUGCAUUUAAGUGUUGUAUGAACUUUAUGUAUGAACUUGUAUUAAUUUGGUCUUUUCGGUGUUGUGUAAUGAAGAUGAGCCGACAAUGGAUGUACGAUGACCGAUGCUCUCCCGAGUUCAUUAAUGGCGUGCAAACUUUUUUGCUUGCGGCUGAGGCAAACAAGCGGGCGGAUGGUUUUAUGCCUUGUCCAUGUGUUGUCUGUAAGAAUGAUCACAAUUACUCUACGUCAAGAACCAUUCACGUCCACCUGUUUAAGUCCGGUUUCAUGCCCCACUAUAAUGUCUGGACCAAGCACGGAGAAAGAGGGGUUAUGAUGGAAGACAAUGAAGAAGAAGAGGAUGACGACAGCUAUCCUGGCCAUGGGUUUCCUGAAUACGAUGAUACAACAAAUGGGGAAGAAGCUGAGCCGGCAAUGCGGGAAGAAGCUGAAGAAGAGGCAUCAGAUGAGCCCGCUGAUGAUCUAGGUCGGGCCAUUGCCGAUGCAAAGAGAAACUGGGCAAGUGAUUUGGAGAAGAAGUUGCAGCGCAUGUUAGAGGAUCACAAGAAAUUGUUGUACCCGAAUUGUGAAGCUGACAAGAAAAAGUUGGGCACCACACUGGAAUUGCUGCAAUGGAAGGCAGAGAAUGGUGUAUCUGACAAGGGAUUUGGAAAGUUGCUGGUAAUGAUAAAGAAUAUGCUUUCAAAGGAUAACGAAUUGCCUGAGAGUACGUACGAAGCAAAGAAGGCUGUCUGCCCUCUAGGGUUAGAGGUGCAGAAGAUACAUGCAUGCCCUAAUGACUGCAUUCUCUACCGCGGUGAGUACGAGGAUUUGAACGCUUGCCCGGUAUGCGGUGCAUUGCGCUAUAAGAUCAUCCGCGAUGACCCUGGUGAUGUCGAGGGCGAGCGCCCUAGGAAGAAGAUUCCUGCCAAGGUGAUGUGGUAUGCUCUCAUAAUACCACGGUUGAAACGUUUGUUCCAAAACAAAGAGCAUGCCAAGGCGAUGCGAUGGCACAGAGAAGGCCGUAAGAAAGACAAAAAGUUGAGAGUACCCGUUGACGGGUCGCAGUGGAGAAAAAUCGAGAGAAAGUACGGGAAGGAGUUUGCAGAUGACGCAAGGAACGUAUGGUUUGGUCUAAGCGCAGAUGGCAUUAAUCCUUUUGGGGAGCAGAGCAGCAACCAUAGCACCUGGCCUGUGACUCUAUGUUUGUAUAACCUUCCUCCUUGGUUGUGCAUGAAGCGGAAGUUCAUUAUGAUGCCAGCGCUCAUCCAAGGCCCUAAGCAACCCGACAACGACAUUGAUGUGUACCUAAGGCCAUUAGUUGAAGAACUCUUACAGCUGUGGAAUGGAACAGGUGUACGCGCGUGGGAUGAGCACAUGAGGAAAGAAUUUGACCUAAAGGCGUUGCUGUUCGUGACCAUCAAUGAUUGGCCUGCUCUCAGUAACCUUUCAGGACAGACAAACAAGGGAUACCGCGCAUGCAUGCACUAUUUGGAUGAUACCGACAGUAUAUAUUUGGACAAUUGUAGGAAGAAUGUGUACCUGGGACAUCGUCGAUUUCUUCCGAGCAGGCAUCCCGUAGGAAAGAAAGGCAAGCAUUUCAAAAGUGAGGCGGAUCACCAGCGCCAUCGUACUGGUUCUGAUGUACAUGAUAUGGUCAAGGAUUUGAAGGUAGUAUUUGGAAAUGGUCCUGGCGGACAACCUGUUCCGAAUGACGCUGACGGACGCGCACCCAUGUGGAAGAAAAAUCUAUAUUUGGGACCUGCCCUAUUGGAAAGACCUAGAGGUCCGCUCCGCAAUCGACGUGAUGCACGUGACAAAGAAUCUUUGCGUGACCCUGCCUGGCUUCUUGGGCGUGUAUGGGAAGACAAAAGAUACACCUGAGGCACGGGAGGACCAGCAACGUAUGCACAGAAAAGACGGCAUACAUCAGGGUCAUGCCAGCUACGCUCUUACCAAAGAAGAGAAGGAAAUCUUCUUUGAAUGCCUGCUCAGUAUUAACGUACCGUCUGGCUUCUCGUCGAAUAUAAAAGGAAUAAUAAACAUGGUAGAGAAAAAGUUCCAGAACCUAAAGUCUCAUGACUGCCACGUGAUUAUGACGCAACUGCUUCUGGUUGCAUUGAGGGGCUUCUACCGGAUAAUGUUCGAUUAGCCAUUGUGAAGCUAUGUGCAUUCCUCAAUGCAAUCUCUCAGAAGGUAAUCGAUCCAGAAAUCAUACCAAGGUUAGAGAAUGAUUUGAUGCAAUGUCUUGUCAAUUUCGAGUUGGUGUUCCCACCAUCCUUCUUCAACAUCAUGACGCACGUCCUAGUUCACCUAUGCGAAGAGAUUAACGUUUUGGGUCUUGUAUUUCUACACAAUAUGUUCCCCUUUGAGAGGUUCAUGGGAGUCUUAAAGAAAUAUGUUCACAACCGUGCUAGGCUAGAAGGAAGCAUCUCCAAGGGCCAUCACAAUGAGGAGGUCAUUGAGUUUUGUAUUGACUUUAUUCUUGACCUUAAGCCGAUUGGUGUUCCUGAAUCGUGGCAUAAGGGCAGACUGAAUGAAAAAGGCACGCUAGGAGGGAAUCAACUAAUAUGUAUGGAUGGACAUUCUCUCACUGAAGCACACUACACAGUUCUAGAGAAUUCCGCCUUGGUGGCUCCGUAUAUGGACGAACACAAGAAUUUUCUACGCUCCAAACACCCGGAGCGUCUGAUGACUGGAUUACACGUGAACAAACCAGGAGUUUCGCCGGCUGGUUGCAGACAUGUACCAUGCAUGACGCCUCUAUUAAAGAUGACCUGUACUCGUUGUCCCAUUUACCAUCUUCGAAUAUAAUGACUUUCUAAGGGUACGAGAUAAAUGGUAAUACAUUUUACACGAUCGCCCAAGAUAAGAAGAGCACCAACCAAAACAGUGGUGUCCGCUUUGAUGCAACAACCAAGACGGGAAAGGAAACAUAUUAUGGUUACAUAGAGGACAUAUGGGAACUUGACUAUGGACGUGGUUUGAAGGUCCCUUUGUUUUGGUGCAAAUGGGUCAAUAUGACACGAGGCGGGGUAACGGAAGACCCGCAGUACGGAAUGCCAACAGUGGAUCUCAACAAUCUCGCGUAUGCAGACGAACCAUUCGUCCUAGCCAAUGAUGUGGCACAGGUUUUCUAUGUGAAGGACAUGUCUACCAAGCCGAGAAAAAGAAAAGAUAAGGAAGCGAAUGCAUCAUACGAUGAGCCAAAGCGCCACAUAUUUGGAAAGAGAAACAUCGUGGGAGUGGAUGACAACACAGACAUGUCAGAAGAUUAUGAAAAGUUUGAUGAAAUUGCUCCAUUCACAGUGAAUAUUGACCCGAGCAUCCAGUUAAAUGAUGAAGAUUUUCCAUGGCUACGGCGCAAAAGGACACACGCGAAGAAAAAGUUUCACACCCAAAGAUCUGGGAUGUGAUCGGCUUCACUAUCAUCACUUUCUUCUGUGUUUCGCACCCAGGAGGGAAUCUCUGUAAUAGUUAGGGUAGUUAUGUGUUUUGGCAUUUGAAACGCGAAGAAAUUUUAUGUGCAAACAAAUUCUUUCAUGCAUUUACUGAUUUUUUCAGCUAAAUGACCUUGAAAUUGAAAAGCAUUUCAAAUGAACUCAGAAAAGGUUAAGUUAUUCACAAACUAGUGAUUCACACAAAUUUCAAAUAAUUCAAAAUUUAAACUAUUCAAAUUUGAAAACUAAAAAAAUAAGAAAAUAAAAAAGCCCACCUACUGGACUAGAGCGGCCUGCAUACGACUAGAAACCCAACCUGUAGUUGGGCCAGGAUGCAGGCCCGCAAGCCCAGUAGACCCACAAGCAGAGGAGGAAAGGUAGGCCCAGAAGGCCUGCUUUUGAGAGGAGCUCAAUGCAGUGCCCGCGCCGGGGCUUAUAAACUGGUCUUGGCGCUCCUCAACUAGCGAGGUGGGACUAAACUUCUGCGCCCCUCGCCUGGCAGCGCACACCCUUUAGUACCGGGUCGUGGCUCCAACCGGUACUAAGGGGGGGGGGUGUCUUUAAUACCGGUUUGGAGCCACCAUCCGGUACUAAAGGGGGGCGCUUCCCGCCGCUUGGCCUGGCCAAAACAGACCUUUAGUACCGGUUGGUGGCUCCAACCGGUACUAAAGGGGUGUUCUAUAAGAAAUCACUUCAAAAAAAUUCAGUUUCUCAUCUCUUCCUCUGCUUCUUUCUCCUCUGNNNNNNNNNNNNNNNNNNNNNNNNNNNNNNNNNNNNNNNNNNNNNNNNNNNNNNNNNNNNNNNNNNNNNNNNNNNNNNNNNNNNNNNNNNNNNNNNNNNNNNNNNNNNNNNNNNNNNNNNNNNNNNNNNNNNNNNNNNNNNNNNNNNNNNNNNNNNNNNNNNNNNNNNNNNNNNNNNNNNNNNNNNNNNNNNNNNNNNNNNNNNNNNNNNNNNNNNNNNNNNNNNNNNNNNNNNNNNNNNNNNNNNNNNNNNNNNNNNNNNNNNNNNNNNNNNNNNNNNNNNNNNNNNNNNNNNNNNNNNNNNNNNNNNNNNNNNNNNNNNNNNNNNNNNNNNNNNNNNNNNNNNNNNNNNNNNNNNNNNNNNNNNNNNNNNNNNNNNNNNNNNNNNNNNNNCCCGUCGUCCCCGCCCGGCCCGUCCCCGUCCCCGUCGUCGCCGCCCCGUCCCCGUCCCCGUCGUCACCGCCCGUCUCCGUCCCCGUCGCCGCGCCUCGCCGGUGAGCUCCUGCCCCGGCCGCCAUGUCCACACACACACAUUGUUUUUUAGUUAUAAAUUUUAGUUAUAGAAAUUUAUCUGUUUUUUAGUUAUAGAAAUAUCUAUAGAAAUGUUAGAAAUUUUUCUGUUUUUUAGUUUAGAAAUAUUAGAAAUGUUAGUUAUAUAGAAAUGUUAUAAAUUUUUCUGUUUUUUAGUUAUAGAAAUAUUUAUAGAAAUGUUUGCAAUUUUUCUGUUUUUUAGUUAUAGAAAUAUUAGUUAUAUAUAUAGAAAUGUUAGAAAUUUUAGAAUUAGUUUUAGCUAGAUGAAUUAGAUUAAUGUCAAAUUGUUAGAAUUUGCAUAUAGAAUUUUAGUUAUCACAAUCCAAUCAUUUAAAAAAUGUUACUUUUUGAGGGCAUAUAAUAGUUGUUCUCGACGAUGCCCGGUCCGCAUCCUCGCCGUCGACCCGUUCGCGACGACGUCCGGCUGACCCAUGUCCGGGACUGGGCUCCGCCGGGCUGGCACUGGGAGGUGCUACCUGGAGGGGCACGCCGCUUGGUGAGGAACCCGGCCUCGGGUCCCGUCGUCGACCCUGAUCUCCUUUGGUGGCGUUCGCGUGGGCCACAUUCGGUGCAGAGGGAGCCGGCCCCACCGGAGGUGGUGCGUCGCCGUGUCAGGGAGGAGGACGAGCACGUCCAUCGCUACAUGGCUGCUAUGGACGUCAGGUUCUUCAAUACCUGGCAGGCUCUUUGGGCAGAUGACCGGAGAUAUGAUCCUGUGAUGGUUCCUUCUCUUUGGGUGUCCACCGCCCGUGCCCCAGGAACCGCGAGUGGCCUAGAUUCUUCUGUAGUAUUCGAUCUUUAUUAGCUACCUAGCCAGUGAUGUAUUCGAUAUAUAAUAUUCGAGACGAUGUAUUCGAGAUUAUAUAUAUUAUUAGAGACGAUGUACUCGAGAUUAUAUAUUAUUUGAGACGAUGUAUUCGAGAUUAUAUAUUAUUCGAGACGAUGUAUUCGAGAUUAUAUAUUAUUCGAGACGAUGCAUAUUAUGUACUAUAUGAUUCAGUUUUUCCUUAUUGAUUGCAUCCAUGCAUUGUAAUUUGAAUACUAAAUUGUUUUAUAUUUCUUCUGUAUUAGUUAAAUAAAAGCUAUGGCGGACAAUACCGGCAGAGAGGGAGAAGAGGCCCUGUUCGAGAUCAUAUGCAGCCCUAACAGGCCAGAUGAUCUGAAUGAAGCAGAUGACGGUUCCCAAUAUCUGAACAAUACCGGGGAGGGUGAUGAUAAGAUAUUCAAUCUCGACGACCGAGCUGAUGAAGUCAUGAACUAUGAUUAUGAUUAUGAUGACGCAGACAAUGAUUAUGAUGACGAAUACAAUGUUGAUCUUGAAAUAACAAAGACUACCGGCGAGGUAUAUUUAUAUAAGCAGGCAUCUAGUGAUCAUCACAUGUUUUUUUAUUUGAAGAUAUAUUAACGAAUCGAUCUUUCUUCUUUCAGCCAUCCGGAUCGAGCAAAUCUGCUUCUACAGACAGCAGGACAAAGCGAGGCCCGGGCAAAAAGUUGAAGGAGGGUGUAAAGUACAACAUCGAUUCCAUCAAAGCUAGUGGCGAACCCCUCACGCCUAAGAACAUUGCGAACAAGUUCGUUCGUCAGUGCGGAGUUCUUGUGAAGGACCAACUCCCGAUCUCCAUUCAAGAAUGGAAAGAGCCAAAAACUAAACGUCUAGAUGUUACUUGGGUCAACGACAGAGCAAAACAAAAGCUUUGGGAAUCUCUGAUGGAACAUUUCACCCUACCAGAUUAUUUCACUGAUGCAGAUGUGCAGAAAGUCAAGGACACUGCUCUUAAGAAGAUGACAAUUGCAUUCAACACCCACAAGAAAACUGUAUGGGCCAACUACCUCGCUGCAGAAAGGAAGACUCCAGAAUUCAAGGGAACACUGGAGAAGCAAAGAGAACACCGGCCCGCUUUCGUGAAAUUCAAGGAAUCAGAAUUAUCUAAGGAACGGUUCGAGAAAAAACAAGGCCAAUGCCGCAAAAAAGACGCAGUUCCAUAGGCUGGGUCCAGGUGGCUACGCGGUGGCAAUGCCUAAGUGGGAUAAGUCCGAGCAAGAGAUGGAGGAUGCAGGGGUCACUCCGGUUACUAGGAGCUGCCCCCCCAUGUGCAGAACUUGGUUCUAUGCACAUGGGGGGGGGGGCGUUGGACCCGAAGACAGGCCUGGUUUCGAAGAAGGCAAGUCUAAAAGGAGCCGAACAAAAGUUACUUGACGCAAUAGAAGAUGCUUGAAAGGGGGUGUUCACGCCCAACAGAGAGAACGACGAGCUUAUGCGCGCCCUGGGAAAUCCUGAACACCCGGGAAGAACACGAGGCAAGGGCGUUAUUCCCUGGUAUGAGGGCUUUUCGGAAUGGAACGACGACUACAGGACCCGUGCAAGAAAGAAGAUGGUGGAGGAGAAGAAGAGGAAGCUGGAGGAGGAGCAGAGGAAGCAGGACGCAGAACGCCUUCAAGGCCUAGAAGCAAGGCACGCGGACUUGGCACUCAAAUUCCAGCAGGAGCAGCAGCAGAUCGACUCACUUAGCUAGGAAAGGGGGUCUCAGCAGCGGCAGCAGCAAGCGGAUGGUCGUCCAGCAUUGGAUAGCACCAUCCCAUCCAUGCCGAGAAGGAGCAUUGGUUCCGCCCCGGACGAUGCACUGCUGGAUACAUACCCUGUGGAUGACAUCAUAGAGAACACUAACUCUGAGCUACACUUCAAAAUGAAGAACAUAUCCAUGAAGGUGGCGGACGCCGUUGCUUUUACAAUUACCCCCGAAGCAACCUUCCAUUGCACCCCGAUUCCAGCGGGCUAUGCUCGUGUCUUGGUUGAUGAGGUGGUGGACCCAUAUUUGGGGCUACAACUUGACAUUCCUGGAGGUGACGACGAGCACACACUGGGAGAGGCCAUACAUCGUAUCAUCCUAUGGAGAAAGGAUUGCAUCAUCUUUCGAAGUCCACCGACACCACAUCUGUCGACUCCUCCUCGAAGUCCGCCACCGAGUCAGCAGACUCCCGCUCCUCCAAGUCCACGAACGCGUGAGCCGACUCCUUCUCGAAGUCCGCCACCGUGUCAGCAGACUCCCGCUCCUCCAAGUCCACGAACGCGUGAGCAGACUCCUGCUUCAAGUCCGGCACAGCGUCAGGCCACUCCUCCUGUUUCAAGUCCGACACCAUGUCAGGCCACACCUCCUGCUUCAAGUCUGGCACAGCGUCAAGCCACUCCUCCUGCUCCAACUCAGCCACGUCAGCUGUCUCCGCCGCCUCAGCAAUCGCAGAAGAGACACGCCGCAACUAUGGUGCGUAGCGGUACGAGUCGAGGUAGUACAGGAAGUACAAGCGGAGACAAGCGAUAUAAAUAUGGUCCAAGCCUCGCUCCUCUUCCUCAGAGGCCUUACGACAUGACCGAGGAGCAAAACGAAGCCAUAGUGAAGGCCCAAGUGGACGCCCAUUUUGGACCGAAACCGGCACCGCCGCCGAGGGAGAAAGUGCCUGAGGAAAAGAUUGACCACUUCAUUCGUAUGGCUAGACCACCAGCUCCCAAGCCUGUUGACUCAGACUAUGAGCGCCAAAUCAGGAAGGCACAUCGAGCACGACUACAGAAAGAAGCGAGCUCGAGCUCGAGCCAACAAGCAGCUGUCAAAAAUGCGGGAAAACCGUUCCCCAGCUGGGAGAACAGGCGGCGCAAUCGAUCCCCCCGCUUGUUGUGCCAACAACACAUGCGAGUACGCGCGCCCAAUAUUAUUGUGGGAAAACCGUUUACGUUCCCCAGCUGGGCAAUGUGGUAUAACCGAGGAGCAUAUAAUGCAGGCUGAAAUGCUCAAGAUCACUAUUGGACAACUCCUCGAUAUCGAGCCCAUGUCUCCGCUUAGAGAGGAGGAAAUAAAACGGAAAUAUGUCCGGGGCCAACCUUUGGUCGAGCCAGACGAGGUCAAGAACCUUCCAACGAGAAUGUAUGAAUUGCAUCAAUGGUACAUGAACAUUAUCAAGAUUUCCAAUCGAGAGUCCCUCAUGGUGAAUGUCAAGGAAGAGCAUUACUUCCAUGAGAAAGCUGUGUCCGUUGAGUAUUCAGAACUAUUUCAGUUAUACAAUCAAGACGCACUCGACAAAUCUAUCGUCAGUUGCUAUUGUCUGUAAGUGAUUUCUUUCUGUAAUUUAAGUCUCAAGCUAGCUGUAGUGAUCAUUUUGAUCAAUCAUUACAUGUAAUUAUUCUCACUAUAUUCUUUUCUGUGAUAUUAUGCAGGAUGAAGAUGUAUGAAAUGAAAAUAAUCUGGACGCUAUGGCAUUGGGUUCAUUGACCCAAAUACCAUUAAUGAGUACACAUGGAAUAUUCCAAGUUGUCGAGCAAGUUUAGAGGAAAGCAUGCUAGAGUUCUUCAAGCGCCUCAAUACCAAUGAAGAUAUACUACUUCCUUAUAACUUCCUGUGAGUCACACUGUCUUGUACUAUAAAUUCUGUUUUUGCUUACUAGCUAGCUAGAUGUUAAUAAUUAAGUGUAUAGGGUUUAGGAUAGUUGAUUAGUGUUAUGCACAUGCUCGCUAAAUUAAGACAUGCAAACGUGUGCGCAUGCAAUUUCCACUGGAUCUUGUUAGACAUUAAAGUCGAAGAAGGAAAAGUUGAAGUACUGGACUCACUACUUAAAAAAAAAGUGACUACACCAUCUUGUUUGGGAUAGUCAACAUGUAAUUUCAAUCAUUAUUAACUAUAUCUCGUCCUAUUUAGUUCGUUAUUUCCUGAUAUGAACUAUUUAAUAACCCCUUUAUUAAUUUUCUUUGCCGGCGGGCAGGGCUUGGGCAAAGUUCAUCAAGGUGACUCCAGGCAAAUGGGCAAAAAAUCUGUUUUUGGUAUCGACCCAAGGUAAGUAAUUAAGUAGUACUAGCUAGCUAGUUACCAUCUCUUUAAUUCUUGUUUCAAUACCAUUAAUUAAUUAUCAUGCUUGAUUAAUCAUUAUCUGAUUCAAUUCCAUUCUCGUAAAGGCCCUGAAGCAGGCGCCGGGGACUGAUCUGUGUGCAUACUACGUUUGCGAGAACAUUCGCAUGAUGGCGUCCGAAAGGAGCAGAUCUCAAAGACAGGACUGGGUACGUUUGUCAGAACAUUAUUCACAAUUUUUUACACCAUUAUCGAUAUCUAAUCACACAACUAAUACACAUGCAUAUUGAUCUCCUUCUUAACAGUUCAGAGAGGUGCGGGAGCAGCUCCUACCAACGAAACGCAUACUAGCACUUCAAGAGGAAAUAGCGGGAUUUUUGCUCGACCAGGUCAUAGAUCCCAAAGGAGAAUACUAUUACCCGCUACCGCCCCCAUGAACCACUUGUCAUCGUGCUCCGAAGGCACCAAGGCAACAUGUAGGAGAAAUUGUAUAUAUAUAUACAUGUGUAUGUGUGAAUAAUUAAUGGUGGUGGUUGNNNNNNNNNNNNNNNNNNNNNNNNNNNNNNNNNNNNNNNNNNNNNNNNNNNNNNNNNNNNNNNNNNNNNNNNNNNNNNNNNNNNNNNNNNNNNNNNNNNNNNNNNNNNNNNNNNNNNNNNNNNNNNNNNNNNNNNNNNNNNNNNNNNNNNNNNNNNNNNNNNNNNNNNNNNNNNNNNNNNNNNNNNNNNNNNNNNNNNNNNNNNNNNNNNNNNNNNNNNNNNNNNNNNNNNNNNNNNNNNNNNNNNNNNNNNNNNNNNNNNNNNNNNNNNNNNNNNNNNNNNNNNNNNNNNNNNNNNNNNNUCUACGAGAAAAUCUAUUUAUAUAUAUGCAUAACAUGUACAAUAUAUAGUAUCGUAAAAUACCAGCAAACAAAAGAGAAUUAAAUGGAAAACACAAAAUUAAUGGAAAAGUAAAAAAUAAAACCAACCCCCCAAACAUUUAGUACCGGUUGGUGUUACCAAUCGGUACUAAUGGUCUACCAGCACCCGGGCCUGGCUCGUGCCACGUGGUGGCACUUUAGCGCCAGUUCGUGCCGAACCGGUAGUAAAGGGGGAGGGCUUUAGUCUCCACUCCUUAGUGCCGGUUGUAGAACCGGCACUAAAGGCCCUUACGAACCGGCGCUAAAGCCCGGUUCUGCAGUAGUGCAGAGUGUAUAUUGCCAUGUUGUUUGCAGAGAAGUCAUCGAGUUUAUUUUUUAAUCAAUUUCUUCCCCAGGUCUAAAGUUUACUAGAACGUUGUUGUGGUGUUUAUGCCUAAGUUAUCAUGUGUAUGGUGUGCCUGUUGCCAUCAUAUAAUACAGAAGUUAUCGGGUGUUAUAUAUUCAACAACCAUUUUGCCCAGGCAAAUAGUUACCAUAGUAUUUGUACCUAAAUUAUCAAGUAUGCGGUACAUAUAUUACCAUUCUAUUUAACACAAACCUUACCGGCGGUAUGUUUUCCAACGACCCCCCACCACAAAAUCAAAGUUACCGGCGUUGUUUGUACCUAAGUUAUCAGGUCUACUGUGUGUCUGUUACGAUCAUAUUUACAAAGAAGUGAGCGGUAUGUUAUCCAACAACUCCCCCACAUCAAAAUUACUGUCGUGUUUGUACCUAAGUUAUCAGGUUUGCGGUGUGUCUAUAACCAUCAUAUUUAUAAAGUUAUCAAGGGUGUGUAUAUGACAUUUUUUUGCCCAGGUAAAAAUUUACCGCAGUGUUUGUACCUAAGUUAUCGGAUCUGUGGUAUGCAUAUUACUGUGCUAUCUAACACGAAAGUUGACUGUAGUAUGUUUCCAACAACUCUCCCAUCAAAGUUACUGCAGUGUUUGUACCUAAAUUAUCAGGUUUGCAGUGUCUAUUACCGUCAUAUUUAUAAAGAAAUUAUUGGGGUGUGUAUUCCACAUUUUUUUGCCCAGGUAAAAAGCUACCACAACGUUUGUAUCUAAGUUAUCGGUUCCGCGUUACGUAUAUUACGGUGCUAUUUAACACGAAAGUUACCCCGCGGUAUGUUUUCCAACAACUUACCCAUCAAAGUUAUCAUGGUGUUUGUACCUAAGUUAUUAGGUCUGUGGUGUUUCUGUCACCAUCAUAUUUAUAAACAAGUUAUCAGGGGUGUGUAUUCGACAACUUUUUUUCACAAGUAAGAAGGUACCCACAGUGUUUGCACGUAAAUUAGCAGGUCUGAGGUACGUAUAUUACCGUGCUAUUUAAUAGGAAAAUUACAGGUGGUAUGUUUUCCAACAACUUCCCACAUCAAAGUUAUCUCGGGUAUUUUGUACCUAAGUUAUCACGUUUACGGUGUGUCUCUUACCAUCAUAUUUCUACAACAAUUAUCGGGUGUGUGUAUUGACCAGCUUUUUUGCCGUCGGCAAAAAAGUUACCGUAGUGUUUGUAUAUAAGUUAUCAGGUCUGCGGUGUUUCUAUUACCAUCAUAUUUAUACAGGAGUUAUCGGGGGUGUGUCGAACAAUUUUUUUGCCCAGCUAAAAAGUUACUGCAGUGUUUGUACAUAAGUUAUCAGGUCCGUUGGAUGUAUAUUAUCAUGUUAUUUUACACCAAAGUUACCGGUGACAUGGUGUCAAGAGGAAGUAAAUUUGGCAAAUUAAAAUGGACCUCUCGUAUUUUCUUAUGUAAAACAAUGUAGAAAAAGAAACGACAACAGAUCUCUGUCUACGAGAGUCUGUCUUAAGUUAAAGCUAUAAAAACUGUCUAAUAUGUAUCUAAUCACAACAUACACUCUGUUUAGAUGUUUGUUCGGUAGAUUGCUCACUCACUAGGUUCCAAGUUCAACUCCCCAAGUUGCUUUUUCUUACCAACAUAAAAAAGGAGACAACCAAAAAGGAGACGUGCGGGGAUCGAGCGACCUGGAUCGGGAUCGUUCGGAUAUGAAACAAAAAACAAAACGUUCGGAAAUUUUCAAAUUUCGUUUAUAGAUAGAUUCACAUAUAUAUUAGGCUUAAAUCAAUGAUGUUGCUGGCGAGAGGGGGAUGAGGGAGCCCCCAUGCUGGUCCCCGGUCCUUGUUAGUGUUCUCGUUGUAUCAGAAAGCAACCUUAAAAAUGCUUAAUAUCUUGUCUCUAAACUUGAAGACAUACAAAACCCAAACAUGCGAAGUUGAAACACAUACAUAGUUUGAAAAAAAGUACACAGACAUGCAAACACUUAACACUUAAGGCGACAUCCUAUGACGGCUUACACCACCUCAUGUGACUUCACCUUGAGUGCCAUCAUCGGCGUGGGGCGUCGAGCUCAUGGUGGCUGUGUGGCAAUGGUGUAGUGCGGAGCCAGUCGUGCCGUAAGACUCUGUACUGCACGUAAGUGCGUUAUCUUCCUCACAAAACAUAGGAAGAGGAAAUGACUACAUUGUAAGGGCAUCAAUCAAAGCAUGUCACCACCACAUACUCCAGGCCACACAUGCUAUUAUGUCUUAAACGAAUCUUUAUAGUUUAUAAAGUAACUUUCAUCAUGCUAUUUCUUAUAGUUUUUCUCCAUUGUUUUAUAUUUUAUCGGACCAACUUACUAAUAAAGCGUCAGAGAUGCAACUGCAUGUCUAAUGCCUAUGCCGAUAACUCAUCAUUUUUAGUAUAGCUUAUCUCUAUGUCAUUUAACAAUUUGACAAAGAUUGCAUUUUCUCGCUUUGAAUACCUAUCUUCUUUUAUAGUACUAACUUGCUUAUUUUCAACUGAGGACGCAACAAUGCAAAAAUUCACGCAAAAACAACAUAUUGACAUUUUGACUAAGGGAGGAGUCAAGUGAAUAGUAUUGCCUGAAUUUUGUACUGGUAGAGUAGAGUACAAUAAGUGAAUUGGCGCCCCUAAACUGGUAGCCUACCAAUUGUGGCGGGACAAUAUACUAGUUUCUUUUAAUAGCUCAUAAAAAGAUGAGCUAUACUAUGUUUUUACUUGCUCAUUUUUUUUAAAGAAUCAUCGUGAGCUGAAAAAUGAAGACGUGGGGUGUCAACCACAGAAAGGUAGGAAGUGACCAAGUUUGGUGGGCCCGUCACAUGAUAUUUAUUUUUUGCACGAGGACAUGGUAAUGUUGCUCAUGCUUUAUCCAUCAUGGCCGAGCAUUUGUGGGGAUAGGGUUGUGGGCUGCGAUCACGACGCCUUGUUCCGAGAGGUGUCGCACUGCAGUCGCACCAGUUAGCCAUUCUGGAGGUAGGCAAAGAUGUCAUGGUGGGAUUUACCUUUUGGGUUUGGCAAUCUGGCAGAUGGUGUUGGUGCGCGUGUUGCCUUGCAAACAAACUGGCUGUGGGCAUUACUUCCUGCUUGUUCAUCAAAGCUUACGGACUGUCAGAACACGACUUCUUCAAGAUACAUAUAACUUGAAUCUUAAUUGGGCGUCUACCAAUUCAUGUGUUCGCAAACAUACCUGCUAAGCAGUCAGAAUGGCUGCAAGAAAAUUCCCUCGAAAUGCAAACAAUGCAUCGGUCAUGAUGCAAAACACAGUUUGGAUGUCAGACAAUCUUAUGGUUAGGAGUAGAAUGGAUGAAGGUUGAGGCUUUGAUUCAACCGACACUUCUCCGCCUUAUGGUUAGGGAGCAGAACGGAUGAAGGUUGUAACAUUCUUUAUCUUAGUAUCUUUAGAAAAGAAUGACUAGUCUUCCUCUCUUCUUGUUACAAUAGUGAGGGUACAUUGAUGAAGGAUACCACCCACCAAUUAAUCCAUGCAUGUGGCAUUUGACCUUUAUUUAUUGUGCAUACGUAUUUCUACUCACAACAAUGAUAUUGCAUCAGCUACCAUCGGGUCAUGGAAACAAUAUGGCGGGCAUCUGGAUCUAUGAGAUAGCUGGCAUUUUGGACCAUGUGCGAACUACCAUAUCGAUUGUCAUUAAAAGGCCCUAUGUUCACACUCCUUCCCCUCUCAAGUCUUCACAUCUCACAGAAAUAACCUUACGAAUACAAUGUCAGUAGUCAUAGUCUAGUGUGUAUAAUGGGAGUUCCAACUAAAUUUCUAUCACUUCAAAUCUUCUCGAUUCAUCAACCACAAUUAGUUGUUUAAUAGUUAGAAAUGUUGAGAUGGAAUUCCUUCCUGGGCUCUCACGCGUAGGAAUUGGAGGCAUCAGAAAGUUAGUGAGGACAUGUUGAUAUGCUGACGCGCGAGACACACAUGAACACAAGUCUACCCACCCUAGUUCCAGUUGCCUAGCUCCUGGUCGAUUAGGUAUGUCCACAAACUAACACACAUCUUCUUUGGGUCUGACCUAUGCUCCGCUCAUCACUUUAAGAUUCGGCACCAAUGAUCGUGGCAUUAUAUAGUGCGUCAGGAUUGUGCUCCCCAUGGUUAACUGUGUGAAUAGAGGUAUCAGAGGCCAGUAUAAUCAAAGAGCUUACAUUCUUGAGUCUGACAAGUGGGUGUGGACAACCUUGGGAUGGUUGGUCCGUCCCAUUGGAGGUGUGUCCUAGGUCUAUUGCUUUGUCGACAACUGGACGAAGUGAGCAUUGCCAAUAUGCUCCAUCCCACCAUGUUCACAACCCUCUGUUCCCACCAAUUCCCCAAGCAUGUCUUUUUUUAGAUAAUUAUAUAUUUUUACCUCAAAAUAGGUUUUCACUCCGCUUUAUCUAUAAAUGUCGGGAAGGCUAGUUGCGUGUCUUAUAUUUACACCAAUAACUCUUUACUGUUUUGUACAUGUUAUCAUAAUGUCAUUUAAAUUUUUUCCAAAGAUUGCCUUUCAUGGCUUUAAAUACCGGCAUUUCCAUAAUGUUGGGGCCGGGCGAGGGGGUGGAUGGGAUCUAGUGUUAGGACAUCGCUUUAUUUAUUUAUUUAUUUUAGAUUGCGGGGAGCACAUCGUUUGAUAUGAUGGGGAUGGACCGGUGGGUUAGUGUAUUUGUGUAUAAUAUUGUGUCUUUGUGGUCAUAGAAGAGUUGUUUCCAAAAAUAUCUAACCACGAUGUCUAGCUAUAUUAGUACAUACAUGUAAGAAAAAAAGUGAAAAACACUACUCAUGUGAAAAAGCACCACGAAUGAAAGCAAGAAAAUGCCCAUUGAAAACCUCCCUUUGUGGCUAUUCUUGUCACUACCGAUUUUAGUCAUCCGUCAAUGGUGCACCAAUAACAAUAUGCAAUUAUGCAGCAGUGGAUCUUCACAGAUUAUGUGAUCUUAGACACCGUGAUAGACACGUUUUGGCCUUCCAACUCGCCGACAAUCCAACUUUUUCACAUGAAAAAUUUGAGAAAUUCAAGGCACAAAACAUCUGAACCUACUUUUUCCCGCAAAACAUCCUGACCCACAUAUCGGUCCGCCGACCGAUCCAGACCUACUUUUACCUCCUCAAAGGUCCUUUUUUAAGCGGGCAUCGACAAGAGAGACUUGUGUAAGAUGGCAGUUGUGGUGUCAGGAUUUCUGUGGCAAUGAUGGCGGGGUGAGCAAUAGUAGGGUGAUGGCAGUGGUUGCGGUAGUUGACUCUUUUGCAUGUCCACGGGAUUAUUUCGGGUCGUUUGUUGCAGAGAAGUUGGACCUGACAUGAAGGCCGAGAGGCGGCAAUGAAUUUUUCUCACGGGCGCCGUCGAUGGAUGUAGGAGGAAAAAACCUCAGCACUCCAAGGAAUUUGGAUGUAUGUUGCAAUUUCUGUAAGGGCGUUUUGGUAAGUGAAUGUGUGUACUUGAUAUGUGGCCCUUGACCUAUCCGUAAAAAAGUACGAAUUUGAAAGGGGCCAAGAGGUGAUAUGCUAUGUGAGCUUACCAAUGUGGCAAUUUCUUCAUACUUACAUGGUCUACGAGAGAUCGAUUGUGACGAGUCAUGCCGGGCGGUUUCGCGGCAGGUAGCAUCCGCUGGAUUGUUCGAGUUUGGGGCAAUAAUGCUUGCCUGAUUGGUUGUUGUGCCUUGUUGUUUUCAGGUAUUGUGUCGCUGACGGCAGAAGACUGACUGUUGCCGAUGCUCCAUCUAUGUUCAUGAUACCCACCGACUUGGUGGAACACAAGGUUUCAAGACAAUAAUAAUUUAGUUAGGGCAUUUGAUGUUCUGCCAAAUACUCACCAGGCAGACAGACUAAAGUAAUGAUUUUUUGCUGGAUUUUUUCAUGGCAAGCCAAGCACAAUCCAGAUCCUAAUUAGAGACCCUACGGAUCCUAAGAGUAAUGAUUUACUGUGUGGCCUGUCGAUCUACUGUCUGUUCAUUGCUCUCGGGAAUAUUUUGAUUCUCACAAAUCAAUCAGUUAGGUGGACUGGGUCACGAGUCAUGAGAUCUGUGUCUACACUUGCUUCAUUAGUUUGAAAAUGUUGACCAUUAAUCUGGACUGGCACUAGAGUAUGAGUUUAAGUCAUGGUCACUGUUGCUAAAGAAUGUACUUAAUUUUCAUCAUUUUAACCUUCAAUAAGGAGAAUGAUAUCAUCAACCGCCAAGAAAAUCAACAAAUUUGACAUCAGAACCAUAUGAGCCACUUGCAACUAAAUAGAAAAGAAAGCACAUCAUUUGGCACGUGGGCUUAUUCAGUUGCAUUACUCACUAUAUAUGGAGAAACAAAUGAAGAAUCAACUGUCAUUUGCUUCUGCACUCCAUAUGCUGCUGCCUUUAUUCUCCUACACAAGGCUGGUGGAAUCUGCUGUUCUCCCUCCUCUUCUAAUUGGAUAUGGCAAAAUGAUUGUUCAUGCACACCACAAUAUGCUUUAACAAGAAGAAACCAAAGGGACCGAACAUUCUUGGUAAAAAAGAGGAACCAAGAAUUGGAUUUGGGACAAAUUGCAGGGUGCCACCAAGGAUGGGCAUGGAUGAGCACCGAAAAGUUAGUUAGACCUCAAUCCGUAGAGUUGAUUGUCCACUGAAAGUCCUAAUUAUUGUAGACUGAUGCCACCCGUUAUGUGGUAUCAAGUGGUUAAUUUCUAGUUUGCGGUCGACCAAGAUCUUGAUCGGUAAUCCAAUGUAAAUAAGAGUAUCUGUUGUGGAGAUCGUACCAUUGCAUUUUCCAUGAUGGAGAUUUCUUUUCAUAUUCCAUGCAGCACGAAUUGGAUCGAAUUUUGGGUAGGGAUCGCCUGUGCCAAACAAGAAAAGGCUGGAGUAAUAUUCUGCAAAAGAGAAGUUGUCCCAUAUUUUAAACAGUGCAGUGCUUUCCGAGCUCUUCUUAAGCUAAUUUAUUACACAAACUUUUGCAGUUAUUCUAAAAAAGUAUUUUAAGCCCCAGCAUAAAGCACACUUUGUUGAUAUGUACUAUCAAAGCUUGUGACCACCAAUAAAAUUAUGGAACCACUAGUAGGAUACAGAUGAUCACUGUUCUUAUAUAUGAUCUACUAUAGUUAUGAUAGUUUGUAAUGAAAAGUUAUGUUAUAGACCCGUACAUCUCCAAGCUCACAUGCCAAAGCAAAAUAACUUCUUUACAAAAAGCACCCAUCGAAUUAAGCACUUGUGUACAUGCUCUAAGAAUGAUUGUUAUUGGCACAGGCGUUCACAGGAUAUAUAUUAUUCGGUUGCUGAAUAAAGCUUGAUCAUCAAUCUUAACAAUCUCCAAGUUACUUUUUGUUUUUCUCGUACAAGACCUCGAUCAUAAAUCCUGUGAAAAUAGGAUCAUUUCCAUGGGAGAUCUAGCAAUUGAAUUUCUUAUGAUGGAAUUUUCUUGUAUGUACUACACAGGAGAAUAUGGAUCAAACUCUGGCUAGUGAUUGCCCGGGUGGCCGGACCGAACUAUGGAAAGUUGUAAAAUCCUGAAAAAGAGAAGUUGUUUCUUCAACAUAGCUAGUGCUUUUUUAGCCAUUUCCCAGUUAAUUAUACUUGAGGAGUAAAUGUAUAAUGCUUUACAUCAUCAGGGCAACUGCGGCCUGCUAUUCCAAGCUGAGAAGAAGAGAUCGAUACGGAUUGAAGAUCUUAGUUGUUGAGCUAGAGGCAAAAGGCAGCAGAUCCCUGAAAUCUCUGCUUUACACCAUGAGGGCAACCGCUGCCUGCUCUGUGAUUCUGUGUUAUGCUAAUCUUGCUGAAGAGCAUUCCUUAGUGUUGUUAAAUAUGCUUCUAUCGCACGCACACCGGAAAAAGCUACGCGCUUCCGUGUGUGUAUUUUCGUUUCAAGAAAGCGGUCUUCGCUUCUUAGGUAGAACUGCACUGAGCAUCCCAAUGUGUGUGUUUAGCCAGAAGCCACAUAAUGCCAUUUCAGGAAGCAUGAUUAACACUCUAACAGCAGUAAAAACAUCUAGACUGUGGGCGGUCAUCCGCCUUUCACUUUUUCCACAAGUCCGUAAUGGCUAAACGCGGGGAAAGAGGCUGAAGGAAUAAGUUGGAAGAAAGUCGAUUAAAUUUCAGACUCUGCUACUGGACCAGCACAGUAUAUUAUGCAUACAAAAAUUGAUAUGCCAUCAAUCAUCUAAAAAAAUGGUAACAGAAAUAUGAUUCAUGGGCAGAUGUGCACUUUCCUUUUCUAAGAACUAAAAUUGCGGCUCUUAACAUGAUAGAGUUGCGAAAAGCAAACUGGAAAAGAAAGGGAGGUAGUGUCCUUUCUGUUUCAGGAACAUCUUUAAGAAAGAACUUCUAACAACAUGAUAGUGAGUUAUCCAUUAUCUAUAGUAGUGAGUUGUGUUACCUACAUCUGUCACUUUAUUAUCUAAUUUGCCGGCAGAAACUUUGUGUAUCUGGGGUAUCUGGCUGCUUUAACAUCGCCUUGUUGUCCAACUUCCAAUGCAUCAAUAUGGGCGGCUUUCUCGCGCAUCCCCGUGACAUAAGACGUUUGUUAUCGACUAUGUCACACCAGUGACGAAAUAUAAUGGGUGAACAGUUCUCCUUUUGUGAAACCUGUCAGUUAAACGAUUUAUUGCAAUUUGCAAAUAUGCUGAUUCAGUGCAAGAUCUUGCUGAGCUCUGUUCCUAGCAGCAACGAGAAAAACAUCUGUGCUGCUCUCCCAAGACGUGUUUGGCAAGUGAGCAGUGCUUUCUUUCACAUAGUAGCAAUAGUAGAAAUGGAGACAUAUCUGAGAUUUGACAGUGCUUUCUUUCACUAGAUUAUAUAUGAUACAAGGCAAAAGCACCCACGGCUGAAGUACAAGCAACUACACAAACAGACUGGUGAAAGUAAAACCAUCUACCAUCAAAAGCUUCCUGGAGCUGCUGGACCUUCUCCCUGCCGCACGAAACAUGGAGGCUCUGUGUCAAAAUCCACGGCCUCCGGUUCCUCACACACAGUUUUCCAGGCGCCUUUCAACAGAUCGGAAGACGACUGACCAAAACCCAAACAGAAAUUGAGGAGGAAAAAGACAGAGCAGAAACAGAGGCAGUAGUAGUGUUUAGGGGAGGAAGGGAGGGAGGGAGGACUUGAUGAACUGCCAUGGCCGUGCUAUAGCUAAUCCUAAGUCCUAACGACUGGCCAUCUGGUACCUUGCGAGAGUGGCGGUAGUGGUUGGGUACUGGUGGCAAUCCAUGCCAGCGUGCUCCCUAUGAUCAGCCGCAGCCUCAUGGGGGCGCGGCGUGUAUGUGUAUGCGCCGUUGCCGGCGUCGUCGCCGACCUUGUUUUGCCAUGCGGGAAGCUUCUGCGGCGUCUCGCUGCCAGCCUUGUCUUGCCAGUCGGCGUACCCGCCCUGGCCGGCAGCGUCGCCGUGGUCGGCUUUUGGCCGGCCUUCGCGGACGACGACGGUGGGCGGCUGCUGGUACGCCGGCGCCGACCAGUUGGCGUUCCCUCUGCUGCGGCCGUAGUCGUCCCGUCUGCGGCCGCCGAAGCACGAGCCGAACUCCAGGCACAUUCUUUCUUGGUGGCGAGUAGUGAGGUGGCCGACUCGGCGCCGGGUGCUUCUUCGAACUACUCUAGCUGGGAGCUGGGAGCUACUGGUAGUGGGAAGCAGCACUAUCCUGGAAGUAGCUGCUGGGGGUAUCUGUGCAGUGGUGGUGUUGAUGGCUCUGAAACUGACAGUGUUGGUGUGGUGGGUGAUUUAUAUUCGGGGCCGAGAAGAGAGCUCGUGCUGGACGCGACGUGUGUGUAGCAAGCCAAGCGAUUCGAAAGCUCCGUAUGAAAAGAGGGGGGUUUAGGUCCCGAUCGAUCAGGCCCAUCGUCGACGCGUCUCACGUUUGACACGUCUUCUAACACACGGACGUCGUCGUUUAGGUCCCGACCGAUCAGGUCCGUCCAACACCAUCUAAUGCGUGUCCCACAGACCGCCCCACUUAUCUGGGGGACAACUUCGACAUUUGACUAGAUAUAUAAAAAAAACAUCUUCAACCUUCGUCAAGAAAAGAGCAUCUUCUACCGGACUCCUCAAAUUCAGCCCCGUUGUUAGUCUGGCCCACCUUAGACCCGAUAAAACCCCAUCCUUAACCCACUUCGGCCUCCUUUGGUUUGUAGAAAUUCUAUAGGAUAUGAUUUGCAAAGGAAAAACUCCGACGAAGCCCUUUGGUUUAUAGGAAUGAAUUCCUAUUCCUAUAUAGGUAUGAAUAGGAAUCAAUCCUUCAUAUUUUGGAGAAAAAAUAUAUUAGCCUAGACUUGAUGGAAAAAUUUCUAUCCUAUGCACUAAAUGACAUCUCUUUCUUUAUAGGAAUUGAGAUGCAUGUCAUCUUACUUCCUAUGAUUUUCCUAUUCCUAUAAAAAUCCUAUCCUAUGAACCAAUGGAGGUCUUUACUCUAUUUGCUCCGCCACUCUAUGCUCCUCCCUCUCCGGCCAUGUCGACCUUUGGGUCGGAGUCUGUCUGCUUCAGAUUUGACGCCAACGUGAAUUGGGAGUUCAUUGCAUGCUUGGAUGACGAUGAGUUUGCCCUCCGUCUCUCACUUUGCCAGUCUUGGCGUUGGUGUAUUAAAAAUGAGUGUUUAUACCCUGACUAUAGUGCACAGACAGUAGGAGCCUUCCCGACGGCAAGAGUUUGUCGGAGGAUGGCUCUUACCAACACUCAAGACUUGGUAAUCAAACCAUGAAGAAGACCUCGAGGCAGGUCAUAGAGAAGUACUAAAGAAGUAGUAAAGAUCAAGACUCAAGUCACCGGCAAGCUUCAGGCCGGCAGGCUUUGGACCGGCAACCUCAAGAACGACAAGCUCAUCCCCACCGCUCCACUGUGGCAACAGACAAGAGCUUGCCGACAGGCGUCGAGCGGGCAUGUGGUUAUGUGAAGCUUGUCGGGACACAUGGCGGCCCAUCGCUGAAGAAGUAGCUUUAUUGACACCCAUCCAAGUGGCAUUGUCGAUAGAAUAGAAGGUAGCUGAGCGAGCGGUGCAGGUGGAGAUGGACGGCCUUGCCGGCAUUCUCCCUCAGCAUGACACCUAAUGGAGCAUCUAAGUUAGGUAUUUGGAACUAUAGCCACUAUCUGCCUUUGUAAUUACGAUUUUGCCACUGUGGUAGCCUUCAUCUAUAAAAAGAGGCCCAUGACAACCUUUACAAGGGUCGACACCAUGCCCAAUUGCACUAAUUAGCUGCACUUCCCGAGAACUUUGCCGGCAAGCUCGCGCUCUCUUGUAACUUGGGUACUUUUAUCAUAUAGUUUCACCAAAGCAGGAGUUGUGUUUUACACUUCACAGCGGCCCGAACUUAAAUAAUUCUCUGUGUGUUUGCCUGCUAGAUCUGCUCUUUGUGCAUUGUGAUUCUCACAGCCAAACCACCAAGGGGCCUUGCUGGUCCUAAAGAUUGUUGUAUGUCAAGUGGUCGAGACUUGGCUUGAGACCCGAGCUAUACCGUCAGCGGGCCAGCGCGGAUACAACAGUACGGCGUCUUCACCGCCUCACCGCCACAUCAGUGUGAGUUCAGCAACCGCGACGCGUCCACCGAUAACUCAAGGCACCCGCGCACUGCCGACGCGUGUUCGUGCCGUUCCUGCAGCACGGCCAUGCUGGCUCGAGCUGCUUCGCUCCGUCCCCGUCGGACCAGCCGCUAGGUUCUUAUCCACCACACACCAUUGUUGACUUUGGCAACGUCGUCCCCGCUGGCAUGUGGCGGCUACAGGAGUCGAGGCACAACGUGCUCGUUGUUAGUUGGAGAAGGCGCACCGUGACUCUACUCCGGUGGUGCUGGUGCUGUCGGACUCCGACAAAGACCCGGUCAUCUGUGGCAUCAAUUAGCGGUCCCUCACCACCACCAAUGAGUCAUACGUGCACCGCUGCCGGAAGAUCAACACCGAAGGUCCUCGCUCGGCAUUGGGUAAUCGCGUUGCGACGCUAAUAAGACGGUGCUGGUUUUCGGUGGAUUUAUUUGGAUUCAGUUUUCGUUCUUCUUCGUUCAUGUGGUUACAAGUUUGAUCUUUUCGACCUACGACUCUCUUCAACGACGAGGGUUGCUGCCCUAGUGCGCCGAUUCUUUAGUCCUUUGGCUCGCUCCAGUAUUUGUAGUCGUCGGUCUAUGGAUCUGGUUGUAAUUUUUACCUCUAGGCUUCCUUGUACUCCCAUGAUUGAUUAUGAAUUGAUCGGAAAGUUUUCUUGAAAAUGCUUUGAAAGCCUGCACCAUACAACUUUGCAUUACCUGUCUUGCUUAGUGUGCUUUUGCCAAAUUGCCAAGAUCGACUGGCAAUCCUAGCUUCAAGGCUCGGAUAGUGAGGUGAUGUGAUUUUCCGGGUGGUGCUCCGCAGGGUCAACCGUGCGAACCGGCGGAACCGGACGUUGGCACGCAACGAGUCGUGGCGCGGGCGGUGCCGCGGGACGGCAGAGAAUCGAUCCUAUGGUCCUACCGGAGGCAAGCAAGGCACGCGGGACAAAGGAUGAUUGCCGUUGACUGGGGCAUGCGCUCGGCCGGUUGUGGUUAGGUCGUGUUGGAAUGUUGGACGAGCUGGUCUUACUGUGUUUUCAAGCUGUCGACAUACGCGGCGCACAUGGGGAUAGCGACGACGUUAGACUCUUCACUGGUUCGCUUAUCCGUGGCCGCAUAUUUUUUUUCGCGAAUUACGCAAAGCUUGCAUACCUUUUCAUUGAUAGAAGAAGUUGAAAUGUGAACAUAGGGGGAGGGGUACAUCGCAUGACAGAACCAAACAUGGCAUACACAUGGUGUCCGGAGUAGAGAGACAUGGGUUGCUCGGCCCAAACAGAAGCUACAACACAGCGCUAAACUACCCUAUCCAAGCGAAACAACCCAAACAAGAUGAUGUCCCGAAACUCAAAAUCUAGUGCCAAACACGCCACGAGCAAGCAAGACGAUGCCUUCAUGAAGGGGAACGACGUCAUGACGUCGCCGUCGUCCGGUCCAAGGAACUGGACCUGGGGUUUCCCCCGGAGCUCGAGCAGGGAACGGAGAAAAGGCCGUGGCAGUGCCUCCAGGAUGGUGACGGCACCCGCAGGUGUCGCUGCUGUCAGCAUCAGCAAGCCAUGCAUGGAUUUUGCACUGGCCAAUGUCCGAAUAAUCCCAUGGCCGCCAGGAUAGAAUCCAAAGAUGAGAACAUGUCAUAAGCUGGGGCCGCCAUUGCUUGAAGGGGAGCCAUGCCCACUGCCGAAGUGGCAAUGGGAGCCGCCGGAAGCGCGAGCAUUGGUUCUGUUGAAGGAGGGGCGACGCAAGGUGUGGCUGUCGGGGAUGAAGAGACGGCGACAAGGCAUAGACAACCAGCACACGGGAGGCGACAGCAACCGGCAUGACGACGAGCCAAGAUUUGGAGAUACGCAGAUCUGGAACGACAAGGCCGAAGCUGCCAAAAUGCCGAUGCCCGACAAGCCCAGGAAGCCGGAAAAGAGCGUAGCUUCAAGAGCGCCAGGGUCGGAACCGCCAAAACGUCGACGAGCCCGAUAAGCCGGAAAGAACGCAGCUUGUGGGAUGCCGGGGUCGAAGCCACUACGGGAGCGCCGACAAGCUGGACACCAGAAAAUGCGGGUCCAUGCCUACCGGGCCACAAUAGCAACGGCCAGAUCCACCGCGUGCAGGCCAUCACGCCGUCGAGGAAAAGAAGAUCCGCACCACCACCAAGCAGAGUGGCUGCAGGCCCGCGUGAGCCCAGCUUGGGGUCGCCUGCAGCACCAGCGCACGGAGCAUCCAUCGGCGCACGGCCGCAACCAUCAGCGCACACGCCGGAGAAAGGAGGCGCACCAUGCUCGCCCACAGCCGGCCCCCGCCCGCGCGCCAGAUGAAGACGCAGCACACACCGGUAGUGCGCCCACGCGCUGGAUCUUUCCGUCGUGGCCCCCAUGGCCAAAACCGCCGCUCUCGUGCGCGUAGCUAGGGAGGGAAGGACGCCGCCAGGGACAGGAUUGCCAGCCAGAGAGGGGAGGCGCCGCCGCGAGAGAAGAAGGCCGCCGCCGUGGAACCCGCCCCGCGCCGUCGGGAGGCCAUGGCCCCGCAUCUCGACGCCACAGGAGCAAGAACGCCCCGCCGCCACCAUCCUUGGAGACACGCGAACUUNNNNNNNNNNNNNNNNNNNNNNNNNNNNNNNNNNNNNNNNNNNNNNNNNNNNNNNNNNNNNNNNNNNNNNNNNNNNNNNNNNNNNNNNNNNNNNNNNNNNNNNNNNNNNNNNNNNNNNNNNNNNNNNNNNNNNNNNNNNNNNNNNNNNNNNNNNNNNNNNNNNNNNNNNNNNNNNNNNNNNNNNNNNNNNNNNNNNNNNNNNNNNNNNNNNNNNNNNNNNNNNNNNNNNNNNNNNNNNNNNNNNNNNNNNNNNNNNNNNNNNNNNNNNNNNNNNNNNNNNNNNGCGGAUUCGAGGUGCGGCAGGCGGCGCGGUUAGGGUUCCCCCCGAGUCGCCUGCGUGGCGGCGCGGGGGGCGGGGGGAGGCGAUCUAGCAAAGUGUGUUCAUGACAUAAUUCCUAUGCUUGUAUAGAUGAAUAAAGGAUGUUUGGCCGCAUAAUUUUUUUUACGGAUUUGCUAUUUUACAGUUGAGCGUUUUUCAAUUCGUUAUCAUUCCUAUCUCUGCCCGUCCGUUCUCGCACGCAGAUUCACGCUAGGAGGUGUGUUUUUCGGUUCGUUUUGUUUCUGGGCGCGGUUUUGUUUCUGUCCCAGCCCGUUAUCACCGCCCGACCCGGCAUCGAUUGCUUUUUAUUUUUAUUUUGGGGUGUCGUUUCCCCUUUUCAUUUGGGAAGAGAGAGAAAGAGAGAGGAACAGGCGCUCAUGCAGCGGAGAGAAGAUGUGAUUCUAUCUGUUCAUGUCGAUUCCAAGUUUCCCCACUGCUCGAUCUUGAUUUCUUUUCCCUUUCUCUUCGAUCCAUGGCUGCCGCGGUUGGUUACUCUCAUCUUUCUCCCUCCCCCAUCUGAUUUUGGCUUGUUUAUGCCUAUCUAGCUUCCAAAUCUAGGUGAGUUUUUUGUUAGGAUUCAUCAUAGGUGUAUGUUGCUGCCCUUUUGUUGCUCUUUGUAAUUUUAGCUGUUGGUUCUGGAUACUGGCAUGCUUACUCCGCCAUUGCUCCCCCUCUGCUCGCCUAGGAUCGAUGUAUCAUUUCUUCUGUUAGUGCUAGGUCAUCUGGUGUAGGCGCUGGUAGCUGGUUCGAUUUUGUAGGUUGGUUUACAUCUAGGUCAUCAGAUGGAUGUUUAUGUGGUUAGGGUUGGUGAUUUGUGCUGGCAGGUGGCCUCUGUUUUGGUCUUGUUGCUCUUGCUGUUCCUGUUACCUCUUGAAUGUUUGUUGUAGAUUUAUGGCUUUUGGUAGGUUAGAUGUAGGUGUUAGUUUCCUUGGUUUAGGGUUUUCUCGGUGCAUCAUAUUUACUGAGUUAGCUUUGCUUUUGCACGAUUAGUAUGUUUUUCUGGUGCAUUUCCUUGGUUUUAUUUCACUGUAAUCCCAUGUGUUCUAGUCCUGUAGGUGUUCCUCCACUAGUAGAAAAAGGGUCAUCUGUCCCGGUUGGUAAGGACCCUUUGUCCCGGUUGUUGAACCGGGACUAAAGGGUCGUUACUAAUGCUCUAGCCCUUUAGUCCCGGUUCUUACAUGAACCGGGACAGAUGUGCCUCCACGUGGCCGGUGCGGCGAGCCCAGGCAGGAGGGUCUUUGGUCCCGGUUGGUGGCACUAACCAGGACCAAUAGGCAUCCACGCGUCAGCAUUUCAGGGGCUGGGGUUUUUGUUUUUUUGAAAGGGGGGAGGGGUUGGGGGUUUUGGGGGGUUAAUUUAGGUGUUUCAUAUAUUGUGUUAGCUAGCUAAUUAAUAGAGAGAAGUGUCCUCUCUUAUCUCCGUGCUUGGUCGAUGCUACGUACUAUAUACGUAUAGAGAGGACUAGACACGCUAGCUAGUAAGCAAAUGAAGGAAACAGAAGACCGUCAUGAACAUAUGCAUACAGAGAGAAGUGAUAUCGACCACCUCUCCUUCUCCGAGAGAUUGGUCGAACAACAAGUUCUCGUAUAUCUAUCCGACACUACCGGCUACAUAUAUACAAUAAUUAUCUCUUACAAUAUAAUCUCCUAAUUAUAUAUGAACACAGGGUCCACAUAGUAUUCUCCGUUUUCAGCGAUCACGUGGUCAAGGAAGAAUGCCGCCAAUUCCUCUUGAAUUGCUCGCAUACGAUCUGGUGGUAGGAGUUCAUCCCGCAUCCGAAAGAUCUAAUUUGAAGAAGGGGGUCAAUACAUAUAUAUAUGAAUAAAUGAAACUCAACACAAAUGAUGGUAAUAAAAUAAAAUUGUGAAUAUUAUUCCUUACGCACUUCAUAUUGUUCGUCAGAGUAGCCCCGCUCACAGGUCGUGUGGCGGAUGGACUCGCAAACGUAGUAUCCACAGAAAUUAUUCCCUUGUUCCUGCCACAACCACUUUACAAGAAAUAGAGGUCAAUCAAACUGAUAAGCAAACAUGCUAAAUGGUAUUGAUAAAACUAGCGCUUGAAUCACUAGGAGAUGCGCGGAACAUGCUACUAUAGUACUUACUUUCGGGUGUCUAAAUUGCAGCUUCUUUGGCAGUCCCGGAGCUUUUUUGGUGAAUUUUCUCCAAACCCUGCCAGACAAAGAAAACAAUUACUUGAUAUCAGGAAAUGAACAAAGUUGCUGAUAUGGUGGAUAAUGAUCGAUUUAACUUACUUCUCGAGCAUUUGAGUCAUGUCCGCAUAGUCCUGGGGAACUUUUCGUCUCGAGUCUAAGACGGUUACUACUCCCUGCUCAAGCUUAAUCUCUAGGAUAAUAUAGUGAAAGCUGCGCACGCAUGCAUAAGUCAUCAAUUACAUUACUAUAACCUGGACUAAUAAGGGAAACCGAAUAUGCACAAGACAGUAACACUCACUUGAAGUUGUAAGGAAAGAGUAUUAUAUCUUUGUUUUCAUUUAUUACCAACGAUCGUAGCAAGUUGGCCUCGGUAUUUUCGGCAUGAUAUUUAACCUUAGUUGCAUCUCUGAGAUUUGUGUUAAUGGACCCAAUAUCACCGAUUUGUCUUUUCUUCAAUUCGGCGAUCUUCAAUCUGCAUAAUAUAGUGAGGAUAAUUAUAAAUACAUGCAAUGAAAGAGCUGACCUAUAUAAAGAGACUUAAUGACAGAAGUAGUACUACUUACAGACAGUAGCAAGUGACCCUUGAUUUAUUGAGGGCCUUUUGAUUGAAAAACUAGAAGAACUCCUCAAAUGGAACAUUCAACAGUUCAAUUCCAACGAGGUCAUGCUCCUCUUUAACUCUCAGCGUUAAAGUAUUCCUCCCCCCAGACUCUCUGCAGGUUUUCAUGUACCAAUCAUGGAAUCUUCGCAUCAUCGUUGUUAGAGAUCUUUCAUCUUUGACGAGAGGCUUCCCGUACUCGUAUCUGUGUUCCUCCACCUCCAAGAAAUCAUAAUGUACAUCGUCGGGCAGGUAAUCUCCAAGAGUGCUAUAACCGGGCACCAUCCUCGGAUCAUUAGCGACGAUGUCGCUAGACACCUUGAGCGGGGGGCACGAUUGGUUCGCUUGUUCGCCGAGCUGGGCAAUUUUUUCCCAGCUCGUCGUUCUUUUAACCUUUGAUCACUGACAGUACUUCCCGACCGCUCCGCUUCGACAAAUGUCUUUGCAGUAAUGCCCUCAUAGUUGCCUUUCGGCAGAGACUUUGGUGGUUUUGUCAGGGCAGCCAGAGUGCGCUUCGCUUUCACCGGAUCUACGUUCUCCUCCGGAGGUGGAUGUUUCUUUGCUUUCACCCCUUCAAAGAAGUUCGUCACUUCGACUCGCACGAUCUUCGCGUUCUCCUCCGGGGUCCUCUCAUAUGGUAACUUCUCUGGAGUCUUCAGAGAAGUACCGAAUCUGUAUUGCCUCCCGCCUCUGGCUGUACUGCUAGACGCCGGCAGAGUAGACGGAGCGGCUGCGGCUGUCUUCUUUCCUUGCUUACGAGGCGGAGGAGAAGGACUACGAUGCGCCGGAGCAGCCGGAGCGGCGGCGGGUCUCUUCCGCCCUUGCUGACGAGGCAGAGAAGGAGGAGGCUGGCUGCUCGGGCGUGCCAGCGCAGGCGGAGAAGGAGGCGGAGUGCCGCCACGCGCCGGAGAAGGAGGCUGAGUGCCCUGAUCACUCCCUAGAGGAGGAGGCGGAGGCGGAGUGCCCUUACUCGCCGGAGGAGGAGGAGGAGGCGGAGGCGUCCAGUUCGGAAGGUUGAUGAGCUCCUUCUGCCAUAGGCAUGGAGUCUUCAGAGCAGAACCCAGCCGAGUCUCCCCUUCACCGGUAAGGUGGUCAAGCUGGAGGUCCUCAAAUCCCUCCAUUAUUUCGUCCACUGUCACCCUAGCAUAUCCUUCUGGAAUCGGACGACAGUGAAAUGUUGCGCCGGGUUCAGGAGGUCGAAUAGAGCCGACAGCCGCCUUGACUUUGAAGUUCUGCCAUUGCGUCAUAAGGUGGCAAUGUUGAGACUCCGUGAUAGCAUCCACGGGGUAGCUAGCAGGAGCCGUCAAGACAUGCUCCGGCUGAAGCAGCUUGGUGGAAGCCAUGCUGCUUCUCUGCUGAGAUGGCGGGGUAGCUUCGGGGGUAGUUUCGGCAGGUCGCUUGCUGCGAGCUACGUCUCGUUCCUCUAGCGCUUGAACCCUUUCGUGCAGCUUCUGAAUUUGGGUGUGCUCCACUUUUUUCCUCCUCUCCUGGCAUUUGUAACCGCCUGCGUCCGGAAAACUAGCCUUCCACGGAACGGAGCCUGGCGUGCCUCGUGUCCGUCCAGGGUGCUCAGGAUUCCCGAGGGCCAUUGUGAGCUCGUCGUUCUCUCUGUCUGGAACGAACGUCCCUUGCUGCGCUGCAUCGAUAUAGUGCUGAAGCCUCUUGACUGGUAUUCUCAUUUGCUCGUCCAUCCAAACGCACUUCCCUGAUAGAGGGUCCAAGGUUCCGCCAGCCCCGAAGAACCAAGUCUGGCAACGGUCUGGCCAGUUCAUUGUCUCUGGUUCGAUCCCUUUAUCAAGCAGAUCAUUCUCAGCCUUGGCCCACUUAGGCCGGGCUUUGAGGUAGCCACCUGACCCCGUGCGAUGGUGAAGCUUCUUCUUCGCAGCAUUUUUCUUGUUUGUCGCUGACAUCUUCUUACUCUUUUCCGAUGUCUUGUGGGCCACAAAUGCGGGCCAGUGAUCUCUGAUCUUCUCAUAUUUGCCGAUGAAUUCUGGUGUCUCUUCUUUGUCGACAAACGUUUUCAGCUCAUUCUUCCACCUCCUGAAUAGGUCUGCCAUCUUCUUAAGAGCAUGAGACUUGAUUAAUUGUUCUUUAACUAGCUACUCCGGAUCCUCCUCUGGCGGUAGGGUGAAAUUUGCCUUCAGCUCAGUCCAAAGAUCAUCUUUCUGCAUAUCAUUGACAUAAGACCAGGGUCUUCCUUCUUAGGCUUAUACCAUUGGCGGAUGCUGAUCGGGAUCUUGUCCCUAACAAGAACCCCGCACUGAGCAGCAAAUGCUUCCUUUGUCCGGAUGGGUUCAAUCGGUUGGCCGUCACGCGCGAUUGCUGUGAUCUCAAACCUUUCAUCUGAGCGCAACUUUUUCUUCGGGCCUCGUCUCUUUACCGAAGUUGUGCUCGAUCCGGAGGGCUAGAAAAAAGAAGAAAGACGAGAGUUAAUUAAUAUGUGUACAUACCAAAACAAUGAAUGCAUCAAUUAGCUAGUCAGCACAGGCUUAACUAAUAUAUUUACCUGGCCGGACUCUGUUCGGUCACUGGAGCCGUCACCACGGGCUCCUUCUUGCACCAGCAUUGGGUCACCGGAGCCAUCAUAAUCAUGUCUUUCCUCCUCUACUCUUCGAUCAUCGUAGCCUGCUUCUUCACCCUGUUCUUCCAGACCAUCAUUGUCGUUAAGAUACGACAAGACAUCACCUCCGGCUAAGAUUAUGUCCCCCAACACCUCUUCUGCUUCCUCGUCUUGUCCGUGCUCCAUUGUUUCUGCAAAUAUUACAAUAUGGCAAUUAUUACACAAACAUGACAGCAGGUGGAUAUAUUAGUGCAAACGUAGACCUAGCUUAUUCCGGGUUUGGAUGGCCUCGGCAACGCUUCAAGGGUAGGGGCGCGGCGGGAGGGGGUAGGAGACCGACAUCAUUUUUUUCUAGGGUUUGGGUGUCCUCGAGAGUUUUGAUCCCCAACGACGACAUACAUACAGCUUCUCUUCUUCUUUUUCUUCUAUUUUCUUCUUCUUAUUUUCCUUUUUCCUCUCCUUCUUUUUCUUCUUCUUCAUUAUCUUCCUAGCUGGAUAUAUAAUACUUUUCUAAAAAUGUAACUUUUGCACAUAUAAAACUUUUUCUUCUUCUUCCUUCUUCCUUCUCUUCCUUCUUUUCCUAAAUAUAUAAAACUUUUCUAAAAAUGAAACUAACCUAAAAUGUACUAAAUCAGAGAACAUAUAUAGAUAAAACUAACCUAAAAUGUACCCAAAUGUACUAAAAAUCUAACUUUUAUAUGCACAGAGAACAUACAUACAUAUAUACAUUUUUAUAAAAAUGCAAAAAACAAAUCAUCAUAUAUAUGAANNNNNNNNNNNNNNNNNNNNNNNNNNNNNNNNNNNNNNNNNNNNNNNNNNNNNNNNNNNNNNNNNNNNNNNNNNNNNNNNNNNNNNNNNNNNNNNNNNNNNNNNNNNNNNNNNNNNNNNNNNNNNNNNNNNNNNNNNNNNNNNNNNNNNNNNNNNNNNNNNNNNNNNNNNNNNNNNNNNNNNNNNNNNNNNNNNNNNNNNNNNNNNNNNNNNNNNNNNNNNNNNNNNNNNNNNNNNNNNNNNNNNNNNNNNNNNNNNNNNNNNNNNNNNNNNNNNNNNNNNNNNNNNNNNNNNNNNNNNNNNNNNNNNNNNNNNNNNNNNNNNNNNNNNNNNNNNNNNNNNNNNNNNNNNNNNNNNNNNNNNNNNNNNNNNNNNNNNNNNNNNNNNNNNNNNNNNNNNNNNNNNNNNNNNNNNNNNNNNNNNNNNNNNNNNNNNNNNNNNNNNNNNNNNNNNNNNNNNNNNNNNNNNNNNNNNNNNNNNNNNNNNNNNNNNNNNNNNNNNNNNNNNNNNNNNNNNNNNNNNNNNNNNNNNNNNNNNNNNNNNNNNNNNNNNNNNNNNNNNNNNNNNNNNNNNNNNNNNNNNNNNNNNNNNNNNNNNNNNNNNNNNNNNNNNNNNNNNNNNNNNNNNNNNNNNNNNNNNNNNNNNNNNNNNNNNNNNNNNNNNNNNNNNNNNNNNNNNNNNNNNNNNNNNNNNNNNNNNNNNNNNNNNNNNNNNNNNNNNNNNNNNNNNNNNNNNNNNNNNNNNNNNNNNNNNNNNNNNNNNNNNNNNNNNNNNNNNNNNNNNNNNNNNNNNNNNNNNNNNNNNNNNNNNNNNNNNNNNNNNNNNNNNNNNNNNNNNNNNNNNNNNNNNNNNNNNNNNNNNNNNNNNNNNNNNNNNNNNNNNNNNNNNNNNNNNNNNNNNNNNNNNNNNNNNNNNNNNNNNNNNNNNNNNNNNNNNNNNNNNNNNNNNNNNNNNNNNNNNNNNNNNNNNNNNNNNNNNNNNNNNNNNNNNNNNNNNNNNNNNNNNNNNNNNNNNNNNNNNNNNNNNNNNNNNNNNNNNNNNNNNNNNNNNNNNNNNNNNNNNNNNNNNNNNNNNNNNNNNNNNNNNNNNNNNNNNNNNNNNNNNNNNNNNNNNNNNNNNNNNNNNNNNNNNNNNNNNNNNNNNNNNNNNNNNNNNNNNNNNNNNNNNNNNNNNNNNNNNNNNNNNNNNNNNNNNNNNNNNNNNNNNNNNNNNNNNNNNNNNNNNNNNNNNNNNNNNNNNNNNNNNNNNNNNNNNNNNNUUUGCUUUUAAUGUUUUGAACAGAAAAUACUUUGAUAAUUUUAGUUGCAUAAAUUCUAUAUAAUUUUAGUUUCAAUAAUAUUAGAGGUUUAUAAAAGCUUUUUAGUUGAUUCCUUUAGUACCGGUUCUUUCUGCCUUUUCUGACUUCAUUUGUUAUUUUUCAUGCAUUUAUUGAUUAUUUUGAGCUAUAAGACUCUGAAAUUGAAAAGCAUUUCAAAUGAACUCUGAAAAGGUUGAAAGUUGGCAUGGUAUCAUCAUUUCAUCCACAUAGCAUGUGCAAGAAAGUUGAGAGGGUGACGGCAAAAACUGGAUGCACUUCGUGUAGAAAACGGACAAUGGUAUCAUACUCGUCUGUUACAAAGUUGGCAUGGUAUGAUCAUAAUAGUUGCGGGACUUCACUUUUUCUUCGCUUGUGUCAUUUGCUUAUUGCGCCGUAACCAUGGAUAAUCUUCAUCGUUUAUCAGGAUGCUUGGGUCAGCCUUGACUUUGAAGGGAGGAAUUUCAUGAAACUUUUCAUAAUCUUCAGACAUGUCUGUCUUGCCCUCCACUCCCACGAUGUCCCUUUUUCCUGAAAGAACUAUGUGGCGCUUUGGCUCAUCGUAUGAUGUAUUCGCUUCCUUAUCUUUUCUUUUUCUCGGUUUGGUAGACAUGUCCUUCACAUAGAUAACCUGUGCCACAUCAUUGGCUAGGACGAACGGUUCGUCAGUGUACCCAAGAUUUUUCAGAUCCACUGUUGUCAUUCCGUCCUAUGUGUCUACCUGUACCCCGCAUCCUAACAGAUUGACCCAUUUGCACUUAAACAAAGGGACCUUAAAAUCAUGUCCGUAGUCAAGUUCCCAUAUGUCCACUAUGUAACCAUAAUAUGUGUCCUUUCCCCUCUCGGUUGCUGCAUCAAAGCGGACACCGCUGUUUUGGUUGGUGCUCUUUUGAUCUUGGGCGAUUGUGUAAAAUGUAUUCCCAUUUAUCUCGUAUCCUUUGUAAGUCAAUACAGUCAAAGAUGGUCCCCUGGACAACGAGUACAGCUCAUCACAAACAGUGUUGUCACCUCUGAGACGUGUUUCCAACCAACUGCUGAAUGUCCUGAUGUGUUCACAUGUAAUCCAGUCGUCGCACUGCUCCAGGUGUUUGGAGCGCAGACUGUUCUUGUGUUCAUCGACAUACGAGGUCACCAAGGUAGAGUUCUGUAGAACUGUGUAGUGUGCUUGAGACCAAGAAUGCCCGUCCCUGCAUAUUAUUGAGUCCGUUCCUAGCGUGCCUUUUCCACUCAGUCUCCCCCCAUACCGCGACUUAGGGAGACCUAUCUUCUUAAGGCCAGGAAUGAAGUCAACACAAAACCCAAUGACAUCCUCUGUUUGAUGGCCCAUGGAGAUGCUUCCUUCUGGCCUAGCGCGGUUACAGACAUAUUUUCUUUAGGACUCCCAUGAACCUCUCAAAGGGGAACAUAUUGUGUAGAAAUACGGGGCCCAGAAUGACAAUCUCGUCGACUAGAUGAACUAGGACGUGCGUCAUGAUAUUGAAGAAGGAUGGUGGGAACACCAGCUCGAAACUGACAAAACAUUGCGCCACAUCACUCCUUAGCCUUGGCAUAAUUUCUGGAUCGAUCACCUUCUGAGAGAUUGCAUUGAGGAAUGCACAUAACUUCACCAUGGCUAAUCGGACGUUUUCCGGUAGAAGCCCCUUCAAUGCAACCGGAAGCAGUUGCGUCAUAAUCACGUGGCAGUCAUGAGACUUUAGGUUCUGGAACUUUUUCUCUGGCAUAUUUAUUAUUCCCUUUAUAUUCGACGAGAAGCCAAUCGGGACCAUCAUACUGAGCAGGCAUUCAAAGAAGAUUUCUUUCUCUUCUUUCGUAAGAGCGUAGCUGGCAGGACCUUCAUACUGCUUCGAAGGCAUGCCGUCUUUUUCGUGCAAACGUUGCAGGUCCUCCCGUGCCUCAGGUGUAUCUUUUGUCUUCCCAUACACGCCCAAGAAGCCUAGCAGGUUCACGCAAAGGUUCUUCGUCACGUGCAUCACGUUGAUUGAAGAGCGGACCUCUAGGGCUUUCCAGUAGGGUAGGUCCCAAAAUAUAAAUUUCUUCUUCCACAUGGGUGCGUGUCCCUCAGCGUCAUUCGGAACAGCUAGUCCGCCGGGAGCCUUUCCAAAGAUUACGUGUAAAUCAUUGACCAUAGCAAGUACGUGAUCACCGGUACGCAUGGCGGGCUUCUUCCUGUGAUAUGCCUCGCCUUUGAAAUGCUUGCCUUUCUUUCGACAUUGAUGGUUGGUCGGAAGAAAUCGACGAUGGCCCAGGUAAACAUUCUUCCUCCAUUUGUCCAGGUAUAUACUUUCAGUGUCAUCUAAAUAGUGCGUGCAUGCGUGGUAUCCCUUGUUUGUCUGUCCUGAAAGGUUACUGAGAGCGGGCCAAUCGUUGAUGGUUACAAACAGCAACGCGUGCAGGUUAAAUUCCUCCUAUUUGUGCUCAUCCCAUGUACGUACACCGUUUCCAUUCCACAGCUGUAAAAGUUCUUCAACUAAUGGCCUUAGGUACACAUCAAUGUCGUUGCCGGGUUGCUUAGGGCCUUGGAUGAGAACUGACAUCAUAAUGAACUUCCGCUUCAUGCACAUCCAAGGAGGAAGGUUAUACAUACAUAGAGUCACGGGCCAGGUGCUGUGAUUGCUGCUCUGCUCCCCGAAAGGAUUAAUGCCAUCCGCGCUUAAACCAAACCAUACGUUCCUUGGGUCACCUGCAAACUCAGCCCAGUACUUUCUCUCGAUUUUUCUCCAGUGCGACCCGUCAGCGGGUGCUCUCAACUUCCCGUCUUUCUUACGGCCCUCACUGUGCCAUCGCAUCAAUUUGGCAUGCUCUUCGUUUCUGAACAGACGUUUCAACCGUGGUAUUAUAGGAGCAUACCACAUCACCUUCGCAGGAACCCUCUUCCUGGGGGGCUCGCCGUCAACAUCACCAGGGUCAUCUCGUCUGAUCUUAUACCGCAAUGCAACGCAUACCGGGCAUGCAUUCAGAUCCUUGUACGCACCGCGGUAGAGGAUGCAGUCAUUAGGGCAUGCAUGUAUCUUCUGCACCUCCAAUCCUAGAGGGCAUACGACCUUCUUUGCUGCGUAUGUACUGUCGGGCAAUUCUUUAUCCUUUGGAAGCUUCUUCUUCAAUAUUUUCAGUAGCUUCUCAAAUCCUUUGUCAGGCACAACAUUCUCUGCCUUCCACUGCAGCAAUUCCAGUACGGUACCGAGCUUUGUGUUGCCAUCUUCGCAAUUGGGGUUCAACCCUUUUUUGUGAUCCUCUAACAUGCGAUCGAACUUCAGCUUCUCCUUUUGACCUUCGCAUUGCGUCCUUGCAUCGACAAUGACCCGGCGGAGAUCAUCAUCAUCGGGCACAUCGUCUGGUUCCUCUUGAUCGUCAGCAGCUUCCCCCGUUGCAGCAUCAUUGGGCACAUCUUCUGGUUUCUCUUGAUCUUCAGCAGCUUCCCCCGUUGCAACAUCACCGUAUUCAGGGGGCACAUAGUUGUCAUCGUCCUCUUCUUCUUCGCCGUCUUCCAUCAUAACCCCUAUUUCUCCGUGCCUCGUCCAAACAUUAUAGUGUGCCAUGAAACCCUUGUAAAGCAGGUGGGUGUGAAGGAUUUUCCGGUCAGAGUAAGAGUUCGUAUUUCCACAUUUAGGGCAUGGACAACACAUAAAACCAUUCUGCUUGUUUGCCUCAGCCACUUCGUGAAAAUCAUGCACGCCCUUAAUGUACUCGGAGGUGUGUCUGUCACCGUACAUCCAUUGCCGGUUCAUCAGAGCUUCGAGAGGAAAAAAGCUUAACUAGUGUGGCUCGGGCAUUUCAUCGAACACCUCAUGUGCAUAGGAGGUGAGCUAGAGCACCACAAAGCCCUCCCCUCGCCGGCCAGAGAAAAACAGAGCACUGGAGUGCUCUGCUCGCGGGCGAGGGGUAUAUAUAGGCACCUCAUUGGUCCCGGUUCGUGGCAUGAACCGGGACUAAAGGGCAGCCUGCGGUCCCGGUUCAAGCCACCAACCGGGACCAAUGGUGGUGGGCCAGGAGCGAGGCCCAUUGGUCCCGGUUCGUCCCACCAACCGGGACUAAAGGGGCCAGACGAACCGGGACCAAUGCCCCCACGAGGCCCGGCAGGCCCCUGGCCUCACGAACCGGGACCAGUGCCCCCAUGGGUCCCGGUUCUGGACUGAACCGGGACUAAUGGGCUGACCCGGCCUGAACCAAAGCCCUCUUUUCUACUAGUGCUCUAUGUACUAGCACUGCAGUUUCCCUGAUUUUGUCAGUGUUAGAUCAUCUCACCGAAUUUCUGUGUGCUAGCUCUAUAGUGGUGAUGUAUUAGAGUGUAAGCGUAGGAAUUACAGUGUAAUCUAGCCCAUAAUUACAGUGUAAUUUAGCCCAUAAUUUCAGUGUAUUAUACUCCCAGAGUUAUAGUGUAAUUUAGCCCAUAAUUACAGUGUAUUAUACUCCCAGAAUUACAGUGUAAUUUAGCCCAGAAUUUCAGUGUAAUGUCCAUGCUUCCUUUUUGUAAUUGCAGUGUAGUUUACCCUAGAAUUGAAGUGUAAUUUAGCCUGGAAUUUUUAAGUGUAAUCCCAGUGCUUCAUUUUUAUAUUUACAGUGUAAUUUUUACCAGAAUUACAAUUUAACCCUUAUGCUUCAUUUAUUUAAGUGCAGUGUAAUCUUCCCCAGAAUCACAGUGUAAUUUUUUUUCUAGAAUUUCAGUGUAAUUUUCAUGCUUAACCUCUGUAUUUCUUGAUAUUGGAGCUUCAUUCAUGUUCAGUUUUGCUUGAAUUACAGUGGAUUUUAUCUCUGACUAGUGUGAUUAUUCUUUGUAGUUCCUGUUUUAUUUUCAUUUGUAACUUCCUAGUGUGAUUAUUCAUUCCUUCACUGCCCGUGUGUACUAGCAGUGUAAUAUACCCCAGAUUUUCACUGCAUUUUGUAUGCUUCAGGACUGUAAUUGUUGCAUAGUUACACUGUAUUAUUUCAUAGUUUUACAUUGUAAUUGUUGUAGGGUUUUCAUUUUUUGUCAGAUAUAAUAUGUUCAAAUGCUUCAUCAUUGUAAUACACGCCAGAUUUUCUCAGUAACUUGUAUCCUUCAGAACUGUAAUUGUUAUAUCCUUCAGAUAGAUUACAUUGGCUUUUCGUCUGGUCUUACACUGUAGUAUACCAUAGUUUUACCCUAUAAUUUGUAUGGUUCGGCAUUGUAUUUGUUGUAGGUAUUUUGUGAGGUAGAUUACAGUGGAUUUACCUUUGAAUUGGAAGGCUUACACUAUAAUUUACUGCAGAUUUACACUGUAAUUUGAAUGCUUCAACACUGUAAUUGUUGUAGGGCUUACAACGUAUUUGUCAGAUAAAUCACAGUUGAUUUACCUCUGAUUUUGUAGUGUAAUUAGCAUGCUUUUAGGACUGCAAUUCAUGUAGUUUCUUGCCUUUUAUUUUCUUCUUUUCUUGUGCUAGCGUGUCUCUGUUGCAUUGAGCGAGGUCCUAUUUUAGGUUGAUGAUUGUUUUGGUGUUCUUUCUUGAUUUCUCUAGUUGAUAGUGUUGCAUUAGCUGUUCAUGUGUAUUCUUUAAUGAAGUGUAUGAAGAUUUGUUCUACUAUUUUACUUCUUUUCUUUUUCCUCCUUAAUCUAUUCUGCUUAUAGGUUUAGUUUAAUGAGUAGGCUACGGAAAGUCUCUCAUUAGGAUGUUCGGUUAGUAUCAUCUCUUGAGAAUGUAGAUUCUGUGGGUGAACCUAUCGUGCCUAACGACUUUGCGGAAGGUGGUCCUUAUCCUAUGUCUAUGGUAGUUAUUUCUUUCUUCUUAUCUAGCUUUAUUUUACUGUUCUUAGUUAUUGAGAUUGUUUUAUUUAAUUUUAGUCUGUUGACUUUUUCAUUUUUUUGCAGGAACUAUCUGAUGAUAAGGAGGGUUUGAAAAAAUCUCUUUUGGAGUUCUAUCUGAAUCAAGUGUGUUUUUCUUUUCUUGUACUAUUUUGAUUUUGUUUUGGGUAUUUUCUUUGGGUGACCCUUGUGUUUUUGUCAUUUCAGAAAGUAAAAUGCUUGAAGAGGAAAUUAUCAUCUGCUUCCAUGUUCAUAGGCCCAUCUCCUGAGUGUGCCUGCAAGCAAAAGGGCAAUUUAUUUUCUAUAGUUGUACUUUUCUCAGAUUGGUAGCUCUGUGGUAUUUGAAUUUUGCCUUUACCUUGAAUAUAAUUUCGGAAUGUUUAAGCGCAGUGAAAGAAAAUGUGUCCUGCAACAUAUUUUUUGUGAGUUAUUAUUAUUAUUUAUGUAUUUAGAAUGUUCCUAUAGUGUCUUGCAGCAUAUCCCGAAACAAAUGUGUAACCACAUUUAGAAUGAGUUCUUCCUGUGACAAUCUCAGUAGAUCCUCUUCAGUUACUAUCUUUAUCGUGCUCCUCAUCUUGCAUAUUUGAACAAAAAAUGUCAGUGUCAACGUAAUAUUGAGCAACAAACCGUUUAGAUAUAGAUGAAUUUUGCUCGGUACUUAAACCGUUGUACAUUUGUGCAUUUUUGCCGCCAAUAGUUGGGGUAUUCCCUAUGUAUCCUCGGAACUGACACUGUAAAUUAUAGUGAAGUAGCUCUGAAGUUUCAUUGUAAUUUAUUGGGUUUUUACAGCAUAACUUCAUCACUGCAAAUCCCUGCAUAAUUUCAUUCUAAUUCCUUGUGUAUUUUAUCUGUAUUUUUUGAGGGUAUUGCACUGUAAGCACUUUCACUGUAAUUCUUGGGUAUUACAGUGUAAGCCAUGGGUACUUGCUGACUUGCUGUGUAAUUCCUAUUUGUAUGUAUACUAUAUUUAAUAUAGGUUUUACAAUGUAAUUCUUGCUCACUUGCACCGUAAUUACAAGCUUUGGAUUCUUGGGUUUCACACUGUAAUUCCUGCUCACUUACAAUGUAAUUUAGUGUAAGCUCAUCAGUUUUUACAAGUGUAAUUCCUUGUGUGCUUGCUGUGUAAUUACUGUGUAUGUACUACGUAAUUUAUAGGGGGAUUUACACUGUAAAUCUUGAUCACUUUCAGUGUAAGUCUUGGGUAUUUUUGUCAUCCGUUUUUACUUGCAUUGUCAUUAGUUUCUGCUACUGAAUGUUUCUGAAAAUUGCCCCAGAUUUUACAUUGGAACUACCUCAAUAUUUUAGAGUAAUUUCCACAUUCAUGUCACUAUAACUUCUGCAUGUAGCAUGCAAAGGCUAUGUAAUUUCCCAGGUUUACAAUUGCUAUUGAUCUGUGUCUUGUAUUUACACUGUUUUUACCCACUUACAUUGAAACUACGGCAGAAUUUCAGUGCAAUUGCUACAUGUAGCUUGCAAAGUUCAUGUAAUUUCCCAGAUUUACAGUUUGUUGUUGACCUGUCUCUUUUGUAGAUGAAGAAACUUCCUCCUGAUUUGUUCAUGCAAGAGGUGAAGACAGUGAAGGGGGUGAAAAAUUGGAGUAGGAGUGUUGCUGACCUGUGGAUCGUCCUAUUUCAAUUGGAGGAGAGUUGUCUCCAGGCGAACCGGGUCAGAGAUUAGCCAGAACCGUUUUAUUUCAAAUAUAAAACAUAAUUGUCGUGGUGGAUGUUUUUGGACGCACAGGUGUCAGCUGUUUAUUUGUCUGGAAAUUUGAAUGUUCUUGAAUUGAAAAACAGUCAAAUGCUAAAUAGACAAUCCCUUCUUUUAUCCUUCCAAUCAGAAGGGAAAAGUUUUCUCCACAAGUAAAUAUAAAUAUAUUAAAGAAUUGCGUGGGAAAUUAAUUUUCUAUGGCGUAAGCUUUUAAUAAUGUUAUCAUCACCGCAUCAAAAUGAUACGUUCAAUAAAAUGUUUCAAUAUCUCGUCUCUGCAUUCCAAAGACGCACACGACCCAAACAUGUGAAGUUGAAAAUAUACAUCGUUGGGAAAAAGUUUACAGAAAUAUGGAAACACUUAAAGUGCCAUUGCAUGUGACUUCAAUUUGAGCGCCAUCACGGGCAUCAUGUCGCCACCACAUCCUCUAGGCCACACAUGCUAAUACGCCCUAGCCGAAUAUAUAAUUUAUGAAGUAAUCUUCAUCAUGCUAUUUCUUAGUAUUUAUUCCUCAUUUUAUUUUUUAUUGGGCCAACCUAUGGAUAAAGCGUCAGAAAUGCCAGUUGCAUGUCCUAUGUUUAUGUUGAUAACUCAUCAAUCUUUGGUAUAUAGCUUAUCUCUAUGUAAUUUACAAUUUUGCCAAAGAUUGCCUUUACUUGCCGUGAUGAAAAAGGGUUUCCCCUUUAUAUUAUAAAGCAACCAUCACUUACAUCCAAGCAACCGAUACAAACGCACGUCACACACAUACCCAAGGCAAGGUACAAGAAUGCCAGGCACCGAGACACAACCUCAACGACUAUCAAGACCUACUCACUAGUAGAAAAAGGGCCAUUUGUCCCGGUUCGUAAGGCCCAUUUGUCCCGGUUGGGGAACCGGGACUAAAGGGUCGGUACUAAAGCCCUAUACCUUUAGUCCCAGUUCUUAUAGCAACCGGGACAGAUGGGGCUCCACGUGGCCGCUGCGGCUUGCCCUGGCAGGGGGGCCUUUUUUCCCGGUUGGUAGCACCAACCGGGACCAAUAAGCUACCACGCGUCAGCAGUUCAGGGGCUAGGGUAUUUGUUUNNNNNNNNNNNNNNNNNNNNNNNNNNNNNNNNNNNNNNNNNNNNNNNNNNNNNNNNNNNNNNNNNNNNNNNNNNNNNNNNNNNNNNNNNNNNNNNNNNNNNNNNNNNNNNNNNNNNNNNNNNNNNNNNNNNNNNNNNNNNNNNNNNNNNNNNNNNNNNNNNNNNNNNNNNNNNNNNNNNNNNNNNNNNNNNNNNNNNNNNNNNNGGGGGGGGUUGGGGUUUUUGGGGGUUUUGUAUGGUUAAUUUAGGUGUUUCAUAUAUUGUGUUAGGUAGCUAAUUAAUUAAUAGAGAGAAGUGUCCUCUCUUAUCUCCGUGCUUGGUCGACGCUACAUACUAUACGUAUAGCGAGGCCCUCAACACGCUAGCUAGUAAGCAAAUGAAGGAAACCAUUAAGUACAGAAGUUCGUCAUGAACAUAUGAUACAGAGAGAAGUGAUAUCAACCUCUCAUUCUCCGAGAGAUUGGGCGAACAACAAGUUUUCGUAUAUCUAUCCGACGCUACUGGCUACAUAUAUACAAUAUAAGAUCUCUUAGAAUCCCCUAACAUCUGAACUCAACUUCCACAUGGUAUUCUCCGGCUUUAUUGAUGACGUGAUCAAGAAAGAAUCCCGCCAAUUCCUCUUUAAUUGCUUUCAUGCAAUCUUGUGGUAGGAGUUCAUCCCGCAUCUGCCACGUCUAAUUUGAAGAAGGGGGUUAAUACAUAUAUAUGAAUGAAACUCAACAGAAAUGAUGGCGUAAUAAUGCUUACGCACUUCAUAUUGUCUUUUAGAGUAGCCCCGCUUAUUUUUGCAAGUCGCGUUGUAGAUGAACUCGCACACGUAGUAUCCACAGUAAUCAUUCCCGGGUUCCCGCCACAAGCACUUUACGAGAAAUAGAGGUCAAUCAAACUGAUAAUGGAGCAUUAUAAAUGGCAUUGAUGAAAGUAGCUAGAAUCAACGGGAUCGAGAUGCGCGAAACUAGCUAGCUAGUAGUACUUACUUUCUGGUAUGUAAAUCGUAGCUCCCCUGGCAGUCCCAAAGCUUGUGCGGUGAAUACUUUCCAAACCCUGCGAGACAAAGAAAACAAAUACUUGAUGUCAGGAAAUGAACAAAGUUGCCGAUAUGGUGCGAUAAUGAUCGAUUGAACUUACUUCUUGAGCAUUUUAGUCAUGUCCGCAUAUUCCUCGGGAUCUUUUCGUCUCGAGUCUAAGACGGUUACAAGUCCCUGCUCAAGCUUAAUUUCUAGGAGAAUAUAGUGGAAGCUGCGCACGCAUGCAUAACUCAUCAAUUACAUUACUAUAACCUCGAGUAAUAAGGGAAAACGAAUAUGCACAAGACAGUAACACUCACUUGAAGUUGUAAGGAAAGAGUAUUUUAUCUUUGUUUUGAUUUUGAAGCAACGAUUUGAGCAAGUUGACCUCGGUGUCUUUGGCAUGAAAUUUAACCGUAAAUUCAUCUAUGAGAUUUGUGUUAAUGAACCCAAUAUCAUAGAUUUCUGCUUUUCUGCAUUCGACGAUCUUCAAUCUGCAUAAUAUAAUGAGGAUAAUUAUAUAUACAUUCAAUGAAAGAGCUGAGCUAUAUAUAGAGACUUAAUGACAGAAAAAGUACUUACAGACAGUAGCAAGUGACCGUUAAUUUAUCUAGAGCCUUUUGAUUGAAAAACUGGAAGAACUCCUCAAAUGGAAGAGUCAACAGUUCAAUUCCAACGAGGUCGUGCUCCUCUUUAAGUCUCAGCGUCAAAGUAUCCUUCCCCCAGACUCUCUGCAGGUUUUCAUGUACCAAUCAUGGAAUCUUCGCAUCAUCGUUGUUAGAGGAGUUCCAUCUUUGACGAGAGGCUUCCCGUAAUGGUACUUGUGUUCGUCCACCUCCAUUUUAUCAUAAUGUACAUCGUCGGGCAGGUAAUCUCCAAGAUUGCACGUACCGGGCAAAAUCUCCGGAUGAUUAGCGACGAUAUCUCUAGACACCUUGAGCGGGGGGCACGAUUGGUUCGCUUGUUCGCCGAGCUGGGCAAUUUUUUCCCAGCUCGUCGUUCUGCUAACCUUCGAUCACUGAUAGUACUUCCCGACCGCUCCGCUUUGAUAUAUGACCUUUCAAUAAUGCGCUCGUAGUUGUUUUUCGGCGGAGACGGUGGUGGUUUCUUCAGGGCAUCGAUAGUGCGCCUUGCUUUCACAGGAUCUAUCUUCUCCUCCGGAGGUGGAUGUCUCUUAGCCCUUUGCGUUUCAAAGAAGUCCCUCACUUGGGCUUCACAGAUAUUUGCAUUUUCCUCCUUGGUCAUCUCGUAUGGUAACCUCUCUAGAGGCUUGAGAGAUGGACUGAAUCUGUAUUGCCUCCCGGCUUUGGCUGUACUGCUAGACACCGGAGCAGACGGAGCGACUGUGGCUGUCUUCUUUCUUUGCUUAAUAGGUGGAGGAGAAGGACUACGACGCGCCGGAGCAGUCGGAGUGGCGGCGGCUCUCUUCCUCCCUUGGUGACGAGGCGGACAAGGAGGCGGGCUGCUCGGGCGCGCCGGCGCAGGCGGAGAAGGAGGCGGAGUGCCGCCACGCGCCGGAGAAGGAGGCGGAGUGCCCUGAUCACUCGCUGGAGGAGGAGGUGGAGGAGGAGGCGGAGUGCCUUGACUCGCCGGAGGAGGAGGAGGAGGAGGCAGAGGCGUCCAGUUAGGAAGGUUGAUGAACUCCUUCCGCCAUAGGCAUGGAGUCUUCAGAGCAGAACCCAACCGAAUCUCCCCUUCACCGGUAGGGUGGUCAAUCUCGAGCUCCUGAAAUCCCUCCGUUAUUUCGUCCACCGUCACCCUAGCAUAUCUUCUGGAAUUGGACAGAAGUGAAAAGUUGUGCCGGGUUCAGGAGGUCGAACAGAGACGACGACCGCCUUGACUUUGAAGUUCUGCCAUUGCAUCAUAAGGUGGCAAUGUUGAGACUCCGUGAUAGCAUCCACGGGGUAGCUACCAGGAGCCGUGAAGACAGGCUCCAGCUGAAGUAGCUCGGUGGAAGCCACGCUGCUUUUCCGCUGAGAUGGCGGCGUAGCUUCAGGGGUAGCUUCAGCAGGUCGCUUGCUGUGAACUGCUUCUCGUUCCUCUAGCGCUUGUACCCUUGCGUGCAGCUUCUGCAGUGGGGUAUGCUCCACUUUCCUCCUCCUCUCCUGGCAUUUGUAACCGGCUGCGUCCGGAAACCCAGCCUUCCACGGAACGGAGCCUGGCUUGCCUCGUGUCCGUCCAGGGUGCUCAGGAUUCCCGAGGGCCAUUGUGAGCUCCUCGUUCUCUUUGUCUGGAACGAACGUCCCUUCCUGCGCUGCGGCGAUAUAGUCAUGAAGCUUCGCGACGAGUAUUCGUAGUUGCUCGUUCGUCCAAACGCACUUCCCUAUUACAGGGUCCAAGGUUCCGCCAACCCCGAAGAACCAAGUCCUUGAACGAUCUGGCCAAUUCAAUGUCUCUGGUUCGACCCCUUUAUCAAGCAGGUCAAUCUCAGCCUUGGCCCACAACGGCCGGGCUUUGAGGUAGCCACCUGACCCCGUGCGAUGGUGAUGCUCCUUCUUCGCAGCAUUUAUCUUGUUUGUCGCUGAUAUCUUCUUACUCUUGUCCGAUGUCUUGUGGGUCACAAAUGCGUCCCAGUGAUCUCUGAUCUUCUCAUACCGGCCGGUGAAUUUUGGUGUCUUUUCUUCGUCGACAAACUUUGUUUUCAGCUCAUUCUUCCACCUCCUGAAUAGAUCUGCCAUCUUCUUAAGAGCAUGAGACUUGACCAAUGGCUCUAUAAUAGCUGGCUUCUCCGGAUCCUCCUCUGGCGGUAGGAUGAAAUUUGCCUUCAGCACGCUCCAAAGAUCAUCUUUCUGCCUAUCGUUGACAUAAGAUACCUCAGGGUCUGUGUUCUUAGGCUUAUACCAUUGCUGGAUGCUGAUAAAAAUCAUGUCCCUAACAAGAACCCCGCACUGAGCAGAAAAUGCUUCCUUGGUCCGGAUGGGUUCAAUCAGUUGGCCAUCGUGCGCGAUUGCUGUGAUCGUGAACCUUUCAUCCGAGCGCAACUUUUUCUUCGGGCCUCGUCUCUUUACCGAAGUUGUGCUCGAUCCGGAGGGCUAGAAAAAAGAACAAAGACGAGAGUUAAUAUGUGUACAUACAAAAACAAUGAAUGCAUCAAUUAGCUAGUCAGCACAGGCUUAUUUAAUAUAUAUACCUGGCCGGACUUUGUUCGGUCACCGGAGCCGUCAUCAUGGUCUCCUUCUUCCACCGGCAUUCGGUCACCGGAGCCAUCAUAAUCAUGCCCUUCCUCCUCCAUUGUUCGAUAACCGUAGCCUGCUUCACCCUCUCCUUCUAGACCAUCGGUUUCGUUGAGAUACGACAUGACAUCACCUCCGGCUACGAUUAUGUCCCCCAACACUUGUUCUGCUUCCUCGUCUCGGCCGUGCUCCAUAGUUUCUGCAAAUAUUACAACAUGGAAAUUAUUAUACAAACAUGACAGAUGGAUAUAUUAGUGGCAAACAUAGACCUAGCUAGAUAAUCACAAAAAGGAAUCAUAUUAGUGGCCUCGACGCUUCUCUAGGGUUUGGGGUGGCCUCGGCAACGCUUCAAGGGUUCGGGGUGGCCUCGACGACAAUGCUCUUUUAACUUGGUAAAUUUGGGUGGCCUCGGCAGGGCUUCUAGGGUUUGGAUCAACUUGUGCACAUUGCCAGACCCUCGACCCUCGACCGCUCGGCGAUCCACGACCCUCUACGUACCCUAUUUCCCGACCCUCGAUCCCCUCAUGUCACGUUUGUAUAGAGUCAAAGGAUUCAACAAAACGAUGUCUUCAUCAUUAGGCGAAAGUAACAGGCGCAUGAUGGUAUGAAGUUCUGCAAAGUUGUUCUGGAACAGAGUCCCAGAUAGGAUAAUUCGCUUUUUCGUACAAAGUUCAGCAAGAGCCUUCCGAAUAUCGCUAUUUGGAAGGCCUUUGCAUAACUUCAUACAAAAAGGCGAAUUAUCCUAUCCGGGACUCCGUUCCGGAAUAACUUUGCACAACUUCAUACCAUCAUGCCCCGGUUACGAUGAAGCCAUGGAUUUCUUCAAUACUUUGACACUAGGCAACCUCUCGACCCCUCGGCGAUCCUCGACCCUCGACCGCUCGGACGAUCCACGACCCUCUACCCUAUUUCCCGACCCUCGACCCCCUCAUGUCACUGCUACCUCUUGAGCACUGCGUUGGUUUUCCCUUCAAGAGGAAAGGGUGCUGCAGCAAAGUAGCGUAAGUAUUUCCCUCAGUUUUUGAGAACCAAGGUAUCAAUCCAGUAGGAGGCUACGCGCGAGUCCCUUGCACCUGCACAAUACAAAUAAAUCCUCGCAACCAAUGCGAUAAGGGGUUGUCAAUCCCUUCACGGUCACUUACGAGAGUGAGAACUGAUAGAUAUGAUAGGAUAAUAUUUUUGGUAUUUUUGUAAUAAAGAUGCAAAGUAAAGAAAGCAAAAUAAAGACGGCGCCCGAAAUAGCUUGUUGUAGGGAGAUUAAUAUGAUGGAAGAUAGACCCGGGGGCCAUAGGUUUCACUAGUGGCUUCUCUCAAGAGCAUAAGUAUUUUACGGUGGGUGAACGAAUUACUGUUGAGCAAUUGACAGAAUUGAGCAUAGUUAUGAGAAUAUCUAGGUAUGAUCAUGUAUAUAGGCAUCACGUCCGAGACAAGUAGACCGACUCCUACCUGCAUCUACUACUAUUACUCCACUCAUCGACCGCUAUCCAGCAUGCAUCUAGAGUAUUAAGUUCAUGAAAACAGAGUAACGCCUUAAGCAAGAUGACAUGAUGUAGAGGGAUAAAUUCAUGCAAUAUGGUAAAAACCCCAUCUUGUUAUCCUCGAUGGCAACAAUACAAUACGUGCCUUGCUGCCCCUACUGUCACUGGGAAAGGACACCGCAAGAUUGAACCCAAAGCUAAGCACUUCUCCCAUUGCAAGAAAGAUCAAUCUAGUAGGCCAAACCAAACUAAUAAUUCGAAGAGACUUGCAAAGAUAACCAAUCAUACAUAAAAGAAUUCAGAGAUGAUUCAAAUAUUGUUCAUAGAUAAUCUUGAUCAUAAACCCACAAUUCAUCGAUCUCAACAAACGCACCGCAAAAAGAAGAUUACAUCGAAUAGAUCUCCACGAGAGAGGGGGAGAACAUUGUAUUGAGAUCCAAAAAUAGAGAAGAAGUCAUCUAGCUACUAACUAUGGACCCGAAGGUCUGAGGUAAACUACUCACACUUAAUCGGAGAGGCUAUGGUGUUGAUGUAGAAGCCCUCCGUGAUGGAUGCCCUCUCCGACGGAGCUCCGGAACAGGCCCCAAGAUGGGAUCUCGUGGGUACAGAAGGUUGCAGCGGUGGAAUUAGGUUUUUGGCUCCGUAUCUGAUCAUUUGGGGGUACGUAGGUAUAUAUAGGAGGAAGAAGUAUGUCGGUGGAGCAACAUGGGGCCCACGAGGGUGGAGGGCGCGCCCUGGGGGGUGGGCGCGCCCCCUACCUCGUGGCCUCCUGGAAGCUUCUCUUACGUAGGGUCCAAGUCUCCUGGAUCAUGUUCGUUCCAAAAAUCACGUCCCCGAAGGUUUCAUUCCGUUUGAUAUUCUUUUUCUGCGAAACUUUGAAAUAGGCAAAAACAACAAUUCUGGGCUGGGCUUCCGGUUAAUAGGUUAGUCCCAAAAAUAAUAUAAAAGUGUAUAAUAAAGCCCAAUAAUGUCCAAAACAGUAGAUAAUAUAUCAUGGAGCAAUCAAAAAUUAUAGAUACGUUGGAGACGUAUCAAGCAUCCCCAAGCUUAAUUCCUGCUCAUCCUCGAGUAGAUAAAUGAUAAAAAAGAUAAUUUUUGAUGUGGAGUGCUACUUGGCAUAAUUUCAAUGUAAUUCUUCUUAAUUGUGGUAUGAAUAUUCAGAUCCGAAAGAUUCAAGAUAAAAGUUCAUAUUGACAUAAAAAUAAUAAUACUUCAAGCAUACUAACUAAGCAAUUAUGCCUUCUCAAAAUAACAUGGCCAAAGAAAGUUCAUCCCUACAAAAUCAUAUAGUUUAGUCAUGCUCCAUUUUCGUCACACAAGAAUGCUCUCAUCAUGCACAACCCCGAUGACAAGCCAAGCAAUUGUUUCAUACUUUAGUAAUCUCAAACCUAUAAACUUUCACGCAAUAUAUGAGCGCGAGCCAUGGACAUAGCACUAUGGGUGGAAUAGAAUAUGAUGAUGGGGGUUAUGUGAAGAAGACAAAAAGGGAGAAAGUCUCACAUCAACGAGGCUAAUCAAUGAGCUAUGGAGAUGCCCAUCGAUUGAUGUUAAUGCAAGGAGUAGGGAUUGCCAUGCAACGGAUGCACUAGAGCUAUAAAUGUAUGAAAGCUCAACAAAAAAAACUAAGUGGGUGUGCAUCCAACUUGCUUGCUCACGAAGACCUAGGGCACUUGAGGAGGCCCAUUGUUGGAAUAUACAAGCCAAGUUCUAUAAUGAAAAAUUCCCACUAGUAUAUGAGAGUGACAAAACAAGAGACUCUCUAUCAUGAAGAUUAUGGUGCUACUUUGAAGCAUAAGUGUGGCAAAGGAUAGUAGCAUUGUCCCUUCUCUCUUUUUCUCUCAUUUUUUGGGCCUUCUUUCUUUUUUUUAUGGCGUUUAUCUUUUUUUAUUCCUCACUUGGGACAAUGCUCUAGAAAAUGAUGAUCAUCACACUUCUAUUUAUUUACAACUCAAUGAUUACAACUCGAUACUAGAACAAAGUAUGACUCUAUAUGAAUGCCUUCGGCGGUGUACCGGGAUAUGCAAUGAACCAAGAGUGACAUGUAUGAAAGAAUUAUGAACGGUGGCUUUGCCACAAAUACUAUGUCAACCACAUGAUCAUGCUAGCAAUAUGACAAUGAUGAAUGUGUCAUGAUAAACGGAAUGGUGGAAAGUUGCAUGGCAAUAUAUCUCGGAAUGGCUAUGGAAAUGCCAUAAUAGGUAGGUAUGGUGGCUGUUUUGAGGAAGAUAUAAGGAGGUUUAUGUGUGAAAGAGCGUAUCAUAUCACGGGGUUUGGAUGCACCGGCGAAGUUUGCACCAACUCUCAAUGUGAGAAAGGGCAAUGCACGGUACCAAAGAGGCUAGCAAUGAUGGAAGGAUGAGAGUGCGUAUAAUCCAUGGACUCAACAUUAGUCAUAAAGAACUCACAUACUUAGUGCAAAAAUCUACAAGUCAUCAAAAACCAAGCAUUACACGCAUGCUCCUAGGGGGAUAGAUUGGUAGGAAAAGACCAUCGCUCGUCCCCGACCGCCACUCAUAAGGAGGACAAUCAAAGAACACCUCACGUUUCAAAUUUGUUACAUAACGUUUACCAUACGUGCAUGCUACGGGACUUGCAAACUUCAACACAAGCAUUUCUCAAAUUCACAACUACUCAACUAGCACGACUUUGAUAUUAUUACCUCCAUAUCUCAAAACAAUCAUCAAGCAUCAAACUUCUCUUAGUAUUCAACACACUCAUAAGAAAGUUUUUACUAUUCUUGAAUACCUAGCAUAUUAGGAUUAUUUAAGCAAAUUACCAUGCUAUUUAAGACUCUCAAAAUAAUCUAAAUGAAGCAUGAGAGAUCAAUAGUUUCAAAACAAAUCCACCACCGUGCUCUAAAAGAUAUAAAUGAAGUACUAGAGCAAAAACUAUAUAACUCAAAAUAUAUAAGUGAAGCACAUAGAGUAUUCUAACAAAUUCCAAAUCAUGUAUGGCUCUCUCAAAAGGUGUGUACAGCAAGGAUGAUUGUGGUAAACUAAAAAGCAAAGACUCAAAUCAUACAAGACGCUCCAAGCAAAACACAUAUCAUGUGGUGAAUAAAAAUAUAGCUCCAAGUAAAGUUACCGAUGGAAGUAGACGAAAGAGGGGAUGCCUUCCGGGGCAUCCCCAAGCUUUGGCUUUUUGGUGUCCUUAGAUUAUCUUGGGGGUUCCAUGGGCAUCCCCAAGCUUAGGCUCUUGCCACUCCUUGUUCCAUAAUCCAUCAAAAUCUUUACCCAAAACUUGAAAACUUCACAACACAAAACUCAACAGAAAUCUCGUGAGCUCCGUUAGCGAAAGAAAACAAAAGACCACUUCAAGGUACUGUAAUGAACUCAUUAUUUAUUUAUAUUGGUGUUAAACCUACUGUAUUCAAACUUCUCUAUGGUUUAUAAACUAUUUUACUAGCCAUAGAUUCAUCAAAAUAAGCAAACAACACACGAAAAACAGAAUCUGUCAAAAACAGAACAGUCUGUAGUAAUCUGUAACUAACGCAAACUUCUGGAACUCCAAAAAAUCAGAAAAAAUAGGACGACCUAGGCAAUUUUUUUAUUGAUCAUCAGCAAUUGGAAUCAGUAUUUUAUCACGUUCUGGUGAUUUUUAACAAUUUCUUUCGUGAACAGAAAGUUUCUGGAAAUUUCUGCAAGAUCAAAUAACUAUCAUCCAAGAAGAUCCUAUAGGUUUAAAUUGGCACAAACACUAAUUAACACAUAAAAACACAUCUAACCAGAGGCUAGAACAAAGAUUUAUUCCUAAACAGAAGCAAAAAGCAAAAAACUAAAAAUAAAAUUGGGUUGCCUCCCAACAAGCGCUAUCGUUUUACGCCCCUAGCUAGGCAUAAAAGCAAGGAUAGAUCUAGGUAUUGCCAUAUUUGGUUUUAGGGAAAAAGAGAGAAAACUUGUUCUCUAUGGAAUUAAUCUUUAUAUUUUGACAAAGUACAUGGCCAUCAAUGGUAGAAGAAAGAUUAAGUAUAUUGCGGAAAUUGGCAUCUAGGCUAGCCUUUAUCUCUUUGAUAGAUUCGUUUUGGUAAGAAAGCAAAAGAGAUGUGAUUUCAACUUUCUCAUUAAUGGGGUGCCCAAAUAUAGUUUUCAUAUUUUCAUAGGUACCUAUGGGGUCCCCUUCGAGAAAACCUUCUUCAAAAAUAGAAUCUAAAACUUGUUUGAACGAAGCGGGCAACCCAACAUAAAAGCUUUUUAAGUAGACCUCAAUUUGGUAUUGAGGUACAUAGCUAGCCUGGAUCCUUAAUAACCUAUCCCAAGCAUCUUUCAAAGAUUCAUCGAGUAAAUAACGAAAUAUUCCAGAAUCUUCUUCAUCAAAAUUGCUAAGGUUUUCAUUGAUAACUCCGGCAGGUUUUUCCAUAGCAUUUUUAUUUAUGAGUUUAGAUAAGAUAGCAGGAUUGUCUAAAGUGCUAAAACUUGGGAGAGGAGCCCCAAAUCUUUUCGGUUCCGACAUGGCAAGGUAAAAGUGAACGAAAAGAGGCAACCGGAAAAGAGAGGGCGAAUAAAACGGCAAGGGUGAAGUGGGGGAGAGGAAAACGAGAGACAAAUGGCAAAUAAUGUAAUGCGGGAGAUAAGGGAUUGUGAUGGGUACCUGGUAUGUUGACUUUUGCGUAGACCUCCCCGGCAACGGCGCCAGAAAUCCUUCUUGCUACCUCUUGAGCACUGCGUUGGUUUUCCCUUGAAGAGGAAAGGGUGAUGCAGCAAAGUAGCGUAAGUAUUUCCCUCAGUUUUUGAGAACUAAGGUAUCAAUCCAGUAGGAGGCUACGCGCGAGUCCCUCGCACCUGCACAAUACAAAUAAAUCCUCGCAACCAAUGCGAUAAGGGGUUGUCAAUCCCUUCACGGUCACUUACGAGAGUGAGAACUGAUAGAUAUGAUAGGAUAAUAUUUUUGGUAUUUUUGUAAUAAAGAUGCAAAGUAAAGAAAGCAAAAUAAAGACGACGCUUGAAAUAGCUUGUUGUAGGGAGAUUAAUAUGAUGGAAGAUAGACCCGGGGGCCAUAGGUUUCACUAGUGGCUUCCCACAAGAGCAUAAGUAAUUUACGGUGGGUGAACGAAUUACUGUUGAGCAAUUGACAGAAUUGAGCAUAGUUAUGAGAAUAUCUAGGUAUGAUCAUGUAUAUAAGCAUCACGUCCGAGACAAGUAGACCGACUCCUGCCUGCAUCUACUACUAUUACUCCACUCAUCGACCGCUAUCCAGCAUGCAUCUAGAGUAUUAAGUUCAUGAAAACAGAGUAACGCCUUAAGCAAGAUGACAUAAUGUAGAGGGAUAAAUUCAUGCAAUAUGAUAAAAACCCCAUCUUGUUAUCCUCGAUGGCAACAAUACAAUACGUGCCUUGCUGCCCCUACUGUCACUGGGAAAUGACACCGCAAGAUUGAACCCAAAGCUAAGCACUUCUCCCAUUGCAAGAAAGAUCAAUCUAGUAGGCCAAACCAAAGUGAUAAUUCGAAGAGACUUGCAAAGAUAACCAAUCAUACAUAAAAGAAUUCAGAGAAGAUUCAAAUAUUGUUCAUAGAUAAUCUUGAUCAUAAACCCACAAUUCAUCGGUCUCAACAAACACACCGCAAAAAGAAGAUUACAUCGAAUAGAUUUCCAUGAGAGAGGGGGAGAACAUUGUAUUGAGAUCCAAAAAAAUAGAAGAAGCCAUCUAGCUACUAACUAUGGACCUGAAGGUCAGAGGUAAACUACUCACACUUCAUCGGAGAGGCUAUGGUGUUGAUAUAGAAGCCCUCCGUGAUGGAUGCCCUCUCUGGCGGAGCUCCGAAACAGGCCCCAAGAUGGGAUCUCGUGGGUACAGAAGGUUGCGGCAGUGGAAUUAGGUUUUUGGCUCCGUAUCUGAUCGUUUGGGGGUACGUAGGUAUAUAUAGGAGGAAGAAGUAUGUCGGUGGAGCAACGUGGGGCCCAUGAGGGUGGAGGGCGUGCCCUGGGGGGUGGGCGCGCCCCCUACCACGUGGCCUCCUGGAAGCUUCUCUUACGUAGGGUCCAAGUCUCCUGGAUCAUGUUCGUUCCAAAAAUCACGUUCCCAAAGGUUUCAUUCCGUUUGGACUCCGUUUGAUAUUCUUUUUCUGCGAAACUCUGAAAUAGGCAAAAAACAGCAAUUCUGGGCUUGGCCUCCGGUUAAUAGGUUAGUCCCAAAAAUAAUAUAAAAUUGUAUAAUAAAGCCCAAUAAUGUCCAAAACAGUAGAUAAUAUAGCAUGGAGCAAUCAAAAAUUAUAGAUACGUUGGAGACGUAUCAGUCACGUUUGUCUAGUGUCAAAGGAUUCAACAAAACCAUGUCUUCAUCAUUAAUCGAAAGUAACAGGCGCAUGAUGGUACGAAGUUCUGCAAAGUUGUUCUGGAACGGAGUCCCAGAUAGGAUAAUUCGUUUUUUCUUACAAAGUUCAGCAAGAGCCUUCCGAAUAUCGCUAUUUGGAAUGCCUUUGCUGAAAUUCAUACAAAAAGGCAAAUCAUCCUAUCCGGGACUCCGUUCCAGAACAACUUUGCACAACUUCGUGCCAUCAUGCCCCGGUUACUUCUGGCUAAUGAUGAAGCCAUGGAUUUCUUCAAUACUUUGACACUAGGCAACCUCUCGAUCCCUCGGUGAUCCUCGACCCUCGACCCUCGAACCCUCGGCGACCCUCGACCCCUCGGCGUUCCACGACCCUCGAACCCUAGGCCCCUCAACGACCCUCGAACCCUCGGUGACCCUCGAACCUCUACCCUAGUUCCCGACCCUCGCCCCUCGAACCCUCGGCGACCCCCCUCAUGUCGAAGUUAUCAGGGAGGGGGUAUAUCGACCCCCCCCCUCAUGUAAGAAGAGGAAAAAAAUCGAAGAAGAAAAAAGAGGAGAAGAAGAAAGGAAUAGAGGAGAAGAUCGAAGAAAAAAAAGAAGAUAAAAAGAGGAGAAGAAGAAAGGAAUAGAGGAGAAGAAGAAAAAAUAGAAUAAUUCAAUUUUUUCUUCUUCUNNNNNNNNNNNNNNNNNNNNNNNNNNNNNNNNNNNNNNNNNNNNNNNNNNNNNNNNNNNNNNNNNNNNNNNNNNNNNNNNNNNNNNNNNNNNNNNNNNNNNNNNNNNNNNNNNNNNNNNNNNNNNNNNNNNNNNNNNNNNNNNNNNNNNNNNNNNNNNNNNNNNNNNNNNNNNNNNNNNNNNNNNNNNNNNNNNNNNNNNNNNNNNNNNNNNNNNNNNNNNNNNNNNNNNNNNNNNNNNNNNNNNNNNNNNNNNNNNNNNNNNNNNNNNNNNNNNNNNNNNNNNNNNNNNNNNNNNNNNNNNNNNNNNNNNNNNNNNNNNNNNNNNNNNNNNNNNNNNNNNNNNNNNNNNNNNNNNNNNNNNNNNNNNNNNNNNNNNNNNNNNNNNNNNNNNNNNNNNNNNNNNNNNNNNNNNNNNNNNNNNNNNNNNNNNNNNNNNNNNNNNNNNNNNNNNNNNNNNNNNNNNNNNNNNNNNNNNNNNNNNNNNNNNNNNNNNNNNNNNNNNNNNNNNNNNNNNNNNNNNNNNNNNNNNNNNNNNNNNNNNNNNNNNNNNNNNNNNNNNNNCGCGGCGACGGGGGCGGCGACGGCGUCGACGGGGCGAGCUCGGGCAGCCUGGCGGCGUCAUCGGGGCAGGGCAACUGCGGAGAUGAAAAUGAAAAAGCUAAGUGUUUGCUUAUAUAGCAAAGCCAUUGGUCCUGGUUCGUGGCACGAACCGGGACCAAUGCACACCUUUAGUCCCGGUUGGUAGCACCAACCGGGACUAAAGGGGGGCAUUGGUGCUACCAACCGGGACUAAAGGGGGGCAUUGGUCCCGGUUGUUGCCACAAACCGGGACCAAUGCACCCCUUUAGUCCCGGUUGGUUGCACCAACCGGGACCAAAGGCCUUGUGCUGCCCGCGUCAAAAGUUUAGUCCCACCUCGCUAGAUGAGAGAGCUCGAGAGUGGUUUAUAAGCGCUGCUGCGCCCGCCCUCUCGAGCUCCUCUCAAUUGCAGGCUUUCGGACCUAACCUGUCACUGUGUGCAUGUGGGCCUACUGGGCCUGUUGCGGCCCUGAAUCCUGGCCCAUGAUUGGGUUUCUAGUCGUAUUCAGGCCGUGGUGGCCUAGUAGGUGGCACUUUUUUUUUGUUUUUGUUGCUUUAUUUAUUUUAUUUUGUUUCUACUUACAACAAAAUACUUACUGUUGCUAUUUUAUUUUAUUUUUUCUACUUAUUUAUUAAAGUUUAUUUUGUUUCUACUUAUUUAUUUUAUUUUGUCUACUUAUUUAUUUUAUUUUGUUUCUACUUAUUUAUUUUAUUUUUGCUUAUAAUUUUUUGAACAGAAGAUACUUUGAUAAUUUUAGUUGCAUAAAUUUAAUAUAAUUUUAGUUUCAAUAAUACUAGAGGUUUAUAUAACUUUUUAGUUGAUUCCUUUUGCUAUUAGAGUUUAUUAAAGAUGGUCCCCUGGACAACGAGUACAACUCAUCACAAAUAGUGUUGUCACCUCUGAGACGUGUUUCCAACCAACUGCUGAAAGUCCUGAUGUGUUCACAUGUAAUCUAGUCAUCACACUGCUCCGGGUGUUUGGAGUGCAGACUGUUCUUGUGUUCAUCGACAUACGGGGUCACCAAGGUAGAGUUCUGUAGAACUAUGUAGUGUGAUUGAGACCAAGAAUGCCCGUCCCUGCAUAUUAUUGAGUCCCCUCCAAGCGUGCCUUUUUCAGUCGGUCUCCCCUCAUACCGCGAUUUAGGGAGACCUAUCUUCUUAAGGCCAGGAAUGAAGUCAACACAAAACCCAAUGACAUCCUGUGUUUGAUGGCGCAUGGAGAUGCUUCCUUCUGGCCUAGAACGGUUACAAACAUGUUUCUUUAGAACUCCCAUGAACCUCUCAAAGGGGAACAUAUUGUGUAGAAAUACGGGGCCCAGAAUGACAAUCUCGUUGACUAGAUGAACUAGGACGUGCGUCAUGAUAUUGAAGAAGGAUGGUGGGAACACCAGCUCGAAACUGACAAAACAUUGCGCCACAUCACUCCUUAGCCUUGGCAUAAUUUCUAGAUCGAUCACCUUCUGAGAGAUUGCAUUGAGCAAUGCACAUAGCUUCACAAUGGCUAAUCAGACGUUUUCCGGUAGAAGCCCCCUCAAUGCAAUCGGAAGCAGUUGCGUUAUAAUCACGUGGCAGUAAUGAGACUUUAGGUUCUGGAACUUUUUCUGUGGCAUAUUUAUUAUUCCCUUUAUAUUCGACGAGAAGCCAGACGGGACCUUCAUACUGAGCAGGCAUUCAAAGAAGAUUUCCUUCUCUUCUUUGGUAAGAGCGUAGCUAGCAGGACCUUCAUACUGCUUUGGAGGCAUGCCGUCUUUUUCGUGCAAACGUUGUAGGCCCUCCCGUGCCUCCGGUGUAUCUGUUGUCUUCCCAUACGCGCCCAAGAAGCCUAGCAGGUUCAUGCAAAGGUUCUUCGUCACGUGGAUCACGUCGAUUGAAGAGCGGACCUCUAGGUCUUUCCAGUAGGGUAGGUCCCAAAAUAUAGAUUUCUUCUUCCACAUGGGUGCGCGUCCCUCAGUGUCAUUCGGAACAGAUAGUCCGCCGGGACCCUUUCCAAAGAUUACGUGUAAAUCAUUGACCAUAGCAAGUAUGUGAUCACCGGUACGCAUGGCGGGCUUCUUCUGGUGAUCUGCCUCGCCUUUGAAAUGCUUGCCUUUCUUUCGACAUUGAUGGUUGGUCGGAAGAAAUCGACGAUGGCCCAGGUACACAUUCUUCCUGCAUUUGUCCAGGUAUAUACUUUCGGUGUCAGCUAAACAGUGCGUGCAUGCGUGGUAUCCCUUGUUUGGCUAUCCUGAAAGGUUACUGAGAGCGGGCCAAUCGUUGAUGGUUACAAACAGAAACACGUGCAGGUUAAAUUCCUCCUGUUUGUGCUCAUCCCACACACGUACACCGUUUCCAUUCCACAGCUGUAAAAGUUCUUCAACUAAUGGCCUUAGGUACACAUCAAUGUCGUUGCCGGGUUGCUUAGGGCCUUGGAUGAGAACUAGCAACAUAAUGAACUUCCGCUUCAUGCACAUCCAAGGAGGAAGGUUAUACAUACAUAGAGUCACGGGCCAGGUGCUGUGAUUGCUGCUCUGCUCCCCGAAAGGAUUAAUGCCAUCCGCGCUCAAACCAAACCAUACGUUCCUUGGGUCACCUGCAAACUCAGCCCAGUACUUUCUCUCGAUUUUUCUCCACUGCGACCCGUCAGCGGGUGCUCUCAACUUCCCGUCUUUCUUACGGUCCUCUCUGUGCCAUCACAUCAACUUGGCAUGCUUUUCGUUUCUGAACAGAUGUUUCAACCGUGGUAUUAUAGGAGCAUACCACAUCACCUUCGCAGGAACCCUCUUCCUGGGGGGCUCGCCGUCAACGUCACCAGGGUCAUCACGUCUGAUCUUAUACAGCAAUGUACCGCAUACGGGGCAUGCGUUCAAAUCCUCGUACGCACCGCGGUAGAGGAUGCAGUCCUUAGGGCAUGCAUGUAUCUUCUGCACCUCCAAUCCUAGAGGGCAUACGACCUUCUUUGCUGCGUACGUAUUGUCGGGAAAUUCGUUAUCGUUUGGAAGCUUCUUCUUCAAUAUUUUCAGUAGCUUCUCAAAUCCUUUGUCAGGCACAACAUUCUCUGCCUUCCACUGCAGCAAUUCAAGUACGGUACCGAGCUUUGUGUUGCCAUCUUCGCAAUUGGGGUACAACCCUUUUUUGUGAUCCUCUAACAUGCGAUCGAACUUCAGCUUCUCCUUUUGACUUUCGCACUGUGUCCUUGCAUCAACAAUGACCCGACAGAGAUCAUCAUCAUCGGGCACAUCGUGUGGUUCCUCUUGAUCUUAAGCAGCUUCCCCCGUUGCAUCAUCACCGUAUUCAGGGGGCACAUAGUUGUCAUCGUCCUCUUCUUCUUUGUUGUCUUCCAUCAUAACCCCUAUUUCUCCGUGCUUCGUCCAAACAUUAUAGUGUUGCAUGAAACCCUUAUAAAGCAGGUGGGUGUGAAGGAUUUUCCGGUCAGUGUAAGACUUGGUAUUCCCACAAUUAGGGCUUGGACAACACAUAAAACCAUUCUUCUUGUUUGCCUCAGCCACUUCGAGAAAAUUAUGCAGGCCCUUAAUGUACUCGGAGGUGUGUCUGUCACCGUACAUCAAUUGCCGGUUCAUCUGCGUGCAUUAUAUAUAGUUAUGUGUGUCAAAAACCAUUACAGAUUCACAUGGAUAGAUAAGUGACCAAACUAAUACAAGUUCAUCAUCACAUUAAAACCAAAGUACAUACAUAGUUCUCAUUGAACAACUUAUUGCUCUCCAGAGCAUCUAAUUAAACCUUACAUUGAAACUAUGUAAAAUCUUUCAAUGCAACAACAAAUGCGAUCAUAAUCACAACCAAGGUAACAAUUGAUCCAACGGCAUAAUGAAACCAAGCCUCGGUAUGAAUGGCAUAUUUUCUAAUCUUUCUAAUCUUCAACCGCAUUGCAUCCAUCUUGAUCUUGUGAUCAUCGACGACAUCCACAACAUGCAACUCCAAUAUCAUCUUCUCCUCCUCAAUUUUUUUUCCUUCAAGUAAUUGUUUUCUUCUUCAACUAAAUUUAACCUCUCGACAAUAGGGUCGGUUGGAAUUUCCGGUUCGCAUACCUCCUAGAUAAAUAAAAUCUAUGUCACGUUGGUUGGCAUAAUUGUCAUAAACAAUAAAUGAACCAAAUAGUUAUAAAAGAUAAUAUAUAUCACAUCCGAAUCAUAGACAGGACGAGGGACGACGGGAGAGGAUACCAAAACCAUUGCACUAUAUAAUAACAAGCAAUAAUAAAAGUAAGAAAAUUAGACAAGUAUCUAUCUAAAGUAAGAAUUUUUUCUUUCAGAAAGAAGAUAAGAAUAAGAGGCUCACCACGGUGGUGCCGGCGACGAGAUGGCGCGGGCGAUCGACGGCGGUGAAGACGGGGACAGGACGUGACAGACCGCUAAACCUAGACAAAUCUCGGGGGAAAUGGGGCUCGGAGGUCGAGUUUCGAGAGGAGAAAGCUUAACUAGUGUGGCUCGGGCAUUUCAUCGAACACCUCAUGUGCAUAGGAGAUCAGCUAGAGCACCACAAAGCUCUCCCCUCGCCGGCCAGAAAAAAACAUAGCACUGUGGAGUGCUCUGCCGCGGCGAUGGGGUAUAUAUAGCCACCUCAUUGGUCCCGGUUCGUGGCUGGAACUGGGACUAAAGGCCCCCCUUCUGUCCCGGUUCUAGGCACGAACCGGGACCAAUGGCUGUGGGCCAGAAGCGAGGACCAUUGGUCCCGGUUCGUGCCUAGAACUGGGACAAAUGUGUCUACACGAACCGGUACAAAUGCCUCCCGAGGCCCGGCCGGCCCCCUGGGCGCACGAACCGGGACGUAUGCCCCCCAUGGGUUCCGGUUCGUGACAGAACCGGGACUAAUGGGCUGGCCAGGCCCCAACCAAAGCCCUGUUUUCUACUAGUGACUUGAUGUGCAAAAAGAUCUGCUUAGAGCCGACGGAGACCAUCACCAAGAUGAGCGAUUGUCCGUGAAGAUGUGCGACAGACAACGCUGGACCGAGGACUCCAAGACGAUGCCUCCAAGAAGGGCACGACCACGAAACGUUGCCAACGUCCGAUCCGAAGAUCAAGUUUUCACCUGGAGCUUGACGGGAGGAGUGGGAGCACCACGAUGGAGCAUGCAAGGAGGAACAUGACGUCCGCGGACGCCGUCACCGUCGACCAGUGCACGGACUGGGCCAGUGAUGUACUCCGGUGCUUCAACCCCUCCGCCGCAUCCCCGGUCCGCCAACCACCUGCAGCCAUGCCGCCCGAGCGGCCAUGGUUGCUCGCCCGCCUCCGAGCCGUGCCAUCCGCCCACGACCAACACGACUCCCACCGCCAGACCACCCCGAGAGCCACCAAAGGCCAGGACUUUGACCAUAUCCACGUCCCCAACCACCUCUGGAACACCCUACCUCGAGAGGAACCGUGACCAGACAACGGCCGGGGGAAGGGGGAGGAGCAGGAGCGGAACACGGCCACGACCGACACCCCUGUGAUGGCGACGGAGCACGUGACGGCGCACCCGACCCUCCUACCAGCCCCACCGAAACCACAUGUUUCGCCCCCGAAGCCGAGGCCCAGACCAGCAAGAGAGCACUGACCACUGCCAGAUGCCGAGGAGGAGAGAGGAAGGGCAGAACCGACGCCGCCGCAGCCAUGGGAGGCCCACCAGGGAGGCCCUCCUGCGCUGAGCGCCACCGUCCAACCGCAAGGGCCCAACUGGACGGGGUAGCUCACCUCCACCGCUGCCGCGCCACCCCCCACCACCAGAGAUCCACGACAAGAUGGGCCGCCCGCGAGCCGCAGCGCCAGACGCGGCUCCGAGGCACUGUUGCGAAGCAUCCGCCGCUGACGCCACCCGCUGACCUGCACCACCACCAUGCCGCAUGUCGGCCAACGCCACGCCGCCAUCGGUGGCCCAUUCCGGAGUGCCGCCGCGCCCGACAUCGAGCGCUGCAUCCCAGCACACGAGAUUUGGCACACGCCGCAUCCCCCACGCGGGGAGACGAAGGGGCCCCGCCUCCACCGGCGACCACGGGCUUCGCCCGCUUGUGCCCCCAGGCGGCGGCGAGGGAGCUGAGGGGGGAGAGGAGGAGGAGGGUGGAGGCGGCGGCGCUAGGGUUUCCUCCCGGACGCUCGCGGGAGUAGGAGCGGGUUCCCGCAAGGGAUCCAACUCUUGGCUUUUGCUCCCUUUACUUGCUUUGGGUACCUAUGUUUUCUUGUGAUCGUAGUAUAAAAAGUAUGGUUAAUAGUACUAUUUUUCUUGGUUUCGAUCAAAAAGGGAACAGUACAAAAAUUCACGACGGAAACAACAUAUUGACGUUAUAACUGUGGGUGGUUAAGUAAAUAAUACUGCCUGAAUUUUGUAGCGCGUAGUGGAGUACACAAUGGCCAGUGCUCAUGAUGCCGCCACUACUUAUGAUGCCCAAUUCAUCGGAACCAUUGUGAAGCCAGAGUUGAAUGCCAUUUUAAAUCAAAGGUGGAAGGGGAAAUAGAUUUUUUUUGCAUGGCUACGGGGCUCAAAAUAGACUGCCAACUGUUGAUGGUCUCCGUGCGCGAUCAUGUGAACACAAUGACACCUGCUCCCUCUGUAAUCAUACGACUGCUGCUCAUCUGAUCUGUACAUCAUGCUUCCUAACAUUCAGCGUCAACCCACGUUGCGGUUUACUUCAACAACAACCUGGUGGGUAAGUUUUGCCUACAGGCAGAAGAACAAGGCAGCUGUUGCACUCUGCUUCGUCUGGAACAUCUGAAACGAACGAAACCAAGUAAUCUUCCAAAAUCACUCUUCAACUGUUGAUAUGGUGACUUCCUAGUCAGGUUUGACUUAACAUACUUGGAUAUGGCCUCUUCGAUGCAUUCAACUGUGUAAAUAUGUUAUUUUUCUUUUUUCUUUUGGUCUGCCUUAAGGCUUCAGACUUUUCUCUUGUAAACUCAUAAUAUAAUGCAAAGUCACAAGACCUGCCAUUAGCCAUAAAAAAUGGACGGUCAACUACCAACCAGGAGCAGGCUAUAUACUAGUUUCUUUUAAUAGUUGAGCUAUACUAAAAUUUUCACUUGCUCAAAUUUUUAAAGAAUAAUUGUGAGCCAAAAAAGAAGACAUGUGGGUGUCAACCCCACAAACUCAAGAAGUAACCAAGUUUUGUGACCGACACGUGAUAUUCAUUUUUCGCAUGAGGACAUGUUUAUGUUGCUCAUACUUUGUCAGUCAAUGAUGAUGUAGACUUCCCCAUGCUUCCUAGUCCUAUAAAAAGAAAUUCAUUGGCAUUUUGUUGGGCUUUACGAAAUACAAUGUUUCGAUUGAUCCACCAGCAAAAUUAGGGAUAACUGGUCUAGAUUUCGACUUCCAAGUACCAUACAACAUCUUUGGAGGAGAUGUUGGGUGCUGGUGUCUGGGACCCUAGCGGGUGGAAGAUUUUGUUUUAGGUGUGUGACGGGUGGGGAGGGGGAUUGGUCAUGGGAAUGGGUGGAUGAGAUAUAAUCUUAAGAUAUUGUUUUAUAUGACGGGCAUGGACCCGGUAGGUUAUAUAGAGGGGAGUCUUGGGCAUAGUACAGAACUUUGUCAUCAUAAAAGUUCUUUGUGAAUAAGGUACCCGUUUAAAAGCUCUGCUUGUUGCGAGUCCUACUACUAACUAUCUGGACCAUCCAUCAAUAAUGAACCAUCAAUGUCAGACUGUUCUGUGGUUGUGGACUUCCAUGACAGACUAUUCAACUACAAGGGUCCAUUCACCAGCUUCACGCCACUUCAACGUAUCAUCGAGCAAAUUGAAGCUGAUGCUAGACAGUGGGCUGUAGUAAGCUGGAGUCGCUUCUAAUUGCAUUAGAGAGUUCAUUUAUUGGGUUGCCGUGUGGUAGUACUGGUGGUUUUGGGCCGUGUGUGGUUGUUUAUGGGUUUUAUUUUUUAUUUUUGUUGUACUGUGGUCCGUUUACUUUUCCACCUACCUUUAAUAUAAAUACACAUGCAGUUCUUCUGGAUGGUUCCAAAAAAAAGUUCAUUCAUCAGCUGUGUGCAAAAAAUGAGUAAAUAGCAUAAAACACCAUAAUUCCGGCUAGGUUCGGAAAAACUACCACUUUUUGAAAAUUUACUAAAACCUACCACUUUAUCAGUAUGAUGUUUCAGAAAACCCAAGCUGACGAAUCUUAAAUUUUCAAUGUGGUUUAUGACAAGCUAUGCCCACUCGUCAGGGCGACGUUAGACGUCGACAGAUGGCGUGCCCGCGCACAACCGUUAGGGUCCCGACCUGGUCAAAACGACCCAAUUUGGGUCAUCUCUCUUCCUCGCUCUUACUCUCUCCUUCGCUGUCCUUUGUCUCUCCGAGCUCGCUCGACGACACUGACGACCAUAGUCCUUGUCCCCGGUGACCAUGCCGUUGUGGAAGGAUGGAGACGAGAGCACUGAUGAGGACAUCAACAUGGGCAACAACUUCAUGGACAUGGAGUACUUUGUAAGAUUUCUCCUCUUUUAUUAGUUAAGGUUAGGGUUUUUGGAUUUGGGUAUUUUUAUUUUGAGCUUUGUUGCACCGAUUCGAAGAAAUCUUCCAUUGUUCUGGCUUCUAACGGAUCAAGGAUACCUUGGAAACCAUUCCUGAGCCACUUUACUGUGGUGAUGUUAUAAUGACGUGCCGAAGUGCAUGCUGCACUAACAUAGGGUGAAUAAAUGUGUUUCUUUUGAAGGAAUUGAUACUGGAAGAAGAUUCCUUGGCUACUCUAUGCAGGUGAGUAAUCAGCAGAUGAAUUCGUAAUGUUUCACAGUACCUAGGUAGCACAUAUAUCUCAAAUGUGAGAGUAUAGUGUAGUAGGUGACAUGGUGAUAGUGGUAUAUUGGCUGCACAAUUGAGAAUCCGUUAUCUUGGUGCUUAGUUAGUCACUGACCAUGAACUUGCCAAUUGACACUCUAAGUACAAGUACAAUGUCUAGCACAUGAAAUUGAUGUGUGUUUACAUAUGGAAAUUGCAAUGUAGAUAUUUGUUGUUUAAUUUGGUGUAAGGAGAUCAAUAAUUAAUGUUAGUUUUACAUUGGCUAGCGCAUGAAAUAGCCAUAGGCUUUGUACUUUGGUAGGGAAAUUGCCAUCUGAGGUAGCAUUAACAGUAAUGUUAGUUUUGCAAAUCUGUUAAGUUUUGCAAUUGCUGAAUUUAGUGGUGAAUGCCAAUAGUUCUUACAUUUAGUUUCCUUUAACAUGGAGGCGUAACCUAUGGAGUAGUGCAUUGGGUUGAUGGGCAUUGGCCUAUCAUACAAGAUAACUGCUUGACCAAGCUAUCGACAUGUGUUAUGAGCAAAACUUUGGCAGGGUGACAAGCAGGCAAGCCUAUGACACAGAGCCAGCCAAGUUGAAGAAGGAGAAUGAGCAUCUCUGCAAUCAAUAUAAAAAAUGGUGGAUGAUGUUAGCAAGAUGUUUGAUUGGCAUGAUGGGGUUCGAAAGGUGGAUUACCAAAAAGCAAUGGAUGCUAGAGAAUUUGAGCAGAAGAGGGAAGAGCUACACUUGGAGGUCAAGAUGGAGAAGCCGCGACUUUCAAAGGAGCAAAGGUGUAUCCUACAAACCCAGGAAAAUAUCAUCAAUAACACCAGGAAGGCCAUUUAUGAGAUCCAGGUGGACAUGGAUCUACUUGCAGAAGAGAAGAAGGAUCUUGCGAAUACAGUUGCUAACCUAAAUACUUUGCAUGAGAGCAAGGACAACCUGGAAAAAAUCAAGGCAAUAUCAGAGGUAUGAAUAUGAAGGGAAUCUUGGAUAAGUAAAUAGUAGGCCUAUAUAUAAUAGGCCUUGCAAGUUGAUGGUCGUAGGUGCAUAUUUUUGUGAUCUGGUCUAUGAACUGCUUACUUAAGCUAUUAUGGUAAAUGCAAUGAUGUUAGUUAAGGUAUGAACAACCUGGUUAUGUUAAGUAUUGCAGUGAACAACUGCUUAUGUUAAGUUAUGCAGUGAAGAAGUACUUAUGCUAAGUAAUGCAAUGAUCAACUAUUAUGUUAGGUAUUCAUGUUUUAGCUUUCAUGCACGAUCAACUAGCUUAUUACUUUGUUCAGUACUCUCAUGUAUUGUGAUUUUGUGAUCAUUUAGGUGGUGCUUUGUCCACUUAGCAUGUCAUGGUGUGUAUUAAAGCCGCAACGUCACCUCCCCCACAACCAUAACCCUACCUCCCCCUCAGUCGCCAACCAACAUCAUACAAUGCUAGUUAGCAAGCACCCUAGGAAGAUGGAUCCUACCCUGGGAGAGGUGGCCCGCACAAACUCUACAUUGUGGCCCUGCCACAUGAUAUUUAUAUUUUGCUUGAGGACAUGUUUAUGUUGCUCAUGCUUUUCUGUCACUCAUGAUGGAGAUUCAUUGUCCUAUGAAAAAUAAAUUCAUUGACAUUUCGUUGAGCUUUUCGAAAUACUAUGUUUUGAUUAAUCCACCAGGAAGAUUAGGGAUAACUGGCAUAGAAUUCGACCUCCAAGUACCAUACAACAACUUUGGACAAGAUGUUGGGUACUGGUGUGUGCGGUCCUGGCGGGUGGAAGAUUUAGGUUUAGGUGUGUGACGGGUGGGGGAGGGGAAAUUGGUCAUGGGAGUGGGUGGAUGAGAUAUAGUGUCAAGACAUUGUUUUAUUGAUGAAGAUGGACUGGAAGGUUAUAUAGAGAGCAGUCUUGGGUAUAGUACAUGACCUUUGUCAUCAUAAAUGUUCCAUGUGAAUAAGGUGCCAGUUUUAAACCUCGUUUGUCGUGAGUCCUACCACUAACUAUCUUGACCAUCCGUCAAUAAUGAACCAUAAAUGGUGUACUAUUCUGUGGUUGCUGACAAGGUCAGGCUGGCUCCAGUAUGGGAGCGGCAACAGCAGCGCGUUGGCGGCUUGUUUUGGCAGCUGCAAUGGUCGUUCAGUGGUCCAUUGAUCUUGAUGUAAGUUUUGUUUUGUUUGAGGUGUUUUGUACUUCCAGUGAAUGUUUAUAAUAGAACUGAUCUUUUCGCAAAAAAAGUCUUUUGAAAUUGAAGCUCUGACCUUUUUUGUUAUGGAAAAACAAACUUAAUUAGUUUUUUUUACUUUAGAAUGUAUACAUAUCAUUGGAGCUCACACAUGAAUUAAGCAAAAAGCCCACAUGAACCCCAUGAAAUACUGUAGACUAAUAGACGCUUCUUGUGCUUGCCCUUAUUGCACUUUUUCGGGUACUUAAUUACGGUAGGAUGCAGGAGGUCAAUCACGGCGUGUCGUGCCGGGCGAUGCCACAGCAUAUAGCAUCGUACCCCAAGUCAGGCUGAACUUAAAAUGAUUCCCCUGGACUGUUUGGGUUUGGGGCAAUAAUGCUUGGGCGGUAGGUUUAUACACCUUGUUGUGGUCAGCUAUUGUGUGUGGACGGCCAUAGACUGACUGUUCCCGGUGCUCCAUCCAUGUUCAUGAUACCCACUGACUUGUCGGAACACAAGUUUUCAAGACAAGCAGAAUUUAGUCAUGGCAAUUGUCGUUCAGCCAAAUACUCGCUAGGCAGACAAACUAGCAAGGUUCACUGUGAAGAUAGAAUAUUUUUUGCUGAAAUUUUUCAUGGCAAGCCAAGCAGAUUCAAGAUCCUAAUAAAGAUUUCUCGCAAAAAAAAGAUCCUAAUAAAGAUGCCACACAUUCUAAAGCUAAUGGUUUACUGCAUGGCAUGUCGAUCUACUGGGUGUUGAUUGCUCUAUGGAAUAUUUUGGUUCUCAGAGUUAUCAAUCAGUUCGGCAGACUAGUUCUUGAGUCAUGAGCAAUAAUUUUUGGAAUGAGAAUACGAGACCGAAAAUAUCUGUGUCUACACUUGCUUUUUCGUGGAAGGCCAUUGACCUGGAUUCACACUAGUGUCUGAGUUUAAGACGUGGCCAAUGUUACUAAACACUGUAACUAACUCAGACCAUUAAUCCCAAUUUUGCCAUUUUAAACUUUCCUCAUUCUAACCUCCAAGACAGGAGCUGUCGUCAUCAACCUCCAAGAAAAACAACAAAUUUGACGUCACAAACAUGUGAGCCACUUGCUAGAAAACAAAGCACUACAUUUGGCACGAGGGCUUAUAUGAGUGCAUUACUAGGUGUAUAUGGAUAAACAAAUGGAUAAUCACAUUUCCUUUGCUGCUGCAUUCCAUAUGCCACUGCAUUUAUUCUCCUACAAGCUUGCUAGAAUCUGUUGCUCUAUUUCCUCCUCAGAUUGUGUAUGGCGAAAUUCGUAAACAAGAAGACACCAAAGGGAGGGUACAUUAUGGUAGAAAGGAGGGGAACCAAAAUUGGAUAGGGGACAAAUUGCAUGCGGCCAUCAAGGAUGGACAGGGAUAUGCACCGGAAAAUCAAUUAGCACUCAACCUGUCAAGGUCAUUGUCCGUCGAAAGUUCUAAUUAGUGGAAUUUGACUAACUGACUGUAUUUAUUCCCUGUCCUUGGUCUUAUGCCAAGUUGUUGAGCUAGAGGUAAAAGCACUAGAGCACUGAAAUACCUACUUUACACCAUGAGGGCAACUGCUGCCUGCUCUGUGAUUCUGUGUUAUGUUAAUCUUGCUGGAAAGCAUUCCUUGGUGUUGUUAAACUUAAUACGCUUCUGUCAUAUGCACGCCGGAAAAAGCUCCGCGCUUUGGUCCGUGUACUUGAGUUUCAGUAAAGCGGUCUUCAGUUCUUAGGUAGAACUGCACAUAGCAUCCCAAUGCAUGUGUUUAGCUAGAAAUCAGGCAAUGCCAUUUCAGGUGGCAUGAUUGACACUUCUACAGCAGUAAAAAUUAGAUUGCGAGCGGAUUCUUCCGCUUUUGCUUUUUUUCUUUUCUUUGAAGAGUGCAGACCAUGGAAAGAAAGCUAGUGUCCCUUGUUUAAUCUGAUGCGGUGGCCAUCAGUAAGGCAAGUUUUUACUGUUUCUGUGUAGCUUUCUAUAUGCUUUGUAUUCCUCUUCGACAAUGGCUAUACACGGGGCAAGAGUUUGAAGGAAGAAGUUGGUAGAAAGUUGAUUAACUUUCAGAGUGUACUAUUGGACCAACACAUUUAUAUGCAUACAAAAAUGAAAAUGCAGCAAAAAUAUGAUUCAUGGGCAGAUCUGCACUUCCCUUUCCUGAGAACUAAAACUGCGGCUGUUAACAAGAUAGAUUUGUGGAAAGCAAACUGAAAAAGAAAGUGAACAGCAAGAAGGUAGGGUCCUUUUUGUUCGAAGAACAUUCCUUUUUUUUGUUUCAAAACUUACAACAAUAUAACAGAGUGAGUUGUUCAUUAUCUGGAAAAACAGAGUGAGUUGCAAACCUACAAUCUGUCACUUUAUUCUCUAAUUUGCUGGCAGAAGCUUUGUCUAGGGGGUAUCUGCUUUAACCUCAUCUUAUUGUCAAAAUUCCAAUGCAUGCACAUAUGGGUGACUUUCUCGUCCAUUCCGUGAAAUAAGAUGUGUGUUACUGAUUAUGUCAUACCAGUGAUGAAACAUAAUAAAUGAACAGUUCUUCUUUUGGGGGAAACUGUCAGCUAAAUAAUACUCUACUAGUCUAUAUACGGUUUUAGCAGCUGGUAUGUUCAGCAAAUAUGCUAACUCAGUGCAAGACUGCGUUGAGCUCUGUUCCAAGCAAUAGAUGAUCUGCCAACAAGCAAAAAACAUCUAUCCUGCUGCCCGGUUUGUGAGGAAACUGAAAGGCGAAGACACCGCACAGCGAAAACAGAGAUAUCUGAGAUUCGGCAAUGCUUUCUUUCACUUGAUUAUUUUUUUAGAGCAUUAGGGGAUUCCCCCGGUUCCAUUAGCAAAUGAAACCAAGUAGUCUUACAUCACACUCCAAACGAGCAUGUUCCAGGUUCACAACCAUCAUAAAAAUUAGAGAAAAGUGAUCGCCUUGGCCUCCAGCCAAACUACUUAAAACUUUAUAUUACAUUAGAUAAAACUCUCCUAGGAUUUCACUACUCUCAGGGCAGCAUCUCUGAAACAACACCUUCACCAGGGGCAACGCAACCCGGCCAUCUUGCUUUGUCUUUCGCGACCAGCAUCAGGCUCGCCAUCUUUACUUGCUCCAGGACAUCACUCCUCAUCUUCUUGAGCGGUUGGGUCGGUGAGCCAGGCAGCUCCAAAGGUGUACCUGGGCUUGAUGUGGUCUGAACAGAUUUCUUCAAUGGAGCAUCUUGAGGCCGGGCAGUAGCCUGGCUGCUCUCUAUCCGAAGAUCUCCCCCCGCCCUCAGCGACAGAUUGGCGAGCUUAGAGGUUUGCGAGACACCUUCAGUGUCAACCUCUCUCCCAAUCACCCCACUGUCAACUGGAAGGGCGCGUCAAGGAUGUUGGAUAUCCAGAGUGAGAUUUUAUGCAUCCUCUCCAGCGACUCCCCUUUGUACAGUAUCAUCCAUCUUUUGAGCGUCCUCCAGACUUGCCACCAUAUCUGCUUCAAGUCAGACCAGAUAGCGUUAUUAAACACUUGGUUAUUCCUAGUUUUCCACAAGCUCCACAAGAGACAAGCCACAAAAGGAUUCAUAGCUGUAUGUUUCUUGUUAGCCGGCCAAAACCUGGCAAUGGAGAGGUAGUUUGCUCCUAAAUCAACAGAAAAGAAAUUUGAAAUAUCACUCCAGAGUUUCCUAGCAACCACACAUUCGAAGAACAAGUGAUCUGCUGUUUCUUGCUCAGAGCAGAAUACCCAUUCUGGAGGUUUUUCUAUCCCUCUUUUGAGCAAGUUAUCCUUGGUCAUCAGCUUAUUGUGAGCUAGUAACCACAGGAAAACUUGUACUCUGGGCGGUACAACUAUAGACCAAAUAGAUGGAAUGUAGACAGGCUGCACCCCCCUAAAGUUUAUAAUAGCAUAGAGAGAGCUGGAGGUAUAUUCCCCUUUUGAUUCAUAUUGCCAGAUCAUAGCAUCAUCCUCAUCAGAGAGAGGAGUCUCUCUAAUGAUUUGCUUGAGGCAGUACCAAUCCUCCAUCAUACCACGUGUAAAAGCUCUCCUAAAUGUUAGCUUGGUACUCUCCCCAUCCCAAACAUCGGACACUGUCACACAUUGUUGAUGACAGAUAGAAUACAAAUGCCAAAACUGCACAGAAAGGGGUGAGGUCCCAAACCAUAUAUCCUCCCAGAAUCUGUUUUUUCUCCAACUCCCUAUUUUCCAUCUAUAGCCAAACUUCAAGUCUUUAGAGGCCCACAUUACACCUUAACAAAAUUUUGAGGGUGCCUGUGGUCUGCUAGCAAAUAUAUUGGGGGCAUUCCUAAUAUAUUUGUUAUCUAUAAUAGUUUUCCAGAUCUUCCCAUUGUCUUGAGCAUAUCCCUUAACCCAGCUUCCUAGCAAGCAAAGAUUAACAUCUUUGAUGUUUGGGACACCUACGCCUCCAUGCUCUUUUUUCAUGCAGACCAGGUGCCAAUUAGCUAGAUGGAAUUUUCUGUUCCCCUCAAAAUUACUCCACAGACAAUGUGCCAGUUGACUAUUAAUUAAGUCUAGGGCCCAUUUUGGGAACUUGAAGAAGGAUAGACUGGAGUACUAGCUAAGCAAGCUUUUACAAGAGUAAGCCUAGCCGAAUAAGAUAGUAGCUUCCGCCUCCAUCCAGCCAUCCUUUUCAAGAUUUUAUCUAUAAGUGGUUUGAUGUCCUCUCUUCUAAGCUUAUCAUAAUGCAAUGGGAUUCCCAGGUAUUUUAUGGGAGAAGUACCUAUAGUACACCCAAAGAUAUCAGCAAAGGAAGCUACAUCCCCAUCCUCUACACCUAAAGGGAUCAGCUCACUUUUAGUAUAGUUAAUUCUCAUACCUGAGACUUUCUCAAAAUAGGUUAAGAUCUUCUUAAGAUUAGAUGCUUUGCUCUUAUCAUCAUCCAUGAAUAGGAUGGUAUCAUCUGCAAACUACAAGCAGAUGANNNNNNNNNNNNNNNNNNNNNNNNNNNNNNNNNNNNNNNNNNNNNNNNNNNNNNNNNNNNNNNNNNNNNNNNNNNNNNNNNNNNNNNNNNNNNNNNNNNNNNNNNNNNNNNNNNNNNNNNNNNNNNNNNNNNNNNNNNNNNNNNNNNNNNNNNNNNNNNNNNNNNNNNNNNNNNNNNNNNNNNNNNNNNNNNNNNNNNNNNNNNNNNNNNNNNNNNNNNNNNNNNNNNNNNNNNNNNNNNNNNNNNNNNNNNNNNNNNNNNNNNNNNNNNNNNNNNNNNNNNNNNNNNNCAGAGCCCAGCCCUUUAAUUAAGUUAUGAGAGGAUGCUUUAACAAGCAUUCUGGUCAAAACAUCUACAACUAGAUUAAAGAGCAGGGGUGAGGCAGGGUCCCCCUGCCUUAAUCCUUUGUUAGUUACAAAGAAGUUACUCUCUACUCCAUUCACCUUAACACCUACUGACCCCAUAUGAGUGAUCUGAUGGAUCCAUUUGAUCCAUACAUUACCAAAGUUCCUUUUUGAAGGAUUUCCAUCAAGAAGUCUAAAUUAACUUUAUCAAAGGCCUUCUCAUAAUCUAGUUUAAGCACCAGCCUUGGGCUAUCAGAGUGGUAAGUGGAGUGCAAGACCUCAUGGGCAGUCACCACACUUUCCAGAAUGAACCUCCCCUUGAUGAAAGCUGACUGGUUAUUAGAGGUCAGGAAAUUCAUAAUGAUAGCAAGUCUAUUAGUUAGCACUUUAGUGAAGACAUUAAAAAUGCAGUUCAACACACUAAUUGGCCUAAACUUUUUCAUGCUGGUGGCAUCUUCCUCUUUUGGAAUAAGAGAAAUCAUGGCAAAGUUAAGCCUAUAAAUGUCUAAAUUACCAGAGUGGAAAUCCUCAAACAAUGCCAUUACAUCAUGUUUAAUGAUUUCCCAAAAUUCCUGUAGGAAGAGGAAUGAGAGGCCAUCAGGUCCAGUAGCACCAUCAGAGUAUGAACCAAAUAUGGCCUAUUUUACUUCUUCCUCAGUAAAAUGGGCUUGAAGGGAUUCAUUUUUGUCAUCAUAGAUUUUCUCAUCUGGGGAGAAGAAAUCCUGACUUAGAGUGAAGCCGUGUCUAUCCUCUUUUCUGAACAAAUCUUUAUAAAAAUCAGAAGCUAUUUUUGUCAUCUCAUUGAUGACAGUUGUGGUACCAUCUGGACCAUCAAGAGUAUGAAUCAGGGUUUUUCUCCUCCUAUGAUUAGCUACUGCAUUAGAGUACUUAGUAUUCCUAUCUCCUUCAAGAAUCUCUCUGUCUCUGGAUCUCUGUCUAGCUUUGGUCUCUUCCUUCAGCCAAAUGGCCUGAAGUUCUUUAAGGAUGUUCUGCAUCCUGACAUUCUCCACAUCAAACAGAUGUGUGAUGAUCCACAAGUAUAGGGGAUCAAUUGUAGCUCUUUUUGAUAAGUAAGAGCGUCGAACCCAACGGGGAGCAGAAGAAAAUGACAAGCAGUUUUCAGUAAGGUAAUGUCUGCAAGUGCUGAAAUUGUAAGUAGCAGAGUAGUUUGAUAGCAAGAUAAUUUGUAACGAGCAAGUAACGAUAGUAGCAAUAAGUAUGCAGCAAGGUAGCCCAAUCCUUUUGAGGCGAAGGACAGGCCAAAACGGUCUCUUAUGAUAAGCAAAGCGUUCUUGAGGGUACACGGGAAUUUCAUGUAGUCACUUUCAUCAUGUUGGUUCGAUUUGUGUUCGUUACUUUGAUAAUUUCAUAUGUGGGUGCACCGGUGCUUAGGUGUUGUUCUUACUUGAACAAACCUCCUACUUAUGAUUAACCCUCCCUCAAGCAUCCUCAACUACGAUAAAAGUAUUAAGAAUAAAUUCUAACCAUAGCACUAAACUUAUGGAUCCUAUCGGUCCCUUACGGAAUAGCGCAUAAACUGGGGUUUAAGAUUCUGUCACUCUCGCAACCCAUCAUCUAUUUGCUACUCCACAAUGCAUUCCCUUAGGCCCAAAUAUGGUGAAGUGUCAUGUAGUCGACGUUCACAUGACACCACUAAGUGAAUAACAACAUACAUACUAUCAAAACAUGGAACACAUGUCAAAUUCACAUGAUUACUUGCAACAUGAUUUCUCCCGUGACCUCAAGAACAAAAGUAACUACUCACAAAUGAUAAACAUGUUCAUGAUCAGAGGGGUAUUAAAUAGCAUAAUGGAUCUGAACAUAUAAUCUUCCACCAAAUAAACCAUAUAGUAAUCAACUACAAGAUGUAAUCAACACUACUAGUCACCCACAAGCACCAAUCUAUGGUUCCGGUAACAAGAUUGAACACAAGAGAUGAACUAGGGUUUGAGAUGAGAUGGUGUUGUUGAAGAUGUUGAUGGAGAUUGCCCUCCCCAAGAUGGGAGAGUUGUUGGUGAUGAUGAUGACGAUGAUUUCCCCCUCCGGGAGGGAAGUUCCCCCGGCGGAAUCGCUACGCCGGAGGGCAAAAUUGCUCCUGCCCAAGUUCCGCCUCGAUACAGCGGCGCUCCGUCCUGAAAGCCUUCUCCUUAAUUUUUCUAGGUAAAAAUGACUUAUAUACCAGAAGAUGGACACCGGAGGUGGGCCGAGGAGGGCACAACCCACCAAGGCGCGCCUGGUCUCCUUGGCGCGCCCAAGUGGGUUGUGCCCACCAGGUGGGCCCCCUCUGGUAGUUAUUUGCUCCAAUAAUUCUUAAAUAUUCCAUAAAAAAUAUCUGUGAAGUUUCAACUUGUUUGGAGUUGUGCAGAAUAGGUAGCCUGACAUAGCUUUUUCAGGUCCAGAUUUCCAGCUGCCAGAAUUCUCCCUCUUUGUGUGUACCUUGCAAAUUAUCAGAGAAAAGGCAUUAGAAUUACUCCAAAAAGCAUUAUUAUGAAUAAAAACAUUAUAAAUAACAACAAGAAAACAUGAUGCAAAAUGGACGUAUCAACUCUCCCAAGCUUAGACCUCGCUUGUCCUCAAGCGAAAACCAAAAUCGAAAAACAUGCCGACAUGCUUUGAGAGAGAGGUGUCGAUAAAAACAAAAUACGGACAUAGAAGCAUCAUGUUGAUUAUUAUUACAGCAACAAAAUUAAACAUAAGACUUUUAUCAUAGAACUUUCAUCAUACCCUUCUCAUGAAUAAGUAGCAGUUCAUCACACAAUCGAAGUAUAAAGAAAACCUCUAUUAGAAACUAACAAACUAUGUUCUCAGUCAACUUUGCAACUACAAUUCAUCAUCUUUUCAGGAAGAGCCACGUAUCGGAGCCUUUAGGUAAGUCCACAUACUCAACCAUCAUAUAGUCUUCUAUGAUUGCUAACACUCACCAUGUACACAUGAGCAAAACGUUUCAACCGGACAAUUAGAAAGAUAGGGGCUUAUUGUUUCGCCUCCCAACAUACUCACCUCAAGGGUGAUGUCAACAAUAAUAACUCAUGCUAUCUAUAUUCAACUGGACAUAUGUGCCUAGAUCUUUCCUCACCACAUGAUGCUUGCCAAAGGAGAAAAAUAAAAAGGAAUAGAAGGAAAACUUUGACUCUUUGCAUAAAAGUAAAUACAUAAAAGUAAAGGAUAGGCCCUUCGUAGAGGGAAGCAGAGGUUGCCAUGCGCUUAUUUGUUUGCAUGCUCAAUCCCUUAGUGCAAGAGAAAGUCACAUUGUAUUGCCCCUUAAGAUGACAACCUUUAUUAUGCAGUCUGUCGCUUUUAUUCUUUGUCAUCCAAGUUCGUACAACGCUCAAUUUUCUCUUACACUAAAUGAUCUCACAUAUUUAGAAGCAAUUUUAUUGCCUUUUUCCACCGAUGACAACUUACUUGAGGGAUCUUGUUCAAUCCCUAGGUAGGUAUAGUGGACACUUGAAAAAGAUUUGGGUUUAAGGGUUUUUGGAUGCACAAGUAGUAUCUCUACUUAGUGCGGAAUUUUUGGGUAGCAAAGAUAGGGGCAAGCAUCACAUGUUAAAGGAUCUAUGACAAUACGACUUAUAUGUGAAUAUAAACAAACAUAAACCAUUAAGUUGUCUUCCAUGUCCAACGUCAACAAUUUUGGCAUAUAAUAUUUUGAUGAGGGCUCACAAUCACAAAAGAUUUCUAGGAUAGUAUAUUUAUAUGUGGAUCUUCUCUUCCCUUAUUAACUCUUUCAUGAGUUGCAUCAUUGACUAAUGCUAUGUUUGUCAAUCUCUAAUAAAAUUUCCUACUUAUACUUUUCCUUAUGUGGUGCCAUCAGCUACCAUAGGAUUAGUAAAUGAUCUUAUUGAUUUAUUUCCUUUCUUUUAUUUAUUUCCUUUCUCUUUUUCUUUUCUUUAUUUCUUUUCUUUAUUUGCAACAUGAAAGUAAAGAAAGCAAAAAAUCAAACUAAACUUUAUUAUAUAACUUGCACACGAUUACAAUGAUAGAUCACUAAGCGACCUCUCAAAGAAGAAAGGAUCAAACUAAACUUUAUUUCAUCGAAAGCAAAAAGAUUGAACUAAGAUAAAUAAAAGAAAAAAGAUAGUGGGAUGAUACGAUACCGGGGCACCUCCCCCAAGCUUGGCGGAAGCCAAGGGGAGUGCCCAUACCCGAUACUCAGUUCUCUUUUGGUGGUGAAGAAGAUGGUGGUGGUGAUGAAGAAGAGGUCUUGUCCUCAGAUUUCCAUGGCAGUGGUCCACCAUCAUAAGAGGAAGAGUGAGUCUCACGGGUCCUGCAACUAGCAGCCAAACUCAUACCUUUAAACCUCGCCUCAUAUUCAAAGACUUGGUUCUGGAGGUCAUAGAUCUGGCUUUGGAAGAAGUUGAUUUCCUCAUUGAGGGUGAAGAUGAUGUCCUUCAUGGGCUGGCCAUCCACCUUGAGAUCACGGGAGAGGUCCGUGAUCAUUAGGUGAUUGGCAUGGAGUCCACGCUCCACCAUCCCCAUGCACCGGAUGACAUCUUGCUCCAUAGCUUCAAGCCUAGCCUCCACGGUUCCCGUCCCCUUGGGAAAGGGCACAUCGCGAAGGUGAAGCCCUCAUGCAUCUCAAUGACCUGAGGGUGCUGCACCACCUCCCGCAGAUAUGGGUUGAUGACGUUCUUGAAGAACUUGUCCUUGGAGGAGCUCGAACCAGCCAUGGUAGAUGGGAUCCGACAGAAAACAGCAAGGGAAAAAGAGAACAGAGGACACAAUAAAGUGGUUAACAGGUUCGGGAAGUAUAUAUAGAUUUUUUUAUCUUGGAGGACAAGUAUACCGAAGAAAAACGGAGUACGAAAGGUGUCCCAGGUGAGCACAACCCACCAGGGCGCGCUAGGCAUGCCUUGCGCACCCUAGUGUCUUGUGCCUACCAGGGGACGCUUCCUUGGAGUUUCUUUAUUUCCAAAAUUCUAAAAUAUUCCAAAACUGAUAAAAAAUAUUUUUGCAGAUUUUUCGGAGUCCGUUUACUUAUCGUAUUUCGUACCUCCUUAUUUUCACGAUUCUGGAGUGUUCCGGAAGGACUCUUUUAUGUGUUCUUCCGGUGUCAAAGUUUGGAUAAUAUUACUUUCAACAUUAAUAGGCGUAGCUAAGAUAUAAUGCUUUAUUCGUUGUCCAUUGACAACCUUUGGGUUAGUACCUUCGGAAUUAUUUAUUUUGAUGGCUCCAGACCAGUAAACCUCCUCGAUGACAUAUGGGCCUUCCCAUUUUGAGAGGUGCUUUCCUGCAAAGAAUCUAAAACGAGAGUUGUACAAAAGAACAUAUUCUCCGACUUUAAACUCACGCUUUUGGAUUCUUUUGUCAUGCCAUCUUUUAACUUUCUCUUUGAAUAAUUUUGCAUUUUCAUAAGCUUGGGUUCUCCGUUCAUCUAAUGAACUAAUAUCAAAUAACCACUUUUCACCAGCAAGCUUGAAAUCAUAGUUGAGCUCUUUAACUGCCCAAUAUGCUUUAUGUUCAAACUCAAGAGGCAAAUGACAAGUUUUUCCAUAAACCAUUUUAUAAGGAGACAUACCCAUAGGAUUUUUAUAUAUUGUUCUAUAAGCCCAAAGUGCAUCAUCUAAUUUCUUAGACCAAUUCUUUCUGGACCUAUUAACAGUCUUUUGCAAAAUUAAUUUUAUUUCUCUAUUGCUAAGUUUAACUUGACCACUAGACCGAGGAUGAUAGGGUGAUGCAAUUCUAUGGUUAACAUCAUACUUGGCAAGCAUUUUACGGAAAGCACCAUGAAUAAAGUGUGAACCACUACCAGUCAUUAAAUAUCUAGGGACUCCAAACCUUGGGAAAAUAACUUCCUUAAGCAUUUUAAUAGAGGUGUUGUGAUCAGCACUACUGGUUGGAAUAGCAUCUACCCAUUUAGUAACAUGAUCAACAGCAACCAAAAUAUGUGUAUACCCAUUAGAGGAAGGAAAAGGUCACAUGUAAUCAAAUCCCCAAACAUCAAAUGGUUCAAGAGCAAGUGAAUAAUUCAUAGGCAUUUCUUGACGCUUACCGAUAUUACCUAUUCUUUGACAUUCAUCACAAGAUGAGACGUACUUAUGGGCAUCCUUGAAGAGAGUAGGCUAACAAAAUCUAGACUGCAAUACCUUAUGAGCAGUUCUAUCUCCAGCAGGAUGCCCUCCAUAAGCCUCGGAGUGACAUUUCCAUAGGAUUUGUCCCUGUUCAUGCUCAGUUACACAACGUCUAAUAAUACCAUCUACUCCUUCUUUAUAAAGAUGUGGGUCAUCCCAAAAGUAAUGUCUUAAAUCAUAGAAGAAUUUUUUCUUUUGUUGGUAUGUAAAGGUACGUGGUAAAUAUUUAGCAACAAUGUAAUUAGCAUAGUCAGCAUACCAAGGACUACUAUUAGCAACAUUUAUUGCAGCUAAUUGUUCAUGAGGAAAACUAUCAUCAAUAGGAAGUGGGUCAUCAAGCACAUUUUCGAGCCUAGACAAGUUAUCAGCUACGGGGUUCUCAGCUCCUUUUCUAUCAAUGAUAUGUAAAUCAAAUUCUUGUAACAAGAGAACCCAAUGAAUAAGUCUAGGUUUAGCAUCUUUCUUUUCCAUAAGAUAUUUAAUAGCAGCAUGGUCUGUGUGAAUAGUUACUUUGGAAUCAACAAUAUAAGGUCUAAAUUAAUCACAAGCAAACAACACUGCUAAGAAUUCUUUUUUAGUAGUAGCAUAAUUUCUUUGAGCACUCUCUAGAGUUUUACUAGCAUAAUGGAUAACAUUUAAUUUCUUAUCAACUCUUUGUCCUAGAACAGCACCAACAACAUAAUCACUAGCAUCACACAUAAUUUGAAAAGGCAAGUUCCAAUCAGGUGGUUGAACAAUAGGUGCAGAAAUUAAGGCUUUCUUGAGUGUUUCAAAGGCUUCUAAACAAUCAUCAUAAAAAACAAAAGGAAUAUCCUUUUGCAAAAGAUUAGUAAGAGGCUUAGAAAUUUUAGAAAAGUCUUUGAUAAUUCUUCUAUAGAAACCAGCAUGACCUAGGAAACUACGAAUACCUUUUAUAUCUUUAGGACAUGGCAUUUUCUCAAUUGCAUCAACCUUAGCUUGGUCCACUUCAAUACCUCUUUGAUAGAUUUUAUGACCCAAGACAAUGCCUUCAUUAACCAUAAAGUGGCACAUCUCCCAAUUCAAGACAAGAUUUGUUUGUUCACAUCUCUGCAAAACUCGAUCAAGAUUGCUUAAACAAUCAUCAAAAGACUUCCCAUAAACAGAGAAGUCAUCAAUGAAAACCUCAACAAUCUUUUCACAAAAGUCUGAGAAUAUAGCAGUCAUACAUCUUUGAAAGGUAGCAGGUGCAUUACAUAAACCAAAAGGCAUAUGUCUAUAAGCAUAGGUUCCAAAAGGACAAGUAAAAGUGGUCUUUUCUUGAUCAGCUUGAGAAACAGGUAUUUGUGAAAAGCCAGAAUAUCCAUCAAGGAAGAAAAAGUGUGUGUGCUUAGAUAAUCUUUCAAGAAUUUGAUCAAUAAAAGGCAAAGGGUAAUGAUCUUUUCUAGUUGCUUUAUUUAAUUUUCUAAAAUCAAUUACCAUUCUAUAGCCUGUAACAAUUCUUUGUGGAAUAAGUUCAUUCUUAUCAUUAGGAACAACAGUAAUACCUCCUUUCUUAGGGACACAAUGAACAGGACUUACCCAUCUACUAUCAGCUAUGGGAUAGAUAAUACCAGCUUCCAGAAAUUUUAGUAUUUCGGUUCUUACCACCUCUUUCAUCUUCGGAUUUAACCGAUGUUGGUGAUCAACAACAGGUUUAGCAUCAGGUUCCAUAUUAAUUUUGUGCUGACAUAGAGUGGGACUAAUGCAGCUCGGUGCUUCCUUAGAACUUUCAAUAAUCUUUCUUCUUCAUGUUCUGAAAGGUUAGCACUGAUAAUAACAUGAUAUAUUUUCUUUUCAUUAAGAUAAGCAUAUUUCAGAGUGUCUAGCAAUUGUUUUAAUUCAAACACAGGAUCACCUUUAGGUGGAGGUGGACCUCCUAGAGUUUCAAUAGGUAAAUUGUGUUUAAGUAGAGGACGUUGUUCAAAGAAAAUCCUAUCUAUUUCAUUUCUUUCAUGCAUAUGUAAAUCAUUUUCAUGGUCUAGCAAAUAUUGUUCUAAAGGAUCAGUAGGUGGAACAACAAUAGAAGCAAGACUAAUUAAUUCAUCUUUACUAGGCAAUUCUUUUUCAUGAAGUUUUCUAUUAAACUUGGAAAAAUUAAACUCAUGAGACUCAUCACCAAAGCUAACACCCACAAUUUGUUUCUUACAAUCUAUCUUAGCAUUAAUUGUGUUCAAGAAAGGUCUACCAAAGAUAAUGGGACAAAAGCCAUCUUGUGGGGAACCAAGAACAAGAAAAUCAAUAAGGUAUUUUAUUUUCCCACACAAGACUUCAACAUCUCUAACAAUCCCAAUUGGUGAUAUAGUGUCCCUAUUAGCAAGUUUAAUAGCAACAUCUAUUUCUUCUAUCUUAGUAGGUGCUAUGUCUUUCAGAAUUUCUUGAUAUAAAGUGUAAGGAAUAACACUCACACUAGCACCCAUGUCACAUAAACCAUGAUAACAGUGAUCUCCUAUUUUAACUGAAAUGACAGGCAUGCCUACAACAGGUCUAUGUUUAUCCCUUUUAUCAGGUUUAGCAAUUCUAGCAGCUUCUUCAUAGAAGUAAAUAACAUGCCCAUCAAUAUCUUCUUCCAAGAGAUCUUUAACCAUAGCAAUGCUAGGUUCUACUUUAAUUUGUUCAUCAGGUUUGGGUGUUCUAAUAUAGCUUUUGUUAACCACAGUUGAAACUUUAGCAGGUCCCUUUAUCCUAACAGGAAAAGGUGGUUUCUCAAUAUAAGCAGAAGGGACAACUGGAUCAACAUUAUAAAUUAUAGUUUCUUAUUUAACAAGUACCGGUUCUUUAAUUUCUUCUUUAAUAGGUGGGUGAUAUUUAAACCAUUUCUCUUUAGGGAGUUAAACAUGAGUAGCAAAUGAUUCAGAAAAAGAGGCUACUAUCUCAGAGUCAAGUCCAUAUUUAGUGCUAAACUUUUGAAAAGCAUCGGUGUCCAUAAAAGAUUUAAGACAAUCAUACUUAAGUUUAAUAACUGACUCUUUACCUUCGCCGAGUUCCCAAUCUUCAGAGUUGCAUUUAAUUCUUUCCAAAAGAUCCCACCGGAAUUCAAUAGUAUUAUUCAUAAAAGAACCAGCACAAGAAGUAUCAAGCAUGGUUUGAUCAUUACGAGAAAGCCGAGCAUAAAAGUUCUGAAUAAUAAUUUCUCUUGAGAGCUCAUGAUUGGGGCAUGAAUAUAACAUUGAUUUAAGCCUCCCCCAAGCUAGAGCGAUACUUUCUCCUUCACGAGGCCAAAAAUUAUAUACAUAAUUCCGAUCACGAUGAACUAGAUGCAUAGGAUAUUUUUUUUGGUGGAACUCCAAUUUCAAACGAUUCCAAUUCCAUGAUCCAAUAUCAUCGUAUAGCCUAUACCAUGCCAAUGCUUUUCCCUUCAAAGAUAAAGAGAAAACCUUUUUCAUCUCCUCAUCUCCGGGUAAACCUGCAAGCUUAAAUAGUCCACAAAUUUGUUACAUAUAUCAAGUGCAUAUCAGGAUGUUCUCUUCCAUCUCCUACAUAAGGAUUAGCUAGCAGUUGUUCUAUCAUACCCGAAGGAAUUUCAUAUUCAAUAUUUUCAGUAGUUGCAGUAGGUUGAGGGGUAAAUAAUUGUGGUUCCGGACAAGGUGAAGAUACCCCGAACAAACCCCUCAAAGGAUUGUUUUCCAUAGUGACAAGUGACAAUAAAUUUCAGCACACUAUAUAAAUGUUUCCUUACCUAAUUCCACUUACCAAAGGCACUUCACUCCCCGGCAAUGGCGCCAGAAAAUAGCCUUGAUGACCCACAAGUAUAGGGGAUCAAUUCUAGCUCUUUUCGAUAAGUAAGAGUGUCGAACCCAAUGAGGAGCAGAAGGAAAUGACAAGUAGUUUUCAGUAAGGUAAUGUCUGCAAGUGCUGAAAUUGUAAGUAGCAGAGUUGUUUGAUAGCAAGAUAAUUUAUAACGAGCAAGUAACGAUAGUAGCAAUAAGUAUGCAGCAAGGUACCCCAAUCCUUUUGAGGCAAAGUACAGGACAAAAUGGUCUCUUAUGAUAAGCAAAGCGUUCUUGAGGGUACACGGGAUUUUCACCUACACUUUCAUCAUGUUGGUUCGAUUUGUGUUCGCUACUUUGAUAAUUUGAUAUGUGGGUGGACCGGUGCUUAGGUGCUAUUCCUACUUGAACAAAACUCCUACUUAUGAUUAACCCUCCCGCAAGCAUUCGCAACUACGAGCAAAGUAUUAAGAAUAAAUUCUAACCAUAGCAUUAAACUUAUGGAUCCAAUCGGUCCCUUACGGAAUAGCGCAUAAACUGGGGUUUAAGCUUCUGUCACUCUCAUAACCCAUAAUCUAGUUGCUACUCCACAAUGCAUUCCCUUAGGACCAUAUAUGGUGAAGUGUCACGUAGUCGACGUUCACAUGACACCACUAAGGGAAUAACAACAUACAUACUAUCAAAAUAUCGAACACAUAUCAAAUUCACAUGAUUACUUGCAACAUGAUUUCUCCCGUGACCUCAAGAACAGAACUAACUACUCACAAAUAAUAAAUAGGUUCAUGAUCAGAGGGGUAUUAAAUAGCAUAAUGGAUAUGAACAUAUAAUCUUCAACCAAAUAAACCAUAUAGUAAUCAACUACAAGAUGUAAUCAACACUACUAGUCACCCACAAGCACCAAUCUAUGGUUCCGGUAAGAAGAUUGAACACAAGAGAUGAACUAGGGUUUGAGAUGAGAUGAUAUUGUUGAACAUGUUGAUGGAGAUUGCCCUCCCCAAGAUGGGAGAGUUGUUGGUGAUGAUGAUGACGAUGAUUUCCCCCUCCUGGAGGGAAGUUCCCCCGGCGGAAUCGAUCCGCCGAAGGGAAAAAGUGCUCCUGCCCAAGUUCCGCCUCGAGACGGCGGCGCUCUAUCCCGAAAACCUUCUCCUUAAUUUUUCUAGGUAAAAAUGACUUAUAUACCAUAAGAUGGGCACCGGAGGUGGGCCGAGGAGGGCACAACCCACUAGGGCGCGCCUGGGCUCCCUGGCGCGCCGAGGAGGGCACAACCCACCAGGGCGUGCCUGGGCUCCCUGGCGCGCCCAGGUGGAUUGUGCCCACCUGGUGGGCCCCCUCUGGUAGUUAUUUGCUCCAAUAAUUCUUAAAUAUUCCAUAAAAAAUCUUCGUGAAGUUUCUUCUUGUUUGGAGUUGUGCAGAAUAGGUAGCCUGACGUAGCUUUUUCAGGUCCAGAUUUCCAGUUGCCGGAAAUCUCCCUCUUAGUGUGUACCUUGAAAAUUAUGAGAGAAAAGCAUUAGAAUUACUCCAAAAAGCAUUAUUAUGGAUAAAAACAUUAUAAAUAACAGCAAGAAAACAUGAUGCAAACUGGACUUAUCAAUGUACAGUUUCAGAUUUGAUAUCUAGCAUAUCAAAUUCAAUGGUAAGCUCAUUCUGUUUUUUCUAAUGCUAGCUUCUAUGUUUUUACUCCACCCUCUAGAAAAUCUUCUAAACCUUCUCACCUUCUCUUGCCACACAUCUAUAGGUUUAGUCAUCUUAACUGGAGCAGCCCAAUGUCUGGCAGCAAGCUCCUUAAAGUCUUGGUGUAAAAGCCACCAUUUUUCAAACUUAUAGCUAGAUGCCCUAGGGGUGCUCCCAGAGCAGAGGAGUGUGGUCACUACCUGUUCUAGGAAGAACUUGGGAUGUGCUCAAAGAAAAAAUGGCAUCUAGUUCUGUGGUACAAAAGAUCCUAUCAAUUAUAGACAUGAUAGGAUCCCCUUGGUUAUUAGCCCAAGUGAAUUUCCUUCCUAAUAUCUUAAUCUCUAAUAAACUCCAAAUCUCCACCAAGCAUUAAAAUUGUCAGCCCAAUGGUGAUUAAUAUUACCACUGCUUUUAUCUUGCUGGUAUCUAACUAGAUUAAAGUCUCCCCCUAUUAGAGUUGGAAGCUGAUCAUCCACAAAUAAGCUAUGCAACUCUGAGAUGAAAUCAUCUUUUCCUUCUUCAUAUGGAGAACCAUAAACAACCACUAUUAUAAAGCAAACACCACUAGAUUUAACUCUAAGAUUACAUGACACCGAAAAUUUGAGGGAGCUCCAUUGCAGGAUAUCAAACAUGUCUAUAUCUACUCCAACCAAUACACCUCUUGCUGACCCGACUGCGGGGAGGUGAUGCCAUUGGAAGUUUUUACUACCACUAAUAGACUUCAAGAAAGAAGCUGAAAGUUCUUAUUUCUUAGUUUCUUGGAAGGCAACUAUACUAGCAUUGGUUUUAUUGAGGGUGUCCACUGUACAUAAUUUUUUUUUUCAUGUGUAGUGAUCCCUCUUAUAUUCCAGAAAAGACAAUUCAACUAAACAAGACUUUCCUGGGGUGCUUGCCCCGCCCAUGUUUAGAGAUCUUGGUCCAGAUUUCACUUUGAUCCUCUACACUAGAAAAGACCCUUUUAACCCUUCAAGUGUACUAGGAGACUAUUACAUUAUCUGGACACUUUGACCCUACAGGUCUGUCCAGACCCUGAUCUUUAAUCACAUCACUUCUUUUGCUAGUGUUGUUCACCAUUUCAUUUUCUCCUUGUCUGAGCCCUUCAGGCUCUUGAGGAGGAUGAUUUUUGGUUACUAUGCUAGCAUAGGAAGUUUUUUUGCUUAGCAACCUCUAUACCUACUUUCUUAGCUACAGAAAUGAAUACUGGAUCAUAAAAGUUAUCAAAAGGAUUAGUUUUGAUAGUACCUUUGAAAUUUCCUCUAGGUUCUUCAAGGUUUUGCCCUGUUUUGGAUCCCAUGGCUAUUUCCAGCAUAGUCCUAUCACCAAUGUCCACCCUGGUGCUUCUCCUUUGUGCCUGAACAGGCCCCCGUUUCUGAUGGAGAGGAGCCUGUUUUGUGGCUUAUGUGAGACUUGGGUUGAAUACUACCUCAUCUUGAUCAUCACUCCCCUGCAUCUCACUAGUUUGAUCAUCAAGCAUAAUGUCGUUGUCUUCCUCUUCAUCUUCCCCAUUAUCCAUAUCUUGUAGUAGCUUGAAACUUUCAUCCAAGGAGAUAGGAUCUUGCAGCUGGUGGAGAUAGCUCAACACAUUCCGCCUGACUUGCUGUGAAGCAUCUGAAUUGGCACUGCUUCCUCUGUUUAGAUUGGAGGGGUUUUUAGGGACUGAAUUGGAGCCUCCAGCUCCAGCCCCAUUGCUAAUGUUGUCCUGAACUGCCUUUGGCCUACUGUUAUCAUUAUCUUCAUCUAGUAGGUCUUCAUCCUCUCCUUCCUCUACUAGAGGGUCCACUACAAUCUUGAUCUUGUACAGCUUAUCUCCUAUCCCAAAGAUUCUCUUAGAUGAAAUUUUGGUGAAGUCUUUGCAUCUGAUCUUGAUAUUCACCACUUCAAAGAAGGAUUUGAAAUUCCCUUGCCAAUGUACAUCAACCAAAGUGCCUAGGACUGAUGCAAACUGUUCUAGCACUGAUUACUCUGCCCAGUUGGGUGCAACUCCUCUUAACUGGAGCCACACUAUUUGUAAUUCUACAUGGUGUUCCAUCUCACCUUUCCACCCUUCCACAUUUACUAACACCCCUUCAAUCUCAGGCAGACCAAAGUUAGGAUAUCCAACAACUGUGGCAACUGGGAUAUGUGGUGGAAAUUUAACUAGAAAGGUCCAACUGUCAAGCAUCCUGAUAUGCCAUGGCCAGUUGGUCUUAUAGAUUGCAGAGAAGUUAUGAGCUAAUUCCUCCUUUGUGACUUGGCCAGCUUCCGCAUAGACUAUACCAACAUUCUUCAUGUUCCCCACAUGCUGCCCAUUCACAUUAGGCACAUCAACCUUGAAGAACCCCAGGCCUGAAGCUGCACUCCCAACAUAUAUGGCAUUGUUCCUUGGCUUCUUCCUAACUAGGCAUUCCUCAACCUUGUGUGUCACCAUUUUGCAAAUAAAGCAAGAAGGAGGAUUGGGACACUGAGCUUUGUGAUGCUCAGGUUCCCCACAGGUGUAACAGGUAACAUCACUAUAGUCAGUAUCUGAAGAAUCUUUGGCUUUACCAGUUGCCUCGCCUUUGUUCUGUAGCUUGUUCAUCUUCUGCUGCUGAGGAUAGGUGCUGAUCCCUUUGUUGGCUUCACCACUUUUUUGUCAUGUGAUCUGUUGCCCUUGUUGACCCUGGUUCUGCAUCUGGUCCUGUCCCGGGGUCGGCCGCUCGCCUGAGCGGGGAGUCGAGAUCUAAUCCCUCUUGCUAAAGACCUCCCGCCUCCAUGCCACCGAAACGCCGAAUCAUGGCCGCGGGGGUUGCAGGGACCAGAACGCUCGCCAUUUGGCCCUGCUCGCCGGCGAGGGCGAGCUCGCCUCCGCUUGCGCACAAGCUAUUACCUCCUCUGGUUCCAACGAUGCCGCUACCAUCGUUCUUCUCAUAUCCUCCUCUGUUGCUUCCACACAGAUCCUUGUAACCAGCUUGACCACCGUGUCGCCGCGGGACGGCCUCCUCAUCGUCCUCCGCAGGCGCGCCCGAUGCAUCUCCUCCGCCAUCUCUGCCCCAUCGUAUCUCACUCUCCUCCCUUCCUCGCCCAUGAUGGCUGACGGGGAGGAUGGGAGGGGUCAGAACCGUGUGCUGGGCGGCUGCGGGGAGGGUGGGGAGGUUGGAGGAGGGGCAGGGCAAGGCGGUCGUCGGCGAGAUCCGCCGGAUCUGGUGGCUACGGUGGUAGGUGGAGGGAGCGAGACACGACGCUUGAUCGAGAGCGAGAGCGCUCAUUUCAAAAGUUUUCCAUAAUCAUUUCACUUGGUUGUGGCAAGUCUUUUGCCUCGUUUCACAAAAAAUGAGAAGCCAGAUGCACAUAGGGAAAACAUAGAUGGAGACUCAUCUGAUAUUUGGCAAUGAUUUCUUAGUUCUUUCAUUUGAUUAUGUAUGGUACAAGGUGAAAGCAGCUCCAGCCGAAUUACAAGCAACUACACUACACAAACAGACUGGUAAAGGUAAAACCAUCUACCAGAAAAAGCUUCCUGGAGCUGCUGCUUCUUCUCCCUGCCGUACAAAACAUGCAGGCUCUAUGUCAAAAUCCACAGCCGCCUAUUCCUCUCACACGCACUCUAUGCUCUAGGUGCCUUUCAGUUACGGCUGAUCAGAAGACGAUUGACCAAAACCCAACAGAACAAGAAGAGGAAAAAAAGACAGAGCCACUGAGUAAAACAGAGGCGGUAGUGUUUAGGGAGAGGGAGGGAUUGAUGGGAUGAACUGCCAUGCUAGCUCUAGCUAAUCCUAACGACUAGCUAGUACCUGACGAGGGUGGUAGUAGUGGUAAUCCAUGGCGGCGUUGUCCCUAUGAUCAGCAGCCUCGUGGCGGCGCGGCGUGUAGGCGCCGUUGCCGGUGUCGUCGCCGACCUUGUUGUGCCACGCGGAGUGCCUCCGCGGUGUCUCGCUGCCAGCCUUGUCUUACAAUUAGGCGGCGUGGUCGGCUUUCAGCGUGCUGUCGUGGUGCCCGGACUCGUGGACGGCGAGGGCGGGCGGCUCGUGGUAGACCGGCGCUGUCACCGAUGCUGACCAGUAGCCGUUUCCUCUACUGCGGCCGUAGUCGUCCCGUCUGCGGCCGCUGAAGCACGAGCCGAACUCCAGGCUCAUUCCUGGUGGCCCUCGUGUGCGUGUGCUGGGCUACUGGUAGUGGCAAGCAACACUAUCCUGGAAGUAGCUGCUGGGAAUGGGUAUUGAUCAGUGGUGGUGUUGAUGGCCCUGAAACUGACAGUGUUGGUGUGGUGGGUGAUAUAUAUUCCGGUUGGAGAGAUUAGAGCUCGUGUUGGACGCGACGUGUGCGUUCGAAGCCAAGCAAAGCUCCGUAGGAUGGGUGGGCUGGGUCUAGGUCCCGAUCGACCAGGCUCGUCGUCAACACAUCUCCCUGCCCUCGGAUGUGGCUGUUUAGGUCCCAGUCGAUCAUUCUCGUCCAACUCGCUCUCCGGACUCCGGUCUCCAGGGCCAGUCAACCGUGUGAAACAUGGAUGGAUGGAUGGAGGGAGGGCGGUGCAGCGGGACAGCAGAAUAUAUUUUUGGGGACGGCUGUGGAUGUGAUUAUGGAGGGCGGGCUCUCGUGAGGAUGUGUUUCAGUUUCAAGCUUUCAACACGGCGCACCUGGCGCGGGCAACACCGACGUUGGACUCUUCGUUCACUGGUUUUCGCUGAAUCUGUCACGCGCUGGAUUCUUUUACCCGUUCAUAAUUGACAAUUUUUUUUGCAGGGUUAUAAUUGACAAUUUUGCCUGAAAGUCCAAUUAAACAUUUUCUGCAAUCUCUUGUCAAAUUGGAGAGCUCUGUUGGUUGUGAUAGCUCUAAAAUUAAGGACCAAAGUGUAUAUAUAGAUAGACAGUGAUAUCUUCCUAAUGUUCUCAAUUUAAGCAACAUAUCUGAACACAACCUAGCCUAACUAAUCACGUGCAUGCAGCCCGCUUUGUAAGCAAAAAGCGAGAGAAGAGCAUGCAUGGCCUUGCCAUAUGCAUGCAAAUUAAUAUAAAAAUGUGAUGAUGUCAGUAAAAGAUUCUCUUUUAUUUUGAAACUUUAAAAUGUUCUGUCGCGGUCCGAUUGAAAAACCACUUUGACAUAAAAAAAAUCGCCGCGACGAGACCUUCCAAGCUAGAUCCCAUAUUGUUAUGUUUCGACAAAUUUUUUUCGGGCCAAAAAAUACCAGACCUAGUACAAGUAAGUUACCACGCAUGCAGAGUGUAUAUUACCAUGCUUUUUGCAGAGAAGUCACCGAGGUUAUUUUUAAUCAAUUCCUUUUCCAGGUCUAAAGUUUACUAAUGGUACCCCCAUCAACAUUGUUGUGGUGUCUAUGCCUAAGUAAUCAUGUAUGUGGUGUGUCUGUUGCCAUCAUAUAAUACAGAAGUUAUUGGGUGUUAUGUAUUCAACAACCUUUUUGCCCAGGCAAAUAGUUACCAUAGUAUUGUACCUAAGUUAUCAGGUAUGCGGUACAUAUAUUACCAUGAUAUUUAACACAAACCUUACCGGCGGUAUGUUUUCCAACUACCCCCCCCCCCCAAACCAAAGUUACCGCGGUGUUUGUACCUGAGUNNNNNNNNNNNNNNNNNNNNNNNNNNNNNNNNNNNNNNNNNNNNNNNNNNNNNNNNNNNNNNNNNNNNNNNNNNNNNNNNNNNNNNNNNNNNNNNNNNNNNNNNNNNNNNNNNNNNNNNNNNNNNNNNNNNNNNNNNNNNNNNNNNNNNNNNNNNNNNNNNNNNNNNNNNNNNNNNNNNNNNNNNNNNNNNNNNNNNNNNNNNNNNNNNNNNNNNNNNNNNNNNNNNNNNNNNNNNNNNNNNNNNNNNNNNNNNNNNNNNNNNNNNNNNNNNNNNNNNNNNNNNNNNNNNNNNNNNNNNNNNNNNNNNNNNNNNNNNAGUUAUGAGCGGUAUGUUUUCCAACAACUCCCCCACAUCAAAGUUACUGCCGUGUUUGUACCUAAGUUAUCAGGUUUGCGGUGUGUCUAUUACCAUCAUAUUUAUAAAGCUAUCAAGGGUGUGUAUAAGACAUUUUUUUGCCCAGGUCAAAAGUUACCGCAGUGUUUGUACCUAAGUGAUCGGAUCUGUGGUAUGCAUAUUACCGUGCUAUCUAACACGAAAGUUGACCGUGGCAUGUUUCCAACAACACCCCCAUCAAAGUUACUGAAGUGUUUGUACCUAAGUUAUCAGGUUUGCGGUGUGUCUAUUACCAUCAUAUUUAUAAAGUUAUCAAGGGUGUGUAUAAGACAUUUUUUUGCCCAGGUCAAAAGUUACCGCAGUGUUUGUACCUAAGUUAUCGGAUCUGUGGUAUGCAUAUUACCGUGCUAUCUAACACGAAAGUUGACUGUGGUAUGUUUCCAACAACACCCCCAUCAAAGUUACUGAAGUGUUUGUACCUAAAUUAUCAGGUUUGUAGUGUGUCUAUUACCAUCAUAUUUAUAAAGAAAUUAUUGGGGUGUGUAUUCCACAUUUUUUUUGCCCAGGUAAAAAGCUACCACAACGUUUGUAUCUAAGUUAUCGGGUUCGGGUUACGUAUAUUACCGUGCUAUUUAACACGAAAGUUAUCCCAGGGUAUGUUUUCCAACAACUUUCCCAUCAAAGUUAUCAUGGUGUUUGUACCUAAGUUAUCAGGUCUGCGGUAUUUCUGUUACCAUCAUUAUAAACAAGUUAUCGGGGGUGUGUAUUCGACAGCUUUUUUGCCCAAGUAAGAAGGUACCCGCAGUGUUUGUACAUAAGUUAUCAGGUAUGAGGUACAUAUAUUACCGUGUUAUUUAAUAUGAAAAUUACAGGCGGUAUGUUUUCCAACAACUUCCCACAUCAAAGUUUUCUCGGGUAUUUUGUACCUAAGUUAUCACGUUUACGGCGUGUUUCUUACCAUCAUAUUUCUGCAACAAUUAUCGGGGGUGUGUAUUGAGCUGCUUUUUUGCCGUCGGCAAAAAAGUUACCGUAGUGUUGGUAUAUAAGUUAUCAGGUCUGUGGUGUUUCUAUUACCAUCAUAUUUAUACAGGAGUUAUCGGGGGUGUGUCGAACACUUUUUUUGCCCAGCUAAAAAGUUACCACAGUGUAUGUACAUAAGUUAUUGUUGGAAAUAUGCCCUAGAGGCAAUAAUAAAGUGGUUAUUAUUAUAUUUCCAUGUUCAUGAUAAUCGUUUAUUAUCCAUGCUAUAAUUGUAUUGACUGGAAACUCAAAUACAUGUGUGGAUACAUAGAGAACAACAUGUCCCUAGUAAGCCUCUACCGGACUAGCUCGUUGAUCAAAGAUGGCUAUUGUUCCCUAGCCAUAUACAUGGGUUGUCAUUUAGUAACGGGAUCACAUCAUUAGAAGAAUGAUGUGAUGGACAAGACCCAAACUAUAAACGUAGCAGAUGGUCGUGUCAAGUUUAUUGCUAUCAUUUUCUGCAUGUCAAGUAUAUGUUCCUAUGACCAUGAGAUCAUGAAACUCACUAACACCAGAGGAAUACCUUGUGUGUACCAAACGUCACAAUGUAACUGGGUGUCUAUAAUGGUGCUCUUUAGGUAUCUCCGAGGGUGUCGGUUGACUUGGCAUGGAUGAAGACUGGGAUUUGUUACUCCGUAUGACGGAGAGGUAUCUCAGGCCCACUCGGUAUUACAACGUCAUAGUAAGCUUGCAAGCAAUGUCACUAAUGAGUUAGCCACGGGAUCUUGUAUUAUGGAAUGAGUAAAGAGACUUGCCGGUAAUGAGAUUGAACUAGGUAUAGGCGUACGGACGAUCGAAUCUCGGGCAAGUAACAUACCGAUGGACGAAGGGAACUAUAUACGGGAAUAGCUGAAUCCUUGACAUCGAGGUUCGACCGAUAAAGAUCUUCGUAGAAUAUGUAGGAACCAGUAUGGACAUCCAGGUCCCGCUAUAGUUUAUUGAUCGUAGAGCUGUCUCGGUCAUGUCUACAUGAUUCUCGAACCCGUAGGGUCGAACGCUCAACGCUCGGUAGCGCUAGGGUAGUAUUGAGAUAUUAAUAGUGGAAAGUCCGAAGGUUGUUCGGAGUCCCGGAUGGGAUCCGGGACAUGACGAGGAGCUCUGGAAUGGUCCAGAGGUAAAGAUUUAUAUAUGAGAAGUCAUAUUUUGGGCUCCGGAAAAAGUUUGGUUUUUUCGGUAUUGUACUGGGAAGGUUCUAGAAGGUUCCGGGGGUUCCACCGUGGGGCCCAAUGACCUAGGAAGGGCCCACAUGGACCGAGGGGUGGGGCUACAGCCCACUUAGGCUGGCCGCCCCAUUCCCCAAGGCACAUGUUGUUUAAGUAUAGAGAUAAGGUCUUAUCUCUAAAUUUAAAGGGUUGAAUCAAGAGAAAAGAUGUUAUCUCCAAGUUUAAAGGGAUUUCAACCUUGUGGCCGGCCCUAGAUGGGCUUUGGACGCCCUCCCUUGCCCCCUAGCCUAUAUAUAGAUGGGGGAGGUGCAUGGGGGCAGCCAACCCUUCACCUUUGCCCAUUGCCUCUCCCAACUCCUCUCACGUUUCACCGGUACGUGCUUGGCGAAGCCCUGCCGGAGUUCCGUUGCCACCACCACCAUCACACCAUCGUUUGGUUCAGAUCUCAUCUACCUCCUCUCUCUCGCUUGCUGGAUCAAGAAGGAGAGGACGCAGCCGAGCCGCACGUGUGCUAACGGAGGUGCCGUUCAUUCGACACUUGAUCGGGAGUUCGUGGACGGAUCGUAGUUGUUCAUCUCCUCGAUCGAUCUUGGUGAGCGUAGGAAUUUUUUUGUUUCCCAUGCAACGUUCCCCAACAGUGGUAUUAGAGUUAGGUUUAUGCGUAGAUGACAUCAUGAGUAGAACACAAAGGAGUUUGUGGGCGUUGAUAUUCAGAUUGCUUCCUUCCUUGGUCUUUUCUUGAUUCGGUAGUAUUGUGGGAUGAAGCGGCCCGGACCAACUUUACAUGUCCACGUACAUGAGACCGGUUCCAUCGACAGACAUGUGACUUUGUUGCAUAAGAUGGCUGCUGGGUGUCUGUCUCUCCCACCUUAGUUGAAUCGGAUUCGACAAAGGCGGUCCUUGUAGAAGGUUAAAUAGCAACUUGCAUAUCACCGUGGUGGCUUUGCGUAGGUUAGAUUCGUUCUUGCUAGAUACCCAUAGCAGCCACGUAAAACAUGGAACCACAAUUAGAGGACGUCUAACUUAUUUUUGCAGGGUAUGUUGUGAUAUGAUGUGGCCAAACACAUGAUGAAAUAUAUUUGAUGUAUGAGAUGAUCAUGUUUGUAUGAUACGGACAAACACAUGUAUGUCGAUGCAUACGGCAACCAGCAGGAGCCAUAGGGUUGUCUUUAAUUAUUGUAUGACCUGCAUGUCAAUCAUUAAGCGCUAUGUAAUGCUUUACUUUAUCGCUAAGCGAUAGCAAUAAUGGUAGAAGCAUGGUUGGCGUGACAACCCCGAUGGCGACACGAUGAUGGAGAUCAUGAUGAUGGAGAUCAUGUGUCAUGCCGGUGACGAUGGAGAUCAUGCGGGUGCUUUGGAGAUGAAGAUCAAAAGCACGAGUUGAUGGCCAUAUCAUGUCACUUAUGAUUUGCAUGUGAUGUUAAUCCUUUUAUGAAUCUUAUUUUGCUUAGGACGACGGUAGCAUUAUAAGGUGACCCCUCACUAAAAUUUCAAGAUAAAAUUGUGUUCUUCCCAAGUGUGCAUCGUUGCGAAAGUUCGUUGUUUUGAAGCACCACAUGAUGAUCGGGUGUGAUAGACUCUACGUUCGCAUACAAUGGGUGCAAGCCAGUUUUGCACAUGCGGAUCACCUGGGUUAAACUUGACGAUCCUAGCAUGUACAGACAUGGCGUCAGAACACAAGAGACCGAAAGGUCGAACACGAGUCAUAUAGUAGAUAUGAUCAACAUGGAGAUGUUCACCAUUGAAACCACCUCAUCUCACAUGAUGAUCGGACUUGGGUUGGUGAAUUUGGAUCGUGUUACACUCAGACGACUGGAGGGAUGUCGAUUUGAGUGGGAGUUCUUAGGUAAUAUGAUUAAUUGAACUCAUUUAUCAUAAACAAUAGUCUAAGUUAUCUUUACUAAUUUAUGUUGUAGAUCAAUGGCUCGUGCAGGAGCUCCCCUGAAUUUCAAUGCGUUCCUAGAGAAAUCUAAGCUGAAAGAUGAUGGAAGUAACUUUGUGGACUGGGCCCGUAAUCUGAGGAUUAUCCUCACGGCUGGCCAAAAGGCUUAUGUCCUUGAUUAACCGUUUGGUGCGCCACCCCCUCCAGCGACUGUGGAUGCUGUGAACGCCUGGUAGUCGCGUGUUGAUGACUACUCAAUAGUUCAAUGUGUCAUGUUGUAUGGCUUAGAGCCAGGACUUCAGAUGCGUUUUGAACGUCAUGGAGCAUAUGAGAUGUUCCAGGAGUUGAAGUUUAUCUUUGAGAAGAAUGCCCAGAUCGAGAUGUAUGAGACCUCCGAUAAGUUCUAUGCCUGCAAGAUGGAGGAGAAUGGGUCUGUCAGUGAGCAUAUACUCAGAAUGCCUGGGUACUACAGCCGUCUGGCUAAGUUGGGAUUUGAGCUCCCGCCAGAGGCUGUCACUGAGUUGGGAGUUCUUCAAUCGUUACCACCUAGCUACAAGAGCUUUGUGUUGAACUAUAACAUGCAAGGGAUGAACAAGUCAGUCUCCGAGCUGUUUGUGACGCUGAAAGUCGCUGAGUUAGACAUCCAGAAGGAGCAUCAAGUGUUGAUGGUGAAUAAAACCACUAGUUUCAAGAAAGGCAAGGUAAAGAAGGGAAACUUCAAGAAAGGUGGCAAAGAACUUGCUCCUCCAGUGAAGAAACCCAAGGCUGGACCCAAGCCAGAGACUGAGUGCUUCUAUUGCAAGGGAACUGGCCACUGGAAGCGGAACUGCCCCAAGUAUCUGGCCGACAAGAAGGGCGCCAACGUCAACAAAGGUAUAUAUGAUAUACAUGUUAUUGACGUGUACCUUACCAACUCUCGUUGUAGUGCAUGGUUAUUUGAUACCGGUUCGGUUGCUCACAUUUGCAACUCAAAGCAGGAACUACGGAAUAGACGGAGGCUGGCGAAGGAUGAAGUGACGAUGCGCAUGGCAAAUGGUUCCAAGGUUGAUGUGAUUGCCGUCGGCACUCUCGCUCUUUGAUUACCAUCGGGAUUAGUGAUGAACUUGAAUAAUUGUUAUUUAGUGCCUGCAUUGAGCAUGAACAUUAUAUCUAGAUCUUGUUUAAUGCGAGAUGGUUACUCAUUUAAAUCAGAGAAUAAUGGUUGUUCUAUUUAUACGGGUAAUACUUUUAUGUUCAUGCACCCAUUGUGAGGGGUUUAUUCUUGUUGAAUCUCGAUAGUGAUGAUACACAUGUUCAUAACAUUGAUGCAAAAAGAUGUAGAGUUGAUAAUGAUAAUACCACUUUCUUGUGGCAUUGCCGCUUAGGUCAUAUUGGUGUUAAGUGGAUGAAGAAACUCCAUGCUGGUGGGCUUUUGGAGUCACUUGAAACAUGCGAACCAUGCCUUAUGGGCAAGAUGACCAAAACCCCGUUUUCUGGAACAAUGGAACGGGCAAGUGACUUGUUCGAAAUCAUACAUACUGAUGUGUGCGGUCCGAUGAGUGUUGACGCGCGCGGUGGAUAUCGUUAUUUUCUCACCUUCACCGAUGACUUGAGUAGAUAUGGGUAUGUUUACUUAUUGAAGCAUAAGUCUGAAACGUUUGAAAAGUUCAAGCAAUUUCAGAGUGAAGUUGAGAAUCAUCGUAACAAUAAGAUUAAAUUCCUACUAUCUGAUCGAGGGUAGAAUAUCUGAGUUAUGAGUUUGGCGAUCACUUAAGACAAUGUGGAAUUGUUUCACAGUUGAUGCCACCUGGAACACCAUAGCAUAAUGGUGUGUCCGAAUGUUGUAAUCGUGCCCUAUUGGAUAUGGUGCGUUCUAUGAUGUCUCUUGCCGAUCUGCCACUAUCAUUUUGGGGUUAUGCGUUAGAGACAACUGCAUUCACUUUAAAUAGGGCACCAUCUAAGUCCGUACAGAUGACACCUUAUGAACUGUGGUUUGGCAAGAAACCUAAGUUGUCGUUCCUUAAGGUUUGGGGCUGAGAUGCUUAUGUCAAAAGGCUUCAGCCGGAAAAGCUCGAACCCAAAGCGGACAAAUGCGUCUUCACAGGAUACCCAAAGGAGACGAUUGGGUAUACUUUCUAUCUCAGAUCCGAGGGCAAAGUGUUUGUCGCUAAGAACGGGUCCUUUCUCGAGAAAGAGUUUCUCUCGAAAGAAUUGAGUGGGAGGAAGAUAGAACUUGAUGAGGUUGUUCAACCUUUACUUCAACCAGUGAGUAGUGCAGUGCAGAAAGAUGUUUCUGUCACACUUACGUUAGUUGAAGAGGAAACUAAUGAUGGUGAUCAUGAAGUUUUCGAUCAAGUUACUAUCGAAUCUCAUAGGUCGACAAGGAUACGUACUACUCCCGAGUGGUACUGUCACCCUGUCUUGGAGGUCAUGUUGUUGGACAGCAACAACAAUGAACCUACGAGCUAUGGAGAAGCGAUGGUGAGCCUGGAUUCCGACAAAUGGUUAGAGGCCAUGAAAUCCGAGAUGGGAUCCAUGUAUCCAAAACAAAGUAUGGACUUUGGAAGUAUUACCUGAAGGGCGAAAGGCCAUUCAGAAUAAAUGGAUCUUCAAGAAGAACACGGAUGCAGAGGUAAUAUCACCGUCUAUAAAGCUCGACUUGUGGCAAAGGGGUUUUCACAAGUUCAAGGAUUUGACUACGAUGAGACUUUCUCACCCGUAGUGAUGCUUAAGUCCGUCAGAAUCAUGUUGGCAAUUGCUGCAUUUUUUCGAUUAUGAAAUCUAGAAGAUGGAUGUCAAAACAAUGUUUCUUAAUGGUUUCCUUAAUGAAGAGUUGUAUAUGAUGCAACCGGAAGGUUUUGUCAAUCCAGAGAAUGCUGACAAAGUGUGCAAGCUCCAGUGAUCCAUUUAUGGGCUGGUGCAAGCAUCUCGCAGUUGGAAUAUUCGCUUUGAUGAGAUGAUCAAAGCGUUUGGAUUUAUACAAGUUUAUUGAGAAGCUUGUAUUUACAAGAAAGUGAGUGGGAGCUCUAUAGUGUUUCUAGUAUUAUAUAUGGAUGACAUAUUACUGAUUGGAAACAAUAUAGAGCUUUUGGAAAAUGUGAAGGAAUAUUUUAACAAGAGUUUUUCAAUGAAGGACCUGGAGAAGCUGCUUUCAUAUUAGGCAUCAAGAUCUAUAGAGAUAGAUCAAGAUGCUUGAUAGGAAUUUCACACAGCAAAUGCCUUGAUAAGAUUUUGAAGAAGUUCAAAAUGGAUCAGUCCAAGAAGGGGUUCUUGCCUGUUUUGCAAGGUGUGAAGUUGAGUAAGACUCAAUGCCCAACGACUGCAGAGGAUAGCGAAAAGAUGACAGUGGUCCCCUAUGCUUCUCCCAUAGGCUCUAUCAUGUAUGCGAUGUUGUGCACAAGACCAGAUGUCUGCCUUGCCAUAAGUAUUGAUGGAAGGUUUUAAAGUGAUCCAGGAGUGGAACACUGGACAGCGGUCAAGAAUAUCCUUAAGUACCUAAAAAGGACUAAGGAAAUGUUUCUCGUUUAUGGAGGUGAUCAAGAGCUCGUCGUAAAGGGUUAUGUCGAUGCAAGCUUUGACACUGACCCGGAUGACUCUAAGUGUCAAACCGGAUACAUACAUGUUCUGAACGGGGGAGCGGUAAGCUGGUGCAGUUCCAAGCACAGCGUGGUAGCUGAUUCUACAUGCAAAGCAGAGUACAUAGUUGCCUCGGAGGUGGCGAAGGAAGGUGUCUGGAUCAAGCAGUUCAUGAAAGAUCUUGGAGAUGUGCCCAGUGCACUGGACCCAAUGACUCUGUUCUAUGAAAACACUGGUGCCAUUGCUCUAGCCAAGGAACCGAGGUUUCACAAGAGGACCAAACACCUAAAGCGACGCUUCAAUUCCAUCCGCGAUUACGCUCCUAGAUCGAUCUUGGUGAGUGUAAGAAUUUUUUUGAUUCCCAUGCAACGUUCCCAACAGUUAUCAGGUCCGUUGUAUGUAUAUUAUCAUGUUAUUUUACACCAAAGUUACCGGUGACAUGGUGUCAAUAGGAAGUAAAUUUGGCAAAUUAAAAUGGACCUCCCCUAUUUUCUUAGGUAAAACAAUGUAGAAAAAGGAACGACAACAGAUCUCUGUCUACGAGAGCAUGUCUUAACUUAAAGCUAUAAAAACAUUCUAAUAUGUAUCUAAUCCCAACAUACACUCUGUUUCGAUGGUUAUUCGUUAGAUUGCUCACUCACUAGGUUCCAAGUUCAACUCCCCAAGUUGCUUUUUUUACCGACAUAAAAAAGGAGACAACCAAAAAGGAGACGUGCGGGGAUCGAGAAACCUGGAUCGGGAUCGUUCGGAUAUGAAACGAAAAACGUUCGGACAUUACAAAUUUCGUUUUAGAUAGAUUCACAUAUAUAUUAGGCUUAAAUCAAUGAUGUUGUUGGCGGAGGGGGAGGAAGGAGCCCCCAUGCUGGUCCCCGAUCCUUGUUAGUGUUGCCGUUGUAUCAGAAAGCAACCUUAAAAAUGCUUAAUAUUUCGUCUCUAGACUUGAAGACAUACAAAACCCAAACAUGCGAAGGUGAAACACAUACAUAGUUUGAAAAAAGUACACAGACAUGAAAACACUUAACACUUAAAGCGGCAUCCUAUGACAGCUUACACCACCUCAUGUGACUUCACUUGAGUGAGUUCAACUCCCCAAGUUGCUUUUUUUACCGACAUAAAAAAGGAGACAACCAAAAAGGAGACGUGCGGGGAUCGAGCGACCUGGAUCGGGAUCGUUCGGAUAUGAAACAAAAAACAAAACAUUUGGAAAUUACAAAUUUCGUUUAUAGAUAGAUUCACAUAUAUGUUAGGCUUAAAUCAAUGAUGUUGCUGGCGAGAGGGGGAGGAGGGAGCCCCCAUGCUGGUCCCCGGUCCUUGUUAGUGUUGUCGUUGUAUCAGAAAGCAACCUUAAAAAUGCUUAAUAUCUCGUUGAGGGAGUCCUGGACUAAGGGGUCCUCGGGCGUCCGGCCUAUUGGACUUGGGCCGGACUGAUGGGCUAUGAAGAUACAAGACCGAAGACUCUCACCCGUGUCCGCAUAGGACUCUCCUUGGCGUGGAAGGCAAGUUGGGCGUCCAAAUAUGAAGAUUCCUUUCUGUGUAACCGACUUUGUACAACCCUAGUCCCCUCCGGUGUCUAUAUAAACCGGAGGGUUUAGUCCGUAGAAACAAUCACAAUCAUAAUCAUACAGGCUAGACUUCUAGGGUUUAGCCAUUACGAUCUCAUGGUAGAUCAACUCUUGUAACACUUAUAUUCAUCAAGAUCAAUCAAGCAGGAAGUAGGGUAUUACCUCCAUAGAGAGGGCCCGAACCUGGGUAAACAUCGCGUCCCCUGCCUCCUCUUACCAUCGCCCUUAGACGCACAGUUCGGGACCCCCUACCCAAGAUCCGCCGGUUUUGACACCGACGUUGGUGCUUUCAUUGAGAGUACCGCUGCGUCGUCACUAAAAGGUUCGAUGGCUCCUUCAAUCAUAUAUAACGAUGCAGUCCAUGGGGAAGUUUUCCUCCCCGGACAGAUCUUCGUAUUCGGCGGCUUCGCACUGCAGGCCAACUCGCUUGGCCACCUAGAGCAGAUCGACAGCUACGCCCGUGGCCAUCAGGUCAGAUUUGGAAGCUUGAACUACGUCGCCGAUAUCCGUGGAGACUUGAUCUUUGACGGAUUCGAGACUACGGUGGUUGUUCCCUGUCACCAUGAUGAACAUGACUUCAAUCUGUCAUCGGACCAUACGCAGGAGAUAGCGCCUGUUACUACUUCGGCCCUAGAUCCAAAGCAGAUCGCGCCAUCCGAGGAUGGGAAGCUCAACUCCGCCACGGAAGCUGCAGACUUAGCAGCGUCGGAGCCGCACACAGACCCAUCCUCGAGUGGAAUCUGUGUCACCGGAACCUCGGACUCGCUUCCGGCUACAGGUUCCGAACCAUGUGCGUCCGCGUGUGUCGAGCUUGAUCAAGCAUCGAUCAUCGAAUUCAGCUCCGCGGACAUCUUCUGGCACUCGCCUUUAGGCGAUGUGCUAAACUCAUUAAAAAUACUCUCCUUAGCAGGGGACUCACAGCCGAAUUGUAUCUAGUUCAAACUGGAGGCUGAUGAUGGGGAAUUUUGCUUCCACCCACCUCCCACAUAAUAGCCACUGUCGAAGACUUAACCGACAUGCUGGAUUACGACUCCGAAGACAUCGACAGUAUGGACGACGAUGCUAGAGAAGAGCAGGCCGAAAACCCGCCAUUUACCGGACGUUGGACGGCCACCUCCUCAUACGACGUAUACAUGGUGGAUACACCCAAAGAGAAUGGCGGCGAUGACAAGGAAGAUCUAGUAGAGGAUGAACCUCCUGAGAUACAACCAAAGCGCCGACGUUAGCGGCGCCGCUCUAAAUCACGCCGCAGAAAAGACAGCAACACCUGCACAGGAGACGAUAACACUCCGGCGGUGCCGAAGACAGAGAAGACCCCGAUGAGCAAACUGCCGAACAGGACGAUCGGGAAGAUGGGCAAGUUAGCCCUGAUGAACAGGCCAUAAACGAAGACUCGGAGGACAGCAAUUAUCUACCACCCUCCGAGGAUGAGGUGAGCCUCGGUGACGAAGACUUCAUCGUACCUGAGGAACCUCUCGAGUAGGAGCGCUUCAAGUGCCGGCUAAUUGCCACUGCAAGGAGCCUAAAAAAGCAGCAGCAGCAACUUCAAGCUGAUCAGGAUCUGCUUAAUGAUAGGCACUGUUCAAGAUAUCUUCCAAUAUUCCGAUAAAUUGUCGGAUUUAUCGCUUACCGGUGUCUCACCGAUAAGAUAAAUCGGUCGAUAAAUCAGCCGAUAUGGCGAUAAAUCGGGCGAUAUGCCGAUAAACUGGCCGAUUUACCCCUUAUCAUGGGUCGACCGAUAAGUUCCCGAUAAGUGAUAUCCCCAACAUUGAUGACAGGUGGACUAAUGUCUUGGCAGCUGAGGAAUAUGGCCUCGAGCGCCCAACCAAAAGUUACCCGAAGCGCAGACUACUACCUCAAUUCGACAACGAGGCCCUUGAGCCCGUUCCAUUAGCGCGUAAUGCGGCUGACCGACCACCACGUGGCCGGGACAAAGCGGCAACUCAUGCCGAACACCAGCCCAUACCACCUCACCGUAAAGGCAGAGAUAAAACAACUCGGGAUAUACGUAUGACCUGCAGCAGGACCUGAGGAAUAGAACAGGUCAGACCAGAUCGAUCUACGGAUCGCGGGGUCGUGCCCCAACGCGCGACGACAACCAUCUGGCCAGACGUGACAAACAUAACCACGCCCGGGCCAAAAACCACAGACAUACUACAUCCAAACUACGUCGCGAAUUGGCCGGAUACAGAGGCGCCACACACACCCUCUGCUUCACUGAUGAAGUAAUGGAGCAUGAAUUCCCAGAAGGGUUUAAACCCAUAAAUAUCGAAUCAUAUGAUGGAACAACAGACUCCGCGGUAUGGAUCGAAGACUUUCUUCUCCAUAUUCAUAUGGCCCGCGGUGAUAAUCUCCAUGCCAUCAAAUACCUCCCAUUAAAACUUAAAGGACCAGCUCGGUACUGGUUGAACAGUUUGCCCGAAAACUCCAUUGGCAGCUGGGAGGACUUGGAAGAAGCGUUCUUUGACAACUUCCAAGGUACAUAUGUUCGACCUCCGGAUGCCGACGACUUAAGUCACAUAAUUCAAUAGCCCGGAGAGUCAGCCAGGAAAUUCUGGACCAGGUUCUUAACUAAAAAGAACCAGAUCAUCGAUUGUCCGGAUGCCGAAGCCCUAGCGGCCUUUAAGCAUAGCAUCCGCGACGAAUGGCUCGCCCGACACCUCGGCCAGGAAAAACCGAAGUCCAUGGCAGCCCUCAUGGCGCAUAUGACACGCUUUUGUGCGGGCGAAGAUAGCUGGCUAGCCCGUAGCAAUAACAAUGCAAGUGAACCUGGCACUUCUGAAGCCAAAAAUAGCAACGGCAAGCCCCGACGCAACAGACACAAGCGUCGAAACAACGGCGACAAUACCGAUGACACGACAGUUAACGCCGGAUUCAGUGGCUCCAAGUCCGGUCAGCGGAAAAAGACAUACAAAAGGAGCAAUCCGGGCUCUUCCAGCUUGGACCGCAUACUCGAUCGUCCAUGUCAGAUCCAUGACACCUCUGAUAAACCAGCCAAUCAUACCAACAGAGACUGUUGGGUUUUUAAACAGGCCGGCAAAUUAAAUGCCGAGAACAAGGAGAAGGGGUCGCAAAGCGAGGACGAUGACAGAAGGAGUCCCGUCCGCCGAACACAGGAGGACAGAAGAAGUUCCCUCCCCAUGUUAAAACAGUGAACAUGAUAUACGCUACACAUAUCCCCAAGAGGGAGCGCUAACGCGCGCUCAGGGACGUCUACGCGAUGGAGCCAGUCGCCCCAAAGUUCAACCCAUGGUCUUCCUGUCCGAUCACUUUCGACCACAGGGACCAUCCGACCAGUAUCCGUCACGGCGGUUCAUCCGCACUCGUCCUCGACCCAAUAAUAGAUGGAUUCCAUCUCACGCGAGUCCUCAUGGAUGGCGGCAGCAGUCUGAACCUGCCCUAUCAGGAUACAGCGCGCAAAGUGGGCAUUAAUCCCUCACGGAUCAAACCCACAAAGACUACCUUUAAAGGAGUCAUACCAGGUGUAGAGGCCCGCUGUACGGGCUCAAUCAGACUAGAGGUUGUAUUCGGAUCCCCGGACAACUUCCGAAGCGAAGAGUUGAUCUUCGAUAUCGUCCCUUUCCACAGUGGCUAUCACACACUGCUCGGACGAACCGCAUUUGCUUGAUUGAACGCUGUGCCAUACUACGCUUAUCUCAAGCUCAAGAUGCCUGAUACGUCUCCAAAGUAUCUAUAAUUUUUUAUUGUUCCAUGCUAUUAUAUAUUAUGUUUUGGAUGUUUAAUGGGCUUUAUUAUACACUUUUAGAUUAUUUUUGGGACUAACCUACUAACCCAAGGCCCAGUGCAAAUUGCUGUUUUUUUUGCCUAUUUCAGCGUUUCGCAAACGUGAUUUUUGGAACAGAAUGAUACCUUCGGGAACGUGAUUUUUGGAACAAACGUGAUCCAGAGGACUUGGAGUGGACGUCAAGAAACAAUCAAGGAGGCCACGAGGCAGGGAGGUGCGCCUGCCACCCCUAGGCGCGCCCCCACCCUCGUGGGCCCCUCGUGGCUCCACCGACCUACUUCUUCCUCCUAUAUAUACCUACGUACCCCGAAACCAUCCAGGAGCACCACGAAACCCUAUUUCCACCGCCGCAACCUUCUGUACCCGUGAGAUCCCAUCUUGGGGCCUUUUCCGGCGCUCUGCCGGAGGGGGCAUCGAUCAUGGAGGACUUCUACAUCAACACCAUAGCCUCUCCGAUGAUGUGUGAGUAGUUUACCUCAGACCUUCGGGUCCAUAGUUAUUAGCUAGAUUGCUUCUUCACUCUCUUUGGAUAUCAAUACAAAGUUCUCCUCGAUCUUCUUGGAGAUCAAUUCAAUGUAACUCUUUUUGCGGUGUGUUUGUCGAGAUCCGAUGAAUUGUGGGUUUAUGAUCAAGAUUAUGUAUGAACAAUAUUUGAAUCUUCUCUGAAUUCUUUUAUGUAUGAUUGGUUAUCUUUGCAAGUCUCUUCGAAUUAUCAGUUUGGUUUGGCCUACUAGAUUGAUCUUUAUUGCAAUGGGAGAAGUGCUUAGCUUUGGGUUCAAUCUUGCGUUGCUCGAUCCUAGUGAAAGAAGGGGAAACGACACGUAUUGUAUUGUUGCCAUCGAGGAUAAAAAGAUGGGGUUUAUAUCAUAUUGCUUGAGUUUAUCCCUCUACAUCAUGUCAUCUUGCCUAAUGCGUUACUCUAUUCUUAUGAACUUAAUACUCUAGAUACAUGCUGGAUAGCGGUCGAUGUGUGGAUUAAUAGUAGUAGAUGCAGGCAGGAGUCGGUCUACUUGUUGCGGACGUGAUGCCUAUAUACAUGAUCAUGCCUAGAUAUUCUCAUAAUUAUGCACUUUUCUAUCAAUUGCUCGACAGUAAUUUGUUCACCCACCGUAAUAGUUAUGCUAUAUUGAGAGAAGCCCCUAGUGAAACCUAUGGCCCCCGGUGUCGGUGUCAAAACCGGCGGAUCUCGGGUAGGUGGUUCCGAACUGUGCGUCUAGGAUCGAUGGUAGCAGGAGACGGGGGAGACGAUGUUUACCCAGGUUCGGGCCCUCUCUAUGGAGGUAAUACCCUACUUCCUGCUUGAUUGAUCUUGAUGAAUAUGAGUAUUACAAGAGUUGAUCUACCACGAGAUCGUAAUGGCUAAACCCUAGAAGCCUAGCCUGUAUGACUAUGGUAAUGUAUAUCUGCCUAUCCGGACUACGCUCUCCGGUUUAUAUAGACACCGGAGAGAUCUAGGGUUACAUGGAGUCGGUUACAUAAGAAGGAAUCUUCAUAGUUGGUCGCCUAGCUCUCCUUCCACGCCAAGGAGAGUCCAAUCUGGACACGGGUAUAGUCUUCGGCCUUCAUAUGUUCGCAGCCCAUCAGUCCGGCCCAAUGAAUAACAGGCCGGACGCCCGAGGACCCCUUAGUCCAGGACUCCCUCACCCGGGUCUAUUUUCCAUCAUAUUAAUCUCCCGUCAGCUAGGUAUUUUUGUUGCCGUUUAUUUUGCAAUCUUUACUUUCAAUCUUUAUCAUAAAAAUACCAAAAAUAUUAUCUUAUCAUCUCUAUCAGAUCUCACUUUUGCAAGUGGCCGUGAAGGGAUUGACAACCCCUUUAUCGCGUUGGUUGCAAGGUUCUUAUUUGUUUGUGUAGGUACAAGGUACUUGCGUGUGGCCUCAUACUGGAUUGAUACCUUGGUUCUCAAAAACUGAGGGAAAUACUUACGCUACUUUGCUGCAUCACCCUUUCCUCUUCAAGGGAAAACCAACGCAUGUUCAAGAGGUAGCAAGAAGGAAUUCUGGUGCCGUUGCCGGGGACUCUACGCACAAGUCAAGACAUACCAAGUACCCAUCACAAACUCUUAUCCCUCGCAUUACAUUAUUUGCCAUUUGCCUCUCGUUUUCCUCUCCCCCGCUUCACCUUUUCCGUUUUAUUCGCCCUCCUUCCGUUCGAUCUUGUGUUACCAUGUACCUUCUUUUUGCUUGCUAAAAGUUUAUGGAUCCUCAUCCACUUGCUAAUCUCAUUAAGAGAUCCAAUUAUGAUGAACCUAUUGCUAGUGAGUUGAGUGCACUAGAUUAUCUUUAUGAGGUUUUGCUUGAAAUUCGUGAAUCUGAAAAUUGUGAUGAAGUACUUUAUGAAGCGAUUUACGAUAGAUCUAUGAAUAAAAAGCAUGAUUGCAAUGAUUUUACUAUAAAUUAUCUUGAUGUCAAUUGUGCUAAUAUUAUGCAAAACCCUAAGCUUGGGGAUGCUAGUUUUGCUAUGUCUACUACUUGUUGCAAUGAUUAUGAUUGGGGUGAUUCUUUUUAUGAUCUUGAAAAUUUAUUUAAGCCCCAUGAUGAAUAUGAGAUUGAUAAUAGUGUUUGCUAUAAUAUUGAAAGUGGGUUUGAAAGAGUGUCAACUUUAGAUCCCACAUAUUUGGAGAAUGUUCAAUCUUAUGGUAUUUUUGAUAAAAGUGAGUUUGGAGAGGUCAUGACUUUAGUUAAUGAUAAUACCACUAUUUUGGAAGAGUGUCAACUUCGCAUACAUGUGCAUCGUGUUGAAAAUAUGUUAUGUGAUAGCUAUUUUUUUGAAUUUUCCUAUGAUCCUACAUGUAAUUAUUAUGAGAGAGGAAAAUAUGGUUGUAGAAAUUUUUUUCUUACUAAAUUACCUCUCAUCAUGUUGAGAUUGCUAUCGUCUCUUUGUCCUUCCUUGCAUAUGCUAAUUUUUGCUUAUAAAAUGCCUAUGCAUAGGAAGUAUGUUAGACUUAGAUGUGUUUGUCACGUGUUUUAUGAUGCUCUUUUUGCGCUUUAAUUCUUAUCUUUUAUGUGUGCAUCAUUGAAAUCUCAAUGCCUAGCUAAAAAGGCUUUAAAGAAAAGAGCUUGUUGGGAGACAAACCAAUAAUUAUCCUCGCUAUUUAGGAAUAAAUCUUUCAUCUAGCCUAUGGUUAGAUGUGUUUUUGUGUUUUAAUUAGUGUUUGUGCCAAGUAGAACCUUUGGGAAGACUUGGGUGAAGUCUUUUUGAUCUUGCUGUAAAAAACAGAAACUUUAGCGCUCACGAGAUUAGCUACAACCUUUUACUGGAGAGUGCUAUUUAGUUGAUUAUUUUUGCAGGUGAUUAAUAGAUAAAUUCCUCACGUCCAGAAAUUUAUUUUAGAAUUUUUGGAGUUCCAGAAGUAUGCGUUUGAUACAGAUUACUACAGACUGUUCUGUUUUUGACAGAUUCUGUUUUUCGUGUGUUGUUUGGUUAUUUUAAUGAAUCUAUGGCUAGUAUUGGAGGUUAUGAACCAUAGAGAAGUUGGAAUACAGUAGGUUUAACACCAAUAUAAAUAAAGAAUGAGUUCAUUACAGUAACUUGAAGUGGUGUUCUGUUUUCUUUCGCUAACGGAGCUCACGAGAUUUUCUGUUCAGUUUUGUGUUGUGAAGUUUUCAAGUUUUGGGUAAAGAUUUGAUGGAUUAUGGAACAAGGAGUGGCAAGAGCCUAAGCUUGGGGAUGCCCAAGGCACCCCAAGGUAAAAUCCAAGGACAACCAAAAAGCCUAAGCUUGGGGAUGCCCCGGAAGGCAUCCCCUCUUUUGUCUUCGUCCAUCGGUAACUUUACUUGGAGCUAUAUUUUUAUUCACCACAUGAUAUGUGUUUUUCUUGGAGCGUCUUGUAUGAUUUGAGUCUUUGCUUUUUAGUUUACCACAAUCAUCCUUGCUGUACACACCUUUUGAGAGAGACACACAUGAAUCGGAAUUCAUUAGAAUACUCUAUGUGCUUCACUUAUAUCUUUUAAGUUAGAUAAUUUUGCUCUAGUGCUUCGCUUAUAUCUUUUUAGAGCACGGCGGUGGUUUUAUUUUAUAGAAAUAAUUGAUCUCUCAUGCUUCACUUAUAUUAUUUUGAGAGUACUUUAGAACAGCAUGGUAAUUUGCUUUGGUUAUACAAUUAGUCCUAAUAUGAUAGGCAUCCAAGAUAAAAACUUUAAAGUGCAUUGAAUACUAAGAGAAGUUUGAUACUUGAUAGUUGUUUUGAGAUAUAAAGGUGGUAAUAUUAGAGGUGUGCUAGUUGAGUAAUUGUGAAAUUGAGAAAUACUUGUGUUGAAGUUUGCAAGUCCCGUAGCAUGCACGUAUGGUACAUGUUGUGUGACAAAUUUGAGGCAUGAGGUGUUCUUUGAUUGCUUUCCUUAUGAGUGGUGGUCGGGGACGAACGAUGGUCUUUUCCUACCAAUAUAUCCCCCUAGGAGCAUGCGUGUAGUGCUUGGUUUUGAUGACUUGUGGAUUUUUGCAAUAAGUAUGUGAGUUCUUUAUGACUAAUGUUGAGUCCAUGGAUUAUACGCCCUCUCACCCUUCCAUCAUUACUAGCCUCUUCGGUACCAUGAAUUUCCCUUUCUCACCUUGAGAGUUGGUGCAAACUUCGCCGGUGCAUCCAAACCCCGUGAUAUGAUACGCUCUAUCACACAUAAGCCACCUUAUAUCUUCCUCAAAACAGCCACCAUACCUACCUAUUAUGGCAUUCCCAUAGCCAUUCCAAGAUAUAUUGCCAUGCAACUUUCCACCGUCCCGUUUAUUAUGACAAGCAUCAUCAUUGUCAUAUUGCCUUGCAUGAUCAUGUAGUUGACAUCGUAUUUGUGGCAAAGCCACCAUGCUUAAUUUUUCAUACAUGUCACUCUUGAUUCAUUGCAUAUCCCGGUACACCACAGGAUGCAUUCACAUAGAGUCAUAUUUUGUUCUAAGUAACGAGUUGUAAUUCUUGAGUUGUAAGUAUAUAGAAGUGUGAUGAUCACCAUUAGAGCAUUGUCCCAUGUGAGGAAAGGAUGAUGGAGACUAUGAUUCCCCCAUAAGUCGGGAUGAGACUCCGGACGAAAGAAAAAAAAGAAAAAAAAAGAGGCAAAAAAAAAGAGAAGGCCCAAAUAAAAAAAAGAAAAGAGAAGAAAAAAAAAAUGAGAGAAAAAGAGAGAAGGGACAAUGUUACUAUCCUUUUUCCACACUUGUGCUUCAAAGUAGCACCAUGAUCUCCAUGAUAGAGCGUCUCUUAUUUUGUCACCUUCAUAUACUAGUGGGAAUUUUUCAUUAUAGAACUUGGCUUGUAUAUUCCAAUGAUGGGCUUCCUCAAAUGCCCUAGGUCUUCAUGAGCAAGCAAGUUGGAUGCACACCCACUUAGUUUCUUUUGUUGAGCUUUCAUAUAUUUAUAGCUCUAGUGCAUCCGUUGAAUGGCAAUCCCUAAUCCUUACAUUGACAUCAAUCGAUGGGCAUCUCCAUAGCCCGUUGAUUAGCCGCGUCAAUGUGAGACUUUCACCUUUUUUGUCUUCUCACACAACCUCAACCAUUAUAUUCUAUUCCACCCAUAGUGCUAUGUCCAUGGCUCGCGCUCAUAUAUUGCGUAAAAGUUGAAAGGGUUUGAAAUGGCUAAGUAUGAAACAAUUGCUUGGCUUGUCAUCGGGGUUGUGCAUGAUGAGAGCAUUUUGUGUGACGAAAAUGAAGCAUGGCCAAACUAUAUGAUUUUGUAGGGAUAAGCUUUCUUUGGCUAUGUUAUUUUGAUAAGACAUAAUUGCUUGGUUAGCAUGCUUGAAGUAUUAUUAUUUUUAUGUCAACAUUACACUUUUAUCUUGAAUCUUUCGGAUCCGAACAUUCAUGCCACAAUAAAGAAAUUACAUUGAAGAAUAUACUAGAAAGCAUUCCACAUCAAAAAUCUGUUUUUAUCAUUUACCUCCUCGAGGAUGAGCAGGAAUUAAGCUUGGGGAUGCUUAAUAUGUCUCCAACGUAUCUAUAAUUUUUUAUUGUUCCAUGCUAUUAUAUAUUCUGUUUUGGAUGUUUAAUGGGAUUUAUUAUACAAUUUUAUAUUAUUUUUGGGACUAACCUACUAACCCAAGGCUCGGUGCAAAUUGCCGUUUUUUUGCCUAUUUCAAUGUUUCGCAGAAAAGGAAUAUCAAACGGAAUCCAAACGGAAUGAAACCUUCGGGAACGUGAUUUUUGGAACAAACAUGAUCCAGAGGACUUGGAGUGGACGUCAAGAAACAACCGAGGAGGCCACGAGGCAGGGAGGCGCGCCUGCCCCCCUGGGCGCGCCCCCACCCUCGUGGGCCCCUCGUGGCUCCACCGACCUACUUCUUCCUCCUAUAUACACCUACGUACCCUGAAACCAUCCAGGAGCACCACGAAAACCUAUUUCCACCGCAACAACCUUCUGUACCCGUGAGAUCCCAUCUUGGGGCCUUUUCGGGCGCUCCGCCGGAGGGGGCAUCGAUCACGGAGGGCUUCUACAUCAACACCAUAGCCUCUCCGAUGAUGUGUGAGUAGUUUACCUCAGACCUUCGGGUCCAUAGUUAUUAGCUAGAUGGCUUUGGAUCUCAAAACAAAGUUCUCCUCGAUCUUCUUGGAGAUCUAUUCGAUGUAACUCUUUUUGCGGUGUGUUUGUCGAGAUCCGAUGAAUUGUGGGUUUAUGAUCAAGAUUAUCUAUGAACAAUAUUUGAAUCUUCUCUGAAUUCUUUUAUGUAUGAUUGGUUAUCUUUGCAAGUCUCUUCGAAUUAUCAGUUUGGUUUGGCCUACUAGAUUGAUCUUUAUUGCAAUGGGAGAAGUGCUUAGCUUUGGGUUCAAUCUUGCGGUGUCCUUUCCCAGUGACAGCAAGGGCAGCAGGGCACGUAUUGUAUAGUUGCCAUCGAGGAUAAAACAUGGGGUUUAUAUCAUAUUGCUUGAGUUUAACCCUCUACAUCAUGCCAUCUUGCCUAAUGCAUUACUCUGUUCUUAUGAACUUAAUACUAUAGAUGCAUACUGGAUAGCGGUCGAUGUGUGGAGUAAUAGUAGUAGAUGCAGGCAGGAGUCGGUCUACUUGUUGCGGACGUGAUGCCUAUAUACAUGAUCAUGCCUAGAUAUUCUCAUAAUUAUGCACUUUUCUAUCAAUUGCUCGACAGUAAUUUGUUCACCCACCGUAAUACUUAUGCUAUCUUGAGAGAAGCCACUAGUGAAACCUAUGGCCCCCGGGUCUAUUUUCCAUCAUAUUAAUCUCCCGUCAACAAGCUAUCUUUGUCGCCUUUUAUUUUGCAAUCUUUACUUUCAAUCUUUAUCAUAAAAAUACCAAAAAUAUUAUCUUAUCAUCUCUAUCAGAUCUCACUUUUCCAAGUGGCCGUGAAGGGAUUGACAACCCCUUUAUUGCGUUGGUUGCAAGGUUCUUAUUUGUUUGUGUAGGUACGAGGGACUUGCGUGUGGCCUCCUACUGGAUUGAUACCUUGGUUCUCAAAAACUGAGGGAAAUACUUACGCUAUUUUGCUGCAUCACCCUCUCCUCUUUAAGGGAAACCAACGCAUGCUCAAGAGGUAGCAAUGCCCAGACCACGCGGCGUCAUAACAAUCAAUGGAAACACGGAACGCUCCCUCUGCACCGAGGAGCACACCGCGGCUUUAGCAGCAGAAGUACAGAGCGGCCUUUUCAAGCAGAACCUUAAUUCGGCGGCCGAGCUCCCGGACACCGUCAAACGAGUCCGGACCACUCUGCAGCAGGACAACCCAGCUCGUCAAGAGCUCGAUUAGCAAUUUGGCCUCCGUCCCAGUCCCGACCAAGUGGCGGCGUUCGUACCGCGCAUACAUAACUACGCACUCAAAAUACCAUGGGCAUAGACGGAGGCAUGACUAGAUGGUGAUCCAUAAUACGACUCGACCUCUCCUGGACACACAUACUUUCACUUUUUCUUUUUUAUCCUUUUUAGGUUUCUUUCCCACAGGCUCUUCCUGACGGCCUGAUCAUCGGUCCUUUCGAAGGAUAGAUACACCAAGACGGCAAGAAGCAUUGACGUAUAAAGGAAUUUCUAGGUGGUUUCUUUGACAAUCACUCUACCUGUUUUCAGGACCCGCACGCAGCUCUCCCUUGGUUGUGGCAUGUUAAAUAGCCCUGUUGCUUAUUGCACUACUUGUACAAAUACGCUUUGACGCAUUAAUCAAACUAUAAUGGAAACAGUUUGUAGCCCAACUUCUGUGGCACUAGCUUGCUACUAUUCCUUUUUCCCUGAUAAUCUUAUCAAAUUGUAUCCAUACACUUCGGUACGCUUUAAUACGUCAGGGCUUCAUCGCGCCCCAUAAAACGACAACAAAGUCUGAACACUUCUUACAGUAUAGCUCGGCACCCCGAAUUUAGCAUUAUAUGCAUUGGCUCCGAAUCAUGUCUUUGGUGAAUAGUUGGGUUGCCCGGCUCCUGUGCUUACUACCUUACGUUCUGCUAUAUUGGCUAGGGUAGUAAAGGGAGAACUACUGCGAUUGUGUCCUAAUUUAUCCGGAUGAGCACCUCAAUAGAGAAAGCCGAAAACUGACUGUCAUGAUGCGGCGUGAGCCGGUCAGCUCUUCGGAGGUUUCAAAUCCUUAGAGAUUUUUUCCGCAUUAUGCGAUGAAUCGAUUCUUACCCGAUUAGUUGUUCACAGCACCCUAGUUCGGAUACUAGGGGCUGCGCCUAAAUUUUUAUUGUCAAAUUCCUAUGGCUACGUGAGAGUGAUAAAGCCACAUAGUGCAAUUGCCUGGUUCGUUGCGCUAAACACCUCCUUCAAGGACCAAACAAUUGGAUCAAGAGUGAUUAGAUUCCAUCCUGAACACCCCCGUACUACCUACGUGGGGGCUGAAGCCGACGACUGGCCAACUCUCAGAUUUCAUCAACACGGCUGCACAGGAGGUGAAAUUUUAACAAGCAUUACAUUACAUAAUCGACUUUGUUUCAUAAUACAGGGUGAGAUACAUGAAUGUAUUCAUUCAAAGAUUAUAUCUUUCGCACAUUGCCCCGCUAUAAUGCGGGAUCCCUCCAGGACAUCGCUAAAUAAUCGCUCGGGCGUGCGGAGCUCCUUGCCCUCCGGCGUUCCCUCGGUCGCGAGCUUGACGGCGUUCAUCUUCGCCCACUGCAUCUUGACGCGGGCGAAGGCCAUCCGCGCACCCUCGAUACAGACCGAUCGCUUGAUAACAUCAAGCCGGGGGCAGGCAUCGACGAGCUGCUUGACGAGCCCGAAGUAGCUGCUGGGUAUAGCUUCAGCAGGCCACAACCAGAUUAUUAAAUCCUUCAUGGCUAGUUCGGCAACCCUAUGCAGCUCGAUCAGCUGUUUUAGCUGGUCGCUAAAGGGCACCGGAUGUUCUAGCGCAAGGUAUUGCGACCAGAACAGCUUCUCCGUUGAGCUCCCCUCUUCGGCUCGGUAGAAUUGCGCAGCGUCAGACACACUGCGCGGCAGAUCCGCAAACGCCCCUGGAGAACUCCAAAUCUGGGUUAGUAAGAGAUACCUCUUCUUCACAUACUUGCUUUGCAUAAUAAAAGCCUUACCCGCCACGAUUUUCUUGGCCUCCUGGAUUUCCUGGAGGGCGCCAUGGGCUUCGACCCGGGCCUCUUGUGCGCUCUGGCGAGCCUUGGCGAGUUCGGUCUCUUGAUCCGCAAUGUCGCGCUCCAAGGACUCGCAUUUCUUGACGGCGUCCUGGAGCUCCUGCUGGACGUCACCAACCCUGGCCUCAUGUUUUUCACGGGCGACUUGCUCCUUUGCCGCCUUCUUAUUGGCCUCAGCCAGCGCUUUCUUGAGGGUUUCCACCUUAGCAGCCGCUCCUACACAUAUCAUGGCGCCAUGAUCAGCACAAUUCAUUCUUCCUUUCCGGAUAUACAUAAAGUUAUCACAUACCUUGCUUGUCCUCCAGUUGCUUUUUUACACGGCCGAUCUCUUCCUCGGCCCACUCCAGACUCUGCUUUAGUCCGGAGACCUCAGCAGAAUGAGAGGUUGCGGCCAGCAACGACGCCUACUUGUUCACAUAAGGCAUAUUUAGUUAGUUUCCUGCGAAAAUUACUUGAUCCUCUGUCCGGCUUUUCUUUCCGAACACCGGACAGUGUCUCAGGGGCUACUGUCCAUACUGUGACAUUCUUUUUACGUGAUCACGUUGCUUACCUCAAAGCCUGUUAGAAGGCUUGUGCAGGCUUCGGUCAGUCCGCUCUUCGCGGACUGAAUCUUCUCAAUCACCGUACCCAUGAGGGUACGGUGUUCAUCUACAAUGGAAGCACUUCGCUGCGCUUCCAAGAGAGCAUCGGGUGCCUCUGGUUGGACAGAGGUCACCGGCGGAAUUGGCACACCUUCUUCUUUCGAAGGAGGCUGCUCACCGGAUUCCGGAGCCGUAUAGGUCUCCGGGAUCGUAUUCGGCUGGAGGCCGAAUUGAAUACGGCCCCCAUCGCCAGUCUCCAUGGGGAUUUGCUCCCCCAUGUGUUCGGCGGCCGAGGCUUCACCCUCUGGCGCCGCCCUGGCGGCCUCCCGCGUCUCCCCCAGGCUCGGGAUCCAUCGGGACAACACCUCGGUGUCAUCCAUGGCCCUAGGAGAGGUGGCCGCGGGAAGGGACCCGCUAUCCAUCACCUUCGGGUCCAGCGAAUUCCCCGGAGAUGAGGAUCGCUCGAGGUCAGAAUGGGCCGGACUGCAAGUGCAUGAUUCAACGUGUUAAGACUAUGAGAUAGAGAGGCCGGAUAUAUGAACCCAUCCAAGUUUUUUAGUACUCACGAUUCGGCCAGGGGCUUGUCUCGGGGGCGUGGUUCUGGGCUACUGUCGACGUCCCACGCGGAGUUAUCCGCGAGGGAGCCUUUCCCCCUCUUGGACGCCUCUGCCUCCAGAUUUGUGGAGGCCGCCCUCUUUUUCCUUCCUCCCUCAGGGGGGGAGUUGCUUUCUUCCUCCUCCUCGUCGUCGUCUUCGGCGGCGGAGGAGUGAGUCUCGCUGUCUUCGGAUGUCACGUCCGAAGCACCCUUGCGGUGGGGCCACUUCUGGCCCCCUUGACCUUCUUCUUGGCCUUCUUCUCCGGCGCCUGGUAAGGCGCAGGGACCAGCAUCUUCGUCAGGAGCGGGAUGGCUGGUUCCUCGGGCAGCGGAGCUGGACACUUUAUCCGCUCCGCCUUCUUUGUCCAGUCCUGAAAAAAUAAAUGGUGAGGCUUAGGUAUCUUCCCUGAACAAGCAAGCAAGGGAUACACCUUGUAAUGCGAAAGACUUACCGCACUGGCGGGAUGGGCCAGGUCGUGCCCGCGGUCCUCGGUGAUCUCCGGCGGCGUCUCGUUACCUUUGAAGAGCACCUUCCAGAUAUCUUCGUGCGUAGUUCCGAAGAACUGUUGCAAGGUCUGGUGCUCGGCCGGAUUGAACUCCCAUAAAUGGCAAGUCCGGCUCUGGCAUGGAAGGAUCCGGCGAACUAGCAUCACCUGGAUCACAUUGACAAGCUUGAUGUUCUUGUCCACCAUGCUCUGGAUGCGUGUCUGCAGCGCCGUCAGCUCGUCCGACGAAGACCAAUUCAGGCCCUUCUCUAGCCAGGAGGUGAGCCGCAUUGGGGCUCCAGACUUGAAUUCGGGAGCCGCGGCCCAGGUGGCGUAGCGGGGCUCUGUGAUAUAGAACCACAGUUUCUGCCACUCUUUGACGGUCUCCACAAAGGUACCUUUGGGCCAUGUGACAUUGGGCAUCUUGCUGCCCAUGGCACCUCCGCACUCUGCGUGUUGGCCAUCCACCACCUUCGGCUUCACGUUGAAGAUUUUAAGCCAUAGUCCGAAGUGGGGUGGAAUGCGGAGGAAGGCCCCGCACACGACAAUAAAUGCCGAGAUGUUGAGGAAGGAGUUUGGGGCUAGAUCACGGAAAUCUAGCCCGUAGUAGAACAUGAGUCCGCGGACGAAAGGGUGGAGAGGAAACUCUAACCCGCGGACGAAGUGGGGGAUGAACACCACCCUCUCAUUGGGUUUCGGGGUGGGGACAAUCUGCCCCUUGGCCGGAAGCCGGUGGGCGAUUUCUUUCGCCAAGUACCCGGCCUCCCGAAGCUUGGUGAUGUCCUUCUCCUUGACGGAGGAGGCCAUCCACUUGCCUUGCGCUCCAGAUCCGGACAUGGUCGAGUUCUUUCUUGAGGCGGAAAAUAUGAGGACUUGGGCGCUGGAGCUCGAGAAUGGGAGGGCAGAAAGAGAAGGCGUGGGUGAAGGAAAUGAAUCCUUAUGUCCUUAUAAGGGCAGCAAAUAUCAAGCGCUUCCCCACUCGCCUUAAAACUCGCCUGUUCCCAAGGGCUGUGCAGACGACACGGUUGGAUUACCCACGCCCGUAUUGAUGAGAAUCCCGUAAUAAGGGGACACGAUCUCUGCCGCGGCAAGACAUGCCAAUAGAAACCGCAUCUUGAAAUAUGAAGCGGCGGGCAGGAAAACGGUUCGAAAUAAUAACCGGGCAGAGACGUGAUGUCACGCUACAAAAAUUUGUCAGCAGAUUGGACUCGUGAAAUAUUAUACUCUCUACGGUUGUGUGUGGUACUUGUUUUGCAGAGCCAGACACGUUCGUUGCGUUUGAAGACCGUGUUGGAGUAUUCGGAGAAGGAACCCGCCUUGCAAUGCCGAAAACAAUUUGCGCACCGGACUCGUCGUCAUUGAAGCCUGGUUCAGGGGGUACUGACGGAGUCCAGGACUAUGGGGUCCUCGGACAUCCGGCCUAUUGGACUUCGGCCGGACUGAUGGGCUGUGAAGAUACAAGACCGAAUACUCUCACCCGUGUCCGGAUAGGACUCUCCUUGGCGUGGAAAGCAAGCUGGGCGUCCAAAUAUGAAGAUUCCUUUCUCUGUAACCGACUUUGUACAACCCUAGUCCCCUCCGGUGUCUAUAUAAACCGGAGGAUUUAGUCCGUAGAGACAAUCAUAAUCAUAAUCAUACAGGCUAGACUUCUAGGGUUUAACCAUUACGAUCUCGUGGUAGAUCAACUCUUGUAACACUUAUAUUCAUCAAAAUCAAUCAAGCAGGAAGUAGGGUAUUACCUCCAUAGAGAGGGCCCGAACCUGGGUAAACAUCGCGUCCCCUGCCUCCUGUUACCAUCGACCUUAGACGCACAGUUCGGGACCCCCUACCCGAGAUUCGCCGGUUUUGACACCCACACUCGUCUCUACACUUCGAGACAUACAAAACCCAAACAUGUGAAGUUGAAACACAUACAUAAUUUGAAAAAAGUACACAGACAUGAAAACACUUAACACUUGACAUCCUAUGACGGCUUACACCACCUCAUGUGACUUCACCUUGAGUGAGUUCAACUCCCCAAGUUGCUUUUUUUUACCGACAUAAAAAAUGAGACAACCAAAAAGGAGACAUGCGGGGAUCGAGCGACCUGGAUCGGGAUCGUUUGAAUAUGAAACGUAAACCAAAACAUUCGGAAAUUACAAAUUUCGUUUAUAGAUAGAUUCACAUAUAUAUUAGGCUUAAAUCAAUUAUGUUGCUGGCGAGAGGGGGAGGAGGGAGCCCCCAUGCUGGUCCCCGGUCCUUGUUAGUGUUGUCGUUGUAUCAGAAAGCAACCUUAAAAAUGCUUAAUAUCACGUCUCUACACUUGAAGACAUACAAAACCCAAACAUGCGAAGUUGAAACACAUACGUAGUUUGAAAAAAAGUACACAGACAUGAAAACACUUAACACAUAAAGCGACAUCCUAUGACGGCUUACACCACCUCAUGUGACUUCACCUUGAGUGCCAUCAUGGGCGUGGGGCGCCGAGCUCAUGGUGGUUGUGUGGCAAUGGUGCAGUGUGGAGGCAGUCGUGCCGUAAGACUCUGUACUGCACGUACGUGCAUUAUCUUCCCCACAAAACAUAGGAAGAGGAAAUGACUACAUUGUAAGGGCAUCAAUCAAAGCAUGUCACCACCACAUACUCCAGGCCACACAUGCUAUUAUGUCUUAAACGAAUCUUUAUAGUUUAUAAAGUAACUUUCAUCAUGCUAUUUCUUAUAUUUUUCUCCAUUGUUUUAUAUUUUAUUGGACCAACUUACUAAUAAAGCAUCAGAGAUGCAGCUGCAUGUCUAAUGCCUAUGCCGAUAACUCAUCAUUUUUAGUAUAGCUUAUCUCUAUGUAAUUUAACAAUUUGACAAAGAUUCCUUUUCUCGCUUUGAAUACCUAUCUUCUUUUAUAGUACUAACUUGCUUGUUUUCAACUGAGGACGCAACAAUACAAAAAUUCACGCAGAAACAACAUAUUGACAUUUUGACUAAGGGAGGAGUCAAGUGAAUAGUAUUGCCUGAAUUUUGUACUGGUAGAGUAGAGUACAAAAAGUGAAUUGGCGCCCCUAAACUGGUAGCCUACCAAUUGUGGCGGGACGAUAUACUAGUUUCUUUUAAUAGUUCAUAAAAAGAUGAGCUAUACUAUGUUUUUACUUGCUCAUUUUUGUAAAGAAUCAUCGUGAGCUGAAAAAUGAAGACGUGGGGUGUCAACCACAGAAAGGGAGCAAGUAACCAAGUUUGGUGGGCCCGUCAAAUGAUAUUUAUUUUUUGCACGAGGAUAUGGUAAUGUUGCUCAUGCUUUAUCCAUCAUGGCCGAGCAUUUGUGGGGAUAGGAUUGUGGGCUGCGAUCACGACGCCUUGUAUCAAGAGUUGUCGCACUGCACUCGCACCAGUUAGCCAUUCUGGAGGUAGGCAAAGAUGUCAUGGGAUUUACCUUUUGGGUUUGGCAUUCUUGUAGAUGGUGUCAGUGCGCCUGCGGCCUUGCGGACAACAAGACUGGUUGUGGGCGUUACUUCCUGCUUGUUCAUCAAAGCUUACGUCAGAACACGACUUCUUCAAGAUACAUAUAACUUGAAUCUUAGAUUGGGCAUCUACCAAUCCACGUGUUCGCAAACAUACCGGCUAAGUAGUCAGAAUGGCUGCAAGAAAAUCCCCUCGAAAUGCAAACAAUGCAUCGGUCAUGAUUCAAAACACAGUUUGGACGUCAGACAAUCUUAUGGUUAGGAGUAGAACAUAUGAAGGUUGAGGCUUUGAUUCAACCGACACUUCUCCGCCUUAUGGUUAGGGAGCAGAACGGAUGAAGGUUGUAACAUUAUCAAUCUUAGUAUUUUUAGAAUAGAAUGAACUAGUCUUCCUCUCUCCUUGUUACAAUAGUGAGUGUACAUCGAUGAAGGAUACCACCCACCAAUUAACCCAUGCAUGUGGCAUUUGACCUUUAUUUAUUGUGCAUAUGUCUUUCUACUCACAACAAUGAUAUCGCAUCAGCUACCAUCGGGUCAUGGAAACAAUAAGGUGGGCAUCUGGAUCUAUGAGAUAGCUGACAUUUUGGACCAUGUGCGAACUACCAUAUCGAUUGUCAUUAAAAGGCCCUAUGUUCACACUCCUUCCCCUCUCAAGUCUUCACAUCUCACACAAAUAACAUUACGAACACAAUGUCAGUAGUCAUAGUUUAGUGUGUAUAAUGGGAGUUCCAAAUAAAUUUCUAUCACUUCAAAUCUUCUCGAUUCAUCAACCAAAAUUAGUUGUCUAAUAGCUAGAAAUGUCAAGAUGGAAUUCCUUCUUGGGCUCUCACGCGUAGGAGUUGGAGGCAUCAGAAAGUUAGUGAGGACAUGUUGAUAUGGUGACGCGCGAGACACACACGAACACAAGUCUACGCACCCUAGUUCCAGUUGCCUAGCUCCCGGUCGAUUAGGUAUGUCCACAAACUAACACACAUCUUCGUUGGGUCUGACCUAUGCUCCGCUCAUUAUUUUAAGAUUCAGCACCCAGUGAUGGUGCCAUUAUAUAGUGCGUCAGGAUUGUGCUCCCCAUGGUUAACUGUGUGAAUAGAGGUAUCAGAGGCCAGUAUAGUCAAAGAGCUCACAUUCUUGAGUCUGACAAGUGGGUGUGGACAACCUUGGGAUGAUUGGUCCCUCCCAUUGGAGGUGUGUCCUAGGUCAAUUGCUUUGUCGACAACUGGACGAAGUGAGCAUUGCCAAUAUGCUCCAUCGCACCAUGUUCACAACCCUCUGUUCCCACCAAUUCCCCAAGCAUGUCUUUUUUUAGACAAUUAUAUUUUUACCUCAACAUAGGUUUUCACUCCGCUUUAUCUAUAAAUGUCAGGAAAGCCAGUUGCAUGUCUUAUAUUUACACCAAUAACUCUUUAUUGUUUUGUACAUGUUAUCAUAAUGUCAUUUAAAUUUUUGCCAAAGAUUGCCUUUCAUGGCUUUAAAUACCGGUGUUUCCAUAAUGUUGGGGUGGGGCGAGGCGGUGGAUGGGAUCUAGUGUCAGGACAUCGCUUUAUUUAUUUGUUUUUGAUUGUGGGGAGGACAUCGUUUGAUAUGAUGGGGAUGAACCGGUGGGUUAGAGUAUUUGUGUAUAAUAUUGGGUCUUUGUGGUCACAGAAGAGUUGUUUCCGAAAAUAUCUAACCAUGAUGUCUAGCUAUAUUAGUACAUACAUGUAAGAAGAAAAGUGAAAAGCACUACUCAUGUGAAAAAGCACCACGAAUGAAAGCAAGAAAAUGACCAUUGAAAACCUCCCUUUGUGGCUAUUCUUGUCAUUACCGGUUCUAGUCAUCCGUCAAUGGUCCACCAAUAACAAUAUGCAAUUAUGCAGCAGUGGACCUUCACAGAUUAUGUGAUCUUAGACACCGUGAUAGACAAGUCUUGGCCUUCCAACUCGCUGACAAUCCAACUUUUUCACAUGAAAAAUUUGAGAAAUUCAAGGCACAAAACAUCCAAACCUACUUUUUCCCGCAAAACAUCCGGACCCACAUAUCGGUCCGCCGACCGAUCCAGACCUACUUUUACCUCCUCAGAGGACCUUUUUUAAGCGGGCAUCGACAAGAGAGACUUGUGUAAGAUGGCAGUUGUGGUGUCAGGAUUUCUGUGGCAAUGAUGGCGGGGUGAGCAAUGGUAGGGUGAUGGCAGUGGUUGCGGUAGUUGACUCUUUUGUGUGUCCACCGGAUUGUUUUGGGUUGUUUGUUGCAGAGAAGUUGGACCUAAGAUGAAGGCCGAGAGGCGGCAACGAAUUUUUCUCACGGGCGCUGUCGAUGGAUGUAGGAGGAAAAAACCUCAGCACUCCAAGGAAUUUGGAUGUAUGUUGCAAUUUUUGUAUGGGCGUUUUGGUAAGUGAAUGUGUUUACUUGAUAUAUGGCCCUUGGCCUAUCCACAAAAAAGUACGAAUUUGAAAGUGGCUAAGAGGUGACAAAGCAGACACUAGAUGCUAUGUGUGCUUACCAAUGUGGCACUUUCUUCAUACUUACAUGGUCUGCGAGACAUCGAUUGUGACGAGUCAUGUUGGGCAGUGCCGCGCGGUAGGUAGCAUUCGCUGGACUGUUCGAGUUUGGGGCAAUAAUGCUUGCCUGAUUGGUUGUUGUGCCUUGUUGUUUUCAGGUAUUGCGUCGUUGACAGCAAAAGACUGACUGUUGCCGAUGCUCCAUCUAUGUUCAUGAUACCCACCGACUUGGUGGAACACAAGGUUUCAAGACAAUAAUAAUUUAGUUAGGGCAUUUGAUGUUCUGCCAAAUACUCACCAGGCAGACAGACUAAGGUAAUGAUUUUUUGCUGGAAUUUUUCAUGGCAAGCCAAGCACAAUCCAGAUCCUCAUUAAAGACCCUACGGAUCCUAAAAGUAAUGAUUUACUGUGUGGCCUGUCGAUCUACUCUUUGUUCAUUGCUCUAGGGAAUAUUUUGAUUCUCACAACAAUCAAUCAGUACGGUGGACUGGGUCACGAGUCAUGAGAUCUGUGUCUACACUUGCUUCAUUAGUUUGAAAAUGCUGACCAUUAAUCUGGACUGGCAGUAGAGUAUGAGUUUAAGUCAUGGUCACUGUUGCUAAAGAAUGUACUUAACUUUCAUCAUUUUAACCUUCAAUAAGGAAAAUGAUAUUAUCAACCGCCAAAAAAAUCAACAAAUUUGACAUCAGAACAAUAUGAGCCACUCGCAAGGAAAUUGAAAAGAAAGCACAUCUUUUGUCACGUGGGCUUAUUCAGUUGCAUUACUCGCUAUAUAUGGAGAAACAAAUGAAGAAUCAACUGUCAUUUGCUUCUGCACUCCGUAUGCUACUGCCUUUAUUCUCCUACACAAGACUGGCGGAAUCUGCUGCCCUCCCCCCUCUUCUAAUUGGAUAUGGCAAAAUGAUUGUUCAGGCACACCACAAUAUGGUUAAACAAGAAGAAACCAAAGGGAGGGAACAUUCUUGCUAGAAAAGAGGAAUCCAGAAUUCGAUUGGGGACAAAUUGCAGGGUGCCACCAAGGAUGGGCAUGUAUGAGCACCGAAAAGUUAGUUAGAUCUCAGUCCGUGGAGGUGAUUGUCCACCGAAAGUCCUAAUUAUUGUAGACUGAUGCCACCCGUUAUGUAGUAUCAGGUGAUUAAUUUCUCGCUUGCGCUCGACCAAGAUCUUGAUCGGUAAUCCUAUGUAAACAAGAGCAUCUGUUAUCAUACCACUGGAUUUUCCAUAAUGGAGAUUUCUUUUGCAUAUUCCAUGCAGCACGAAUUGGAUCGAAUUUUGGGUAGGGACCGCCUGUGCCAGAAAAGGAAAAGCUGGAGUAAUAUUCUGCAAAAGAGAAGUUGUCCCUUAUUUUAAGUAGUGUAGUGCUUUCCGAGCUCUUCUUAAGUUAAUUUAUUACACAGACUUUUGCACUUAUUCUCCAAAAGUAUUUUAAGCCCCAUCAUAAAGCACACUUUUUUGAUAUGUACUAUCAAAGCUUGUGACCACUAAUAAAAUUAUGGAACCACUAGUAGGAUAUGGAUGAUCACUGUUCUUAUAGAGGAUCUACUAUAGUUAUGAUAGUUUGUAAUGUAAAGUUAUGUCAUAGACCCGUACAUCUCCAAGCUCACAUGCCAAAGCAAAAUAACUUCUUUACAAAAAGCACCCAUCGAAUUAACCACUUGUGUAACAUGCUCUAAGAACGAGUUUUAUCGGUUUCUGAAGCUUGAUCAUUAAUCUUAACAGUCUCCAAGUUCCUUUUUGUUUUUCUGGUGCAAGAUCUCGAUCAUAAAUCCUGUGAAAAUAGGAUCAUUUCCAUGGGAGAUCUAGCAAUUGAAUUUCUUAUGAUGGAUAUUUCUCUUGUAUAUACUACACAGAAGAAUAUGGAUCAAACUCUGGCGUGAUUGCCCAGGUGGCCAGGCCGAAACAGGGAAAGUUGUAAAAUCCUGAAAAAGUGAAGUUGUUUCUUCAACAUAGCUAGUGCUGUUUUAGCCGUUUCCCAUUUAAUUAUAGUUGAGGAGUAAAUGUAUAAUGCUUUAUCAUCAGUGCAACUGCGUCCUGCUAUUCCAAGCUGAUAAGAAGAGAUCGACACGGAUUGAAGAUCUUAGUUUUUGAGCUAGAGGGACAGGCACCAGAGCACUGAAAUCUCUGCUUUACACCAUGAGGGCUACUGCUGCCUGCUCUGUGAUUCCAUGUUAUGUUAGUCUUGCUGAAAAGCAUUUCUAGGUGUUGUUAAAUACGCUUCUGUCGCACGCACACCGGGUAAAAGCUACACGCUUCGGUGUGUGUAUUUUAGGUUUAAACAAAGUGGUCUUCACUUCUUAGGUAGAAUUUCACUGAGCAUCCCAAUGUGUGUGUUUAGCCAACAACCAAUAGUGCCAUUUCAAGAAGCAUGAUUAACAGUUUAACAGCAGUAAAAACAACUAGACCGUGGGCGAUUAUUCGCCUUUCACUUUGUCCAGAAAUCAGUAAGGUCAGUUUUCACCGUCUGUAAUCUGUAUAACUCAACCACGGGAUAAGAGGCUGAAGGAAUAAGUUGGAAGAGAGUUGAUUAACUUUAGGAGUGUGUUGCUGGACCAGCACAGAUAUAUGAAUACAAGAAUGAAAACACUAUCGAAAAUACUAUGAUUCAUGCACAGAUCUGCACUUCCCUUUUCUGAGAACCAAAAUCGCGUCUGUAAACAUGAUAGAGUUGUGUAAAGCAAAGUGAAAAUGAAAGGCAAGUCCUUUUUGUUUCAAGAACAUUCUUUUUGUUUUCGUUUGAAAACUUCCAAGAUAAGUGAGUUGUUAACUAUCUAGAAAAACAGAGUUAGUUGCAACCUCCAUCUGUCACUUUAUUCUCUAAUGUGCCGGCAAAAACUUUGUCUAUGUGGGGUAUCUGGUUUGCUUUAACCUCGCCUUGUUGUUCAACUUCCAAUGCAUCAAUAUGGGCGGCUUUCUCGCAUAUCCCCGUGACAUUUCCGUGACACAAUAUGUCUGUCUUUCUUUUCGCCUAGUCGUUAAUGAACAUGCAGGGCAUGACUGUAUUUGGUGUUCCUUUCCUGGUCUCAUCAAUAAAAUGGGGCCGGGGGGCUUAAAACCCCCUUUUCUCUUAAAAAAAAUCAUGUCACACCAGUGACGAAAUGCAACGGGCGAACAGCCCUUCUCUUUGGAAAACUGUCAGUUAAAUACUUAGUAACUACUCUCUGUUAAAAAAAGGUAAACCUCUUUAUAGAGGAUUUUAGCAGUUGGUGUGUUUGGCAAGUGUGCUGAUCCAGUGCAACAUGGUGGGGUGCUGAGUUGUGUUCCAAGCAGUAGAUGAGCUGCGGACCUGCAAAAAAACAUUCUUGGCAAGUGAUAAGUGUGUGAAUUACAGAAGUCAGAGAAGCCACAUGCACAUAGGGAAAACAGAGAUGGAGACUCAUCUUUAGAUCUGGCAAUGCUGUCUUUCACUUUAUUAUGUAGUAUGAUACAAGGCGAAAGCAGCUGCAGCUGAAUUACAAGCAACUACACCACACAAACAGACUGGUAAAAGUAAAACCAUCUGCCAACAAAAGCUUUCCUGGAAAAAUCAUGGAGGCUCUCUGUCAAAAUCCACAGCCUCCUGUUCCUCUCACGCAUGAUACACUACUCCUCCAGGUGCCUUUCAGUUUCAGCAGAUUGGAAGACGACUGACCAAAACCCAAACAGAGAAAGAGAAGGGGGGAAAAAAGACAGCUACAGAACAAAACAGAGCUGCUGGACAGAACAGAAGCAGAGGCGUACUAUAGCUAAUCCUAAGUCCUAACGAGAGUGGCGCUAGUGGUUGGGUACUGGUGGUGAUCCAUGGCGGCGUGCUCCCUAUGAUCAACCGCAGCCUCAUGGUGGCGCGGCGUGUAUGUGUACGCGCCGUAGCCGGCGUCGUCGCCGACCUUGUUUUGCCAUGCGGGAAGCUUAGACGGCGUCUCGCUGCCAGCCUUGUCUUGGAAGUAAGCGCACCCGCCGUGGCUGCCGGCGUCGGCAUGCUCGGCUUUCGGUGUGCCGUCGUGGUAGGCCGUGUGCCCGGCCUCGUGGACGAUGACGGUGGGCGGCUGCGGAUACGCCGGCGCUGACCAGUUGGCGUUUCCUCUUCUGCGGCCGUAGUCGUCCCGUCUCCGGCCGCCGAAGCACGAGCCGAACUCCAAGCACAUUCUUUCUUGGUGGCGAGUAGUGAGGUGGCCGACUAGGCGCCGGGUGCUUCUUCGAACUACUCUAGCUGGGAGGUGGGAGCUACUGGUAGUGGGAAGCAGCACUAUCCUGGAAGUAGCUGCUGGGGGGUCGGUUAUCAGUGGUGGUGUUGAUGGCCCUGAAACUGACAGUGUUGGUGUGGUGGGUGGGUGAUAUAUAUCCGGGGCCGAGAAGAGAACUCGUGCUGGACCCGACGUGUGCGAGCGAAGCCAAGCUAGGCGAAAGUUUCGUAUGAAAAGAGGGGUUUUCCGUAAUUCGCUUUAGAGCAUCUCCAACAGCCGCGUCAAAAGACGCGCGCGUGGUAAACUGGCAUUUUAGCGCGCGCGGGGUGUUUCUGCGCACUCCAGCGGUGGCGUGAAACGAUUGCGCGCGCGGGAAAAGGCGGCAGCUCGCGCGCUAAAUUUGGCGCACCGCUCGGCCGCUCUCUCUCGCUCCCUCUACUGCUUUCUCUCCUCGCCGCCGACACGACACCACCACGCCACCAUGCCGCCUCACCGCCGGGGAGGUUCGGGCUACCGCGGCGUCCGCGUGCGUCCGUCCGGCACCUACUCCGUCGAGAUUCGGUCGGGCGGCGGCAUGCGCCUCCGCCUCAGAACCUUCGACACCGCCCAGGAGGGCGCCCGCGCGUACGACGCUGCGGCGUGGCGCCUUCGGCGGUCUCGUCAGGACAUGAACUUCGCCAACGUGGCGACGCGGGAGCGGGCACAGGAGUUUGCGCCUUUCCCGCGGCUUAUCACCGACGAGGACCGUCGCAAGAACCGGAGGCGAGAGCGCCGUCUCAACCUGGCCGAGAUGGACGAGGAAGCCAUGGCGCUGUGGAGCCAUCGCUUCCCGCAAGACAUCAUCAACGAGGAACAGUUCUUCGCCGAGAGGAGGGCGGAGAGGGCGAAGAGGAGGGAGGAGCGAGCCGCCUAUCGCGAGGACAAGCGAACGCAGAAGAUGGUCGCUAAAUACAACAUUGCGCUAGGAGAUGCGUCCUCACGGGACUCCGGCGACGAGCGGUUUCUUGACGCCUACGCUCAGACGUCGGAGGAGGUCAUCACCGAGGCAGAGCCCGAGUCGGAGAAUGACGAGUAGUAGUAGUUUUUGGUUUUAUUUUUUAUCGUAGAAGCAAGCUAUGUGACGAACUAUGAACUAUCUAUCGUAGGAGAAGACUAUGAACUAUCUACGCACUAUUUUGUAUCAACUAUCUCCAUAUUUGUACUAUCGGAACCAAAUAUGUAUCGAAUCGUAGUUCACAUAGUAGGAAAAAAACAGAUGAAAUAUAGCGUGCCUGCUGGAGCGGCUCGGGCGCGCUUUAUUUUGCGGCGGCCGCUGGAGCUAGCGCACCGCCGCGCGCAAAAGCUGGCUCACCCGGCGCUGUAUUCUGACUUUUAGCGCGCCGCGGGUUGCGUGGCUGUUGGAGAUGCUCUUAGGUCCCAAUCGACCAGGCUCACCCGGCACGUCUCAUGUUGACACGUCUUCUAACACUCUGAUGUCGUUGUUGAGGUCCGGAUCCAUCAGGUCCGUCCAACACCAUCUGUAGCGUGUCCCGCGUCUCGGUUCGUUAGAGUAUCUUCGACCGAGACAACAAACCGCCCCGGUUACUCGGACGGUGUCCGGAUAAAAAAUGCCUCCAUUCACACCCCUCAAAUUCAGCCUAAUUGUUUGAACCAAUAUAUGGUUGGAUGGUUAGGAGGACGGUAAUAUCCUCAUAUCAUCAGGUUUAAUUCCUCGUGCUCGCAUUGUUUCUGGAUUUAUUUCAGGGUUUUCGGUGAUGCACGUUUAGUGGGAGGAGACGUUCCCGUCGAAUACGAGGCGCCUGUGGUGACUUCUUCAAUCCCACGAUGAUAUGCCGGCUUACGCUCUCGGAGGUGUUCAUAGGGGUAGAGUUUGUGUGUGUAUUCAUAGGGAUGAGUAUAUGCGCGUAUAUAUGAGCGCAUGCAUCCGUACUGUGUUCUAAAAAAAUUCAGCCCAAUUGUUAUGGCUACCCGAUACCCGGCACGUUUCACGUUUGACACGUCUUCUAACACUCGGAUGUCGUUGUUUAGGUCCCGACCGAUCAGGUGUUGACACCAGAUUUUGGCACGACCAAAAACUUAAUUAAGAUGGUUUCAAAUAGAGAAAUGCUGAAAAUAAGAAAGUUCCGUAUCGUCAAAAGGAGAAACUUUGAUGUUUGGGCCAUCGCCAUCCGAUCUCAUCUUGAAGGCAGAAGUUGUGUUCGAAAUACCGAGUUUUGUAUUCAGUAUACUAUUCGCAUGAUUACACCCCAAGACUGCCUCGUAUGGAAAACUGAUCUACACGAAUCGUCUUCGCCUCGUCGAAACGGUCGAUUUUGAUAUAAAAAUCGUCUUAAUCCAAGGUCAUAUGCAAAAGUUACAGCAAGUAUAAGACACUGCUACACUGGAUGACCGGACACUACGGGGAAAACCAUCGGGGUUUUGAUUUUCUCUGUCGAUGCCCGGACACUCCGGAUAUGUUCGUCCGGGUUUUGAAUUUCGCAGCUGCAGACUUCGGAAAACAGCCGAAAACCCCCUCAAGAUGGCCUCAGAUAAAAAAACGUUCAACAUCAAAGUUGUUCGUCUCGUCAAAACGGUCAAGAUUGCUUUUGGGCUGGUUUCCAUCCGAGGUCAUUUACUCCCCCAAACAUGGCCCGCAAGGUGCAGCCAGAUUUUACCGAACAGUUUUGGAAAGUUUGGACCAAACAAAUCCGAAUUGGACUAGGGUUUUGGAUGUGAAUUGAAGCCUUUUCCUUGCACGGGAAGUCCAGUCGCCUCUUAUAUACUUAAGGGGUGACGGCCGAUGAACAACGACACACAAUCGCAAAACCCAUCUACUUUUUACCCUAGUUUUACAUCCCUCCCUUGUUCUUUCUCUCUCGUUCUUCGUUCGUUCUUCGUGUUGAAGGGCAGCGAUCCUCGAGGCUCUAGGGGCGGGCGAACCGACCUAGGGCAACCCAUAGCCGCCGCACGUCCAGACGGUGUCCCUCCCGGGCGCGUGGGGUUUCGGGUCCUGAAAAGCACCCGCCGGAUUGCUUGCGUACCGCGCUUCCCGACGGGUCUCCUUCGACGUGAGCUGCGGUGCAUCACCCUCGGCGUUGGAGGUAUACGGUGACAUGUUCGUGUGCGAACACAGGGCCGUCCAACACCACCUGAAGCAUGUCCCGCAUCUCGGCACGCAACAACACCUGCCCACAAACCGCCCCACUUGUGUGGGGGACAACUUGGACAUUUUGCCUAGAUAUAAAAAAACAACUUCAACCUUGUCAAGGAAUAAAAAACAUCUUCAACCGGACUCCUAAAAUUCAUCCCAAUUGUUAUUCUGGCCCGCCUUGAACCCUACAAAACCCUAACCUUAACUUACUUCACUCUAUUUGCUCCGCCACUCUAUGUUUUUCCCUCUCCGGCCAUGUCGAGCUUUGGAUCGGAGUUUGCCUGCUUCGGAUUUGAUGCCAGCGUGAAUUGGGAGUUUAUUGCCUGCUUGGAUGACGAUGAGUUUGCCCUCCGUCUCACACUUCGCCAGUCUUGGCUUGAGUCCCAAGCUCUGCCGUCAGCGGGCCGGCACAGAUGCAACAGUACGACGCCUUGACCGCCACUUCAGUGUGAGUUCAGCAGCGGCGGCGCAUCAAGCGACAGAUCAAGGCACCUGCGCACUGCCGACGCAUGUUCGUGCCGUUCCCGCAGCAUGACCGUGCUGGCUCGAGUGGCUUCGUUCCGUCCAUGUAGGACCAGUGCUAGGUUUUUAUUCACCGCACACCAUUGUCGACUUUGGCCGCGUCAUCCCCGUUGGCAUGUGGUGGCUACAGGAGUCGAGGCGUGGCAUGCUCGUCGUGAGAAGGAGAAGGCACACCGUGACUCUACUCGGGUUGUGCUGGUGCUGUCGGACUCCGACAAAGACCUGGUCAUCUGCAACAUAAAUGAGCAGUCCCUCACCACCACCAAGGAGUCGGACACGCACCGCUGCCGGAAGAUCAACACCAAAGGUCUUCGCUCGGCAUGGAGCAAUCGCGUUGCGACGCUAAGAAGAUGGCCGUGGAUGAAGCCUGUGCCCUCACGAAGGGGCAAGCCCGGGUCACCCGUUCUCUCACCGUCCUGCCGCCGGACUCGGAUGGCCCCAUUUCGGACACCGUCUCCGACUCCUACAACCCUGGCGACGACCUCGGCGAUGACCCCUACGUCAUCUUUGAAUGCUACUACCGCGGCUAAGCCGAGAAAGGCAAGGGCACGAGCCCACAUUGUUGAACUAUGCUUUCCGCUAUCCUAUUCUAGUCCUAGUUGAACCAUGUUAUCUUUUGUUGUCCUAUGUUGUCCUAUGUUGAAUUUAUGUCCCAUGUAGAAGUAGGCUAUCCACUUAUAUAUUGAUUGACGUUGCAUGGAUGGUGGAUUUGAGGUUGAAAAAUAAGGAUUGCCGUUGCGUGAGCGGACAAAUGAUGGUCCUGGACAUGUUUGCGGAUAAAUGUGAGAGUUAAACUUGUGAAGAUGCUCUCAGUCUGGUCGGAUUGAAAAUGCUUUUGUCCACAUAUUGGAUCUGCGAGGCUCCCUUUCAUCCUUCUCAAGACAAGUCUUCUUCCUCCUCCCGCGGACGCCGUCGCUCGCCCACCCCGCCUCCGACGGCCUUUGGGCCUUGGAGAUGCCGAGGAUCUCGGCCCCACGCCGGCAGCAGUGACCCCGAUUCAUUUUUGUUAGGUUUAACGUCGUGGUUUGGGCUGUGUGGCGGUGGUGAUGUCUCUCUGUUGGAAUAAUGUCUUCCAUGUCCGAUCCUGCCCCGUGGUGCUUCUAGCAUCGUUGGAGCACGUGUGGAGAUGUGUCACCGUCAGAUCUCACAGGAUUCGGUCAAUGCUGAUCUUCGGUAGAUCUAUUUGGAUCUAAUUUUCGUUCGUCUUCAUUUGUGUGGUUAUAGGUUUGAUCUUUUCAAUCUACGACUCUCUUCAUCGGCGAUGGUUGAUGCUCUGGUGCGCUGGUCCUUUGGCGGCAUAGCACGACGACUUCCCGACUGUCUACUACAAUAAGGUUUGCCCGACUCCGAUGAGGAAGGCGAGAUGACGCUUUUGGCUCGCUCAGUGUUUAUAGUCGUCGCUGGGUGGUCUAUGGAUCGAGUUGUAAUUUUACCUCUAAGCUUCCUUGUACUGCCAUGAUUGAUUAUGAAUAGAUUGGGAAGUUUUGUUGAGAAAAAGAUUGAAAAUGCUUUUAAAGCCUGGACCAUACAACUCUGCAUUACCUGUCUUGCUUAGUGUGCUUUUGCCAAGAUCGACUGGCAGUUCUAGCUUUAGGGGUCGGAUGUUGAGGUGAUGUGCGUUUGCGGGUCAACCGUGCGAACUGCGGAACUGGACGCUGACACGCAACGACUCGUGGCGCGGGCGGUGCCGCGGGACGGAGAGAAUCGAUCCAACCGGAGGCAAGCAAGUCGCGCGGGACAAAGGAUGAUGGCCGUCCACUGGAGCAUGCGCUCGGCCGGUUGUGGUCUGGUCGUGUUGGAAUGUUGGACGAGCUGGUCUUACCAUGUUGGAAGCUGUCAACAUACGCGGCGCCACCUGGGGACAGCGACGACGUUAGACUCUUCACUGGUUCGCUUAUCCGGGCCGCAUAUUCCUUUUAUCCUUUUCGAAUCAAAAGGGAAAAGUUUCUCCACAAAUAAAUAUAUAUAAAAAAAUUGCGUGGAAAAUGAAUUUUUAAUGGCGUAAGCUUUUAAUAAUGUUAUCAUCAUCGCAUCAAAAUGAUACGUUCAUAAAUUUUUUUAAUAUCUUGUCUCUGCAUUCCAAAGACACACACUGUUGAGAGUAUGUAUGUUAUGUGCAUAUUGUGUAUUUGUCCGUCUCCUAGUUCCUUGUAUAACUGAGAUUCAUGAUCCAUCUUUGUACAUCAUAUAUACGUGCCUAUGCAUAGAAGCAAUACAUCGUACAAUUAUAACAUCAUACAUGGUACCAGAGCCAAGAGGUCUUGAGUUCAAAACAGUUUUUAGGUUUUAAUCCUCGCCUCCGCCACCGCUGCGCGCCUCCUCCGCGCCGCCACCCCGCCACCGCCCGCGCGCCUCCUUCCGCGCUGGCCGCCGCCACCCCAAAAUCCCGCAUCGCCGCUCCGCGCUUCUCCCGUUCCCGCACGCCGCGUCUCCCGAUCCCGCAAGCCCGCUUCGCCCCGCGUCAAACCAACCCGCUCGCUAGCCGCCAUCCCGCCAGAUCCCGCUCACCGCGUCAGCCAACCCGCUCGCUAGCCGCCGCCAGCCCGCUUCGCCAGUUGUAUCGCCCCACUGCAUCGCUACUGCCGCCGCCCGCUGCAUCGCCCGCUAGCCGUGAGCCGCCGCUGCAUCGCCCGCUAGCCUUCGCCGCCCGCUGCAUCACCAGCUGCCGCCGCUAGCCGCCCGCUACAUCGCUCACUAGCUGCAUCGCCUGCUAUCCAGCUCACCCGCCCACCAACCGCAUCGCCAGAUAGCCCAGCCCGCCCGCUGCUUCGCUCGUCCCGCCGCUAGCCUUCGCCAAGCCUCCCGCUGCUACCGCCCAACCGCGCCGAUCGCCGCCGUCGGACCAGCAAUGGCGUAACCAGGCCCGUCCGCCGCCGCCUCUGCCGACCCGCCGCCGGCGCCCUACGGCACGGCCACGCCGCCAUACGGGGCGGCCACCACCUACGACGCGUCCGUUCCCACGUACGGGAAUCUUAUGUACGGGGCAUACGUGACUCCGCCCCAUCCAUGUACGAGUCUACGCCUGCGUUCGGGGCUCCGCCCGCGUACGAGUCUCCCGGGUACUGGUGGGGGUCGUCAGCGGGCCGGCACCCGCCCGCUGGGCAGCAGCCAGACGGCGCCCAACACCUGCACCAUCUGUCAGCGGGGCCACGGGUUUUUCCGGCGGGCCAUCCGGCCUACCCGGCACCGCAGUUGCAGCCGGGGCAGCCGGGGCUUUAUGGAGCAUACCCAUCGCCGCCGUUGAGCGGCGGCUAUGGCUUCUCCAUGGCGUCUCCGCCCCCCUCGCCGGCCCUGCCGCUGGCGGCCUGGGACCCGGUGCUCCUCACCGGGCUGCAUGCCGCUCCUACGCCGAACAACUACCCUGGAGGUGGUGAUUGGUACAUGGACAACGGUGCUAAGGCUCACAUGUUUGCUCAUCCUGGUACCCUUGCCUCCUUCACUCCUCUCUCCACCGACCGCCGCAUCAUUGUGGGCGACGGUUCCACACUUCCUAUCACACAUGUUGGGCACACUUCUUUUCCUUCUACUUCUACUCCAUUAUCUUUGUCUAACAUACUUGUGUUACCUCAUCUUAUUAAGAAUUUCAUUUCCCUUCGUUGUUUCACUCGUGAAAAUCCUGUUACCUUUGAAUUUGACGAGCUUGGUUUUUGUGACAAAAGACGCUCGAACCAGGAUGGUACUUCAUCGCUGUGACAGCCCCGACGAGCUCUAUCCGGUGCACUCGCCUUCAUCCACCACCACCGCACCGGUUGCUCUCUCCACUGGCGUCGAUCUCUGGCACGCUCGCUUGGGUCAUCCCAACCCCGUCACACUUCAUCAUAUUCUUAGGAGUUUCAGUUUCAGUUGCAAUAAGGUCGAGAUCACACUUGUCAUGCAUGUCGAGUCGGCAAGCAUGUUUGCCUGCCGUUUAAUAAUUCUACCACCAUUGCUUCUUUUCCUUUUCAGUUGAUUCAUAGCGAUGUGUGGACUUCUCCGGUUCGCAUUAACUCGGGCUAUUUAUAUUAUCUGGUCAUUCUUGAUGAUUAUUUUUAUUAUGUGUGGACUUUUCCUUUGCGCAGAAAGUCGGAUGCACUCUCUACCUUGACGGCUUUUUACUCCUAUGUCCGCACGUAGUUUGGGCGUCCCAUCCUUGCGCUUCAGACGGACAAUGGAAAAGAGUUCGACAACCUCGCUUUCCACACCUUUUUGUCGCAUCACGGCACAGUUUUCCGCCUCACAUGCCCGUACACUUCACAGCAGAACGGUCGAGCCGAACGGGUCCUUCGCACUCUGAAUAACUGCAUACGCACACUCCUGUUUCAUGCCAAUGUGCCGCCUCGUUUCUGGCCGGACGCACUCGCCACUACAUCACUUCUUCUUAACAUUAGACCCUGCCUCCCACGGUGGAACUACACACCUCACAAUCUUCUUUUUGGUACGCCCUGUCUUAUGACGACUUGCGUAUUUUUGGGUGCCUUUGCUAUCCCAACAUUGCCGACACUGCUUCUCACAAGCUUGCACCUCGAUCUGUCGCGUGCAUCUUCAUCGGCUACCCGUCCAACUCCAAGGGAUAUCGGUGCUACGAUCCCAUCUCCCACCGCGUGUUCACUUCCAGAACGUUUACUUUGAUGAGCAUGUGUUUCCGUUUCACCAGUUACCCCCGGCUGUUCCUCCCGCCACUGGUGACGCGGGCUCCUCGACACCUCUCCCAGGGCACUCGCGCGCCUCUCUUGGCCCGCCCCUGGCUUUGAGGCGCGCCCUCCGCAUGCGGCGCCUCCUACAGCCGCGGCGCUGGCGCCCCGGCGCCCCCGACGUCGGCGCCCGCGGCCCCCGCGGUGCCCCCCGUGCCUGCGCCCCCCCGGUGCCCCCGACGNNNNNNNNNNNNNNNNNNNNNNNNNNNNNNNNNNNNNNNNNNNNNNNNNNNNNNNNNNNNNNNNNNNNNNNNNNNNNNNNNNNNNNNNNNNNNNNNNNNNNNNNNNNNNNNNNNNNNNNNNNNNNNNNNNNNNNNNNNNNNNNNNNNNNNNNNNNNNNNNNNNNNNNNNNNNNNNNNNNNNNNNNNNNNNNNNNNNNNNNNNNNNNNNNNNNNNNNNNNNNNNNNNNNNNNNNNNNNNNNNNNNNNNNNNNNNNNNNNNNNNNNNNNNNNNNNNNNNNNNNNNNNNNNNNNNNNNNNNNNNNNNNNNNNNNNNNNNNNNNNNNNNNNNNNNNNNNNNNNNNNNNNNNNNNNNNNNNNNNNNNNNNNNNNNNNNNNNNNNNNNNNNNNNNNNNNNNNNNNNNNNNNNNNNNNNNNNNNNNNNNNNNNNNNNNNNNNNNNNNNNNNNNNNNNNNGCCCGCGGCCCCCACGGCGCCCCCGGCGCCACCGGCACCCCCGCCCCCCUCGGCGCCUGUGGCUGGUCCGGUCACCCGCGCCCGUACGGGCAUUUUUUUGCCCGAGCUCGGCUACGCCUCGGAUGACUACGUCCAUGCAGUGUCCACCUCUGAGCCAUCGCCGUUGCCGUCUUUCGUUCGAGCCGCUCUUCGUGACCCGCUCUGGAUGGCUGCGAUGCGGAGUUUGACGCCCUGUUGCGCAACCGGACGUGGUAGCUUGUUCCACGUCCCCGGCACGCCAACGUGAUUACCGGGAAGUGGAUCUUUAAACACAAACUCCAUCCUGAUGGUACCCUUGAUCGCUACAAAGCGCGCUGGGUCGUUCGUGGCUUCCAACAGCAUGCUGGCAUCGACUUCAACGACACCUUCGCUUCGGUCGUCAAGCCCGACACGAUACGCACGGUUCUCCACCUUGCGGUCUCCCGUGCUUGGCCGAUGCACCAGAUGCACGUCUGCAACGCCUUCCUCCAUGGUCACCUCGAGGAGCAGGUCUUCUGCCAGCAGCCCACCGGGUUUGUUGACCCGGCGCUUCCCAACCAUGUGUGCCUGCUUUCGCGGUCCUUGUACGGACUCAAGCAGGCUCCGCGCGCUUGGUACGAGCGCAUCGCGGCGUUUCUUCACGAGCUUGGGUUCCGCUCCACCCGCUCGGAGGCCUCGCUCUUCGUCUAUCAUCAGGGCUCUGACACAGCCUACUUGCUGCUCUAUGUCGACGACAUCAUCCUGAUGGCAUGUACGGCUGGUCUCUUCAGUCAGCUCACGGCUCGUCUUCGCGUUGAGUUCGCCAUCAAGGACUUGGGUCCUUUGCACUACUUCCUCGGUGACGAGGUGGUGCGCCGUCCAGAUGGCUUCUUCCUUCAUCAACGGAAAUACGCUCACGAGCUCCUCGAGCGCGCCGACAUGCUUAACUGCAAGCCCGCCGCUACGCCUGUUGAUAUGAAGGCCAAGCUUUCUGCCAUGGAUGGUUCUCCUGCUUCGGAUGUUGCUUUCUAUCGGUCUAUUGUUGGUGCUCUCCAGUACCUCACUCUGACUCGACCGGAGAUCCAAUAUGCCGUGCAGCAUAUGUGCCUUCAUAUGCAUGCUCCUCGAGACGUUCACUGGGCUGCCGUCAAGCGGAUUCUCCUCUAUGUCUGUGGCACUAUGGAUCUUGGCAUCAUGCUUCACGCCUCCGCCGACACCGCCCUCGCCGCCUAAUCCGAUGCAGACUGGGCGGGCUGCCCUGACACUCGUCGCUCCACCUCGGGCUAUUUGUGUCUACCUUGGACCCUCACUUAUCUUGUGGUCCUCCAAGCGGCAGCCUAUGGUCUCUCGUUCCAGUGUUGAGGUUGAGUAUCGUGCGGUGGCCAACGUCGUCGCUGAGUGUUCGUGGCUUCGCCAGCUGCUCCAGGAGCUUUCUUGCCCUGUUGACCAUGCCACGGUGGUCUACUGCGACAACGUCUCGGCGGUCUACCUCUCCGCCAACCCGGUGCAUCAUCGACGGACCAAGCAUAUUGAGUUGGAUAUUCAUUUUGUUCGGGAACAGGUGGCCCUUGGCCAUAUUCGUGUUUUACACGUCCCUACUUCCCAACAAUUUGCCGAUAUCAUGACCAAGGGCUUGCCUACGNNNNNNNNNNNNNNNNNNNNNNNNNNNNNNNNNNNNNNNNNNNNNNNNNNNNNNNNNNNNNNNNNNNNNNNNNNNNNNNNNNNNNNNNNNNNNNNNNNNNNNNNNNNNNNNNNNNNNNNNNNNNNNNNNNNNNNNNNNNNNNNNNNNNNNNNNNNNNNNNNNNNNNNNNNNNNNNNNNNNNNNNNNNNNNNNNNNNNNNNNNNNNNNNNNNNNNNNNNNNNNNNNNNNNNNNNNNNNNNNNNNNNNNNNNNNNNNNNNNNNNNNNNNNNNNNNNNNNNNNNNNNNNNNNNNNNNGUGUUGAGUAUAUAUAUUAUGUGCAUAUUGUGUAUUGGGCCCGCCUCCUAGUUCCUUGUAUAGUUGAGGUCCGUGGCCCACCUUUGUAUAUCAUAUAUACGUGCCUAUGCACAGGAGCAAUACAUCGUGCAAUUACAACAUCAUACACACACGACCCAAACACGUGAAGUUGAAAACAUACAUCAUUGGGAAAAAAGGGUACAAAAAUAUGGAAACACUUAAAGCGCCACUGCAUGUGACUUCACUUUGGCAUCAUGCCCCCACCACAUUCUCUAGGCCACACAUGCUAAUAUAUACGCCCUAGACGAAUCUAUAAUUUAUGAAGUAAUCUUCAUCAUGCUAUUUCUUAGUCUUCAUUCCUCAUUUAUUUUUAAUUGGACCAACCUAUUGAUAAAGUGUCACAAAUGCCAGUUGCAUGUCCUAUAUUUAUGUUGAUAACUCAUCAAUUUUUUGUAUAUAGCUUAUCUCUAUAUAAUCUGAAAUUUUGCCAAUGAUUGCCUUUACUUGCUUCGAAUACCUAUGUUUUUUUUUGUUAUCAUAGUAUAAAAAGUAUGGUUGAUAGUACUAUUUUUCUUGGUUUCAAUCAAAAAAGGAACAAUACGAAAGUUCAUGAGGAAACAACAUAUUGACGUUAUUACUAAGGGUGGUUAAGUAUAUAAUACUGCCUGAAUUUUGCAGCGUAGAGUAGAGUACACCACGGCCAUUGCUUAUGAUGCCCAAUUCAUCGGAACCAUUGCGAAGCCAGAGUUGAAUACCAUUUGUAAGCAAAUCUGGAAGGGAAAAAUCAAGUUUUUGCAUGGCUACCAGCUCAAAAUAGACUGCCAACUGUUGAUCAUCUCCGCGCACGCAAUCAUGUGAACACAAUGACACCUGCUCCCACUGCGAUUAAACGAUUGAGACUGCCGCUCAUCUGAUCUGUACCUGCCCCUUCGCAAAGGAAGUUGGGCAAAAGCUCAACAUCAUGCUUCCUAACAUUCAACGUCGACCCACCUUGCCGUUUAGUUCAACAGAAAGUUUGUCCUACGGGAAGAAGAACAAGGCAGCUAUUGCACUCUACUUCGUCUGGAACAUCUGGAAUGAGUGAAACCAAAGAAAAACCAAUCUUCAACUGUUGACAUGGUGACUUCUUAGUCAUGUUUGACUUAACAUACUUGGAUAUGGCCUCUUCGAGGCAUUCAACUGUGUAAAUCUGUAGUUUUUCCUCUUUUUUUGUCUUCCUUAGGGAUUCAGACUUUUCUCUUGUAAUUCGUAAUAUAUAAUGCAAAGGCACAACACCAGCCAUUAGCCCUAAAAAAAGAACGGUCACCUACCAACCGUGACCAGGCUAUAUACUAGUUUCUUUUAGUAGUUGAGCUAUACUAAAUUUUCACUUGCUCAAUUUUUUAAAGAAUAAUUGUGAGCCGAAAAAGAAGACAUCUGGGUUAUCACUCCCACAAAGCUAAGAAGUAACCAAGUUUUGUGGCCCUGUCACAUGAUAUUUAUUUUUCGCAUGAGGACAUGUUUAUGUUGCUCAUGCUUUGUCAGCCAAUGAUGAUGUAGACUUCCCCAUGCUUCGUAGUCCUAUUAAAAAGAAAUUCAUUGGCAUUUCAUUGAGCUUUUCGAAAUACUAUGUUUUGAUUGAUCCACUAGAAAGAUUAGGGAUAACUGGUCUAGAUUUCGACUUCCAAGUACCAUACGACAACUUUGGACGAGAUGUUGGGUGCNNNNNNNNNNNNNNNNNNNNNNNNNNNNNNNNNNNNNNNNNNNNNNNNNNNNNNNNNNNNNNNNNNNNNNNNNNNNNNNNNNNNNNNNNNNNNNNNNNNNNNNNNNNNNNNNNNNNNNNNNNNNNNNNNNNNNNNNNNNNNNNNNNNNNNNNNNNNNNNNNNNNNNNNNNNNNNNNNNNNNNNNNNNNNNNNNNNNNNNNNNNNNNNNNNNNNNNNNNNNNNNNNNNNNNNNNNNNNNNNNNNNNNNNNNNNNNNNNNNNNNNNNNNNNNNNNNNNNNNNNNNNNNNNNNNNNNNNNNNNNNNNNNNNNNNNNNNNNNNNNNNNNNNNNNNNNNNNNNNNNNNNNNNNGUUAAUGGGAGUAUAUGACGGGGAUGGACUGAUAGGUUUUAUAGAGGGCAGUCUUUGGUAUAGUACAAGAACUUUGUCAUCAUAAAAGUUCUUUGUGAGUAAGGUACCUGUUUAAAACCUCUAUUUGUCCCAAGUCCUACCAUUAACUAUCUGGACCAUCCAUCAAUAAUUAACCAUCAAUGGCAGACUAUUUUGUGGUUGUGGACUUCCAUGACAGACUAUUCAACUAAUAGGGUUCAUGCACCAGCUUCAGGCCACUUCAAAGUAUCAUCAAGCAAAUUGAAGCUGAGGCUGGACAGUGAGCUGUAGCAAGCUGGGGUCACUUGUAGAUGCAUUAGAGAGUUCAUUUCUUGGGUUGCCGUGUGGUAGUACUGGACGUUUUGGGUCGUGUGUGUGUGUGGUUGUUUGUGGGUUUUAUUUUUUUAUGUUUUGCUGUGUUGUGGUCGUUUACUUUUCCCCUUCCUUUAAUAUAAACACAUGCAGUUCUUCUAGAUGGUUUGGAAAAAAAGUUCAUGCACCAUCUAUGUGCAAAAAAUAAGUAAAUAAUAUAAAACACCACAGAUCUGGCUAGGGUUCUCGAAAACUAUCACUUUUUGAAAAUUUCCUAAAACCUACCACUUUAUUGGUUUGAAGUUUCAGAAAACCCAGUCGACGAAUCUUAAAGUUUUAAUGUGGUUUAUGAUAAGAUAUGCCCACCUGUCAGGGCCACAUCAGUCCUCGACAGAUGGCAUGCCCGCUCACGACCGUUAGGCUUCCGACCUAGUCAAAAUGACCCAAGUCGGGUCACUCUCGUUCUCCAUCGCUCUUACUCUCUCCCUCGUUGCCUUUAUCUCUCCGGAGCUCGCUCGACGACACCGACGACCGUAGUUGUUGUCCUGGUGACCAUGCCAUUGUGGAAGGAUGGGGAUGAGAGCACUGAUGAGAACAUCAACAUGGGCAACAACUUCAUGGACAUGGAGCACUUAGUAAGAUUUCUCCUCUUUUAUUAGUUAGGGUUAGGAUUUUUGAAUUUGGGAUUUUUUUAUUUCAAGCUUUGUUGCACCGAUUCAAAGGAAUCUUUCGUUGAUCUGGCUUCUGAUGGAUCUAGGACACCUUGGACACCAUUUCUGAUCCACUUUACUGCGGUGAUGUUAUGGAUGACAUGCCGAAGUGCAGGAUGCACAAACAUAGGAUGAAUAAAUGUGUUUGUUUUGAAGGAAUUGAUACGGGAAGGCGAUUACUUGGCUACUCUGUGCACGUGAGUAACCAGCAAAUAAAUUCAUAAUGUUUCACUUUACCUAGGUAGCACAUAUAUCUCAAAUGUGAGAGUAUAGUGUAGCAGAUGAUGUGGUGAUAGUGGUAUCACUAGUGGAAAAGGUAUUAGACGCAACUUUUCUUUGUGGCGCGCCAUUUCCCAGUGACGCCAACACUAUUUUUUUGCAUAUUUGGUACGCCAUUGAUGCGGCCAUACCGCUGGCAUAGAAUUUUUCUUUCACGACAUUGGUAUUUUCUAAAAAAAAUCCUGUUUCCUACCGUUUUCUAUGGCGUCACCCAUUAGGCCCACGCCAGCACUAUCCAUGUUCUAAUUGCCAUGUCCAGUAAAAAACACUAAGUCCGAUUCACCUACUUCGCAUCGUUUUCACCUUGUUCGUCCCCCUUCUCGACCAGCGCCACCGCCGCCACCUCCCGACCACGCCGCUGUUCGCCGCCGGAACUGCGCGGCCGCUGCGAACUCCGGCAAGGAGGUGAGAUCUCCCCUCUUCCCCUCGCAAAUCUUCUUCCCAUCCCCAAGCAUCUCCCUCCGGUGGCGAUCUGAGACAGAAAAUUUCUUUUGAUUGAUGGAGUAGAUGAUUGGUUAAUAUAUAAAUGAAUAUGAUGGCUCUUUGAUAGAUGGAUGGAUGAAUGGAUAGUGCCAUUUUUUAUAUGUUGGAGUAAUAUUUUGCAAAACAUAAGGUGCCCCUUAUUUUAUAUACUGUAGUGUUUUUCCAGCUCUUCUUAAUUUAAUUAGAAAAGGUUGGAGUAAUAAUCUGCAAAAGAGAAGUCGCCCCUUAUUUUAUCUAGAACCACCUGUUGUAUCUAAAUCAUGUGUUAACAUCGUAGACAGUGUAGUAGCUGGUGGAAGUACUGAGUACGAAC